UGUACAGAAGUAAUGUGCAAAACGUUUCAGACCCAUUUGACUUUCCAUUAAAAAAUGUAAAAUCACGCGCUACAGCCAAAGUUUCUGUUUUUGUUCUGCACAUAGUAAACAAGCAAUCUAAUCAUCCUAAAACCAAAGCUUGGCACACUAUUUUUAUGAUACAAUGGGUAUAUACAAGGAGAUAAUUAUUUACAGAGAAACUUCCAUGAAAAAUUCUACAUUGUUUCCGUGAGCAUGAACACAAGUGCUCAAGGUCGUCCCUCACUUCUUCAAUGCAUAACUUUCCAAUCACUUCUCUUUUUGUAAAACUUUUUAGGCAUGAGAGGCAAGUAAAUUUUUUUGUAUUUUCAUUCUUUUAAAUUUUUUUGUAUGUUUCACCCACAACUAAACAUAAACAAAAAGGUAAAACAAAAUCUACUUAGUGAAGAAAUCAAACAAGCAUACACGAGAAUAUCAACCCCACGCUAUUGCUCCCCGGCAACGGCGCCAGAAAAGAGCUUGAUAAUCCCCAAGUGUAGGGAAUCAUCGUAGCAAUUUCCAAAGGUGGAAGUGAUAAGUAUGGAGUGUCGAACCCACAAGGAGCUAAAGGUAAGAUCAAUAUUCUCUCAAGCCCUAUCUGCCACUGAUACGACUCUACGUACACCGAACGUUUGCUUCCAACUAGAAACGAGAAAUAAAACUAUGUUGUGGGUAUGAAGAGGAUAACUUUGCAUGGUAUCGGAGAGCUAAAAUAUAAAAGUAGGUGUUGUUAUCAUAAAGUUAGAAUAUAUUACUAAAUAUUAUAAAUAGCGAGUGUGGAAUAAUGAUGGAUCGGUGUGCGGAAUUGUCCUAGGCAAUUGUUAACAAGACCGAUAGUCGUCAUUGCAAUUUCAUAUGAGGGAGAGGCAUAAGCUAACAUACUUUCUCUACUUGGAUCAUACGCACUUAUGAUUGGAACUCUAGCAAGCAUCCGCAACUACUAAAGAUCAUUAAGGUAAAACCCAACCAUAGCAUUAAAGCAUCAAGUCAUCUUUAUUCCCAUACGCAACAACCCCCUUACUCGGGUUUGUGUUUCAGUCACUCACCAACCCAUUAUAAGCGAAUCAUGAACGUAUUGCAACACCCUACAGCGGGAAUCCCUCACGCUUGCGCGACACGGAGGGCACCAUAGGACAGCACCAAAAUAAAACAUACAACUCGUACCAAUCUAGAUCAUAAAUCAACCCAAAGACAAAGGAUAUCUACUCAAAACAUCAUAGGAUGGCAACACAUCAUUGGAUCAUAAUAUGUGGCAUAAAGCACCAUGUUCAAGUAGGGAUUACAGCGGGGUGCGGGAGAGUGGACCGCGUAAAAGAGAUGAGGAUGGUGAUGAUGAUGGUGAUGUUGAUAAAGACGAUCACCGUGGCGAUGAUUCCCCUCUCGAUGGCACUCCGGUGCUACCAAGAGAGAGGAGGAGAGGUUCUCCCCCUUGUGCUUCCUCCUCCAUGGCCUCCCCCUGGAUGGGGAAAGGUUCUCCCUCUGGUCCUUGGCCUUCAUGGCGAUGAUGGCCUCUCCGGGAUACUCCUCCAUGGCCACCGGUGAUGAUGGCCCCCUCCGGCAGGGUGCCGGAGAGGGCCUAGAUUGAUUUCUCGUUGCUACAGAGGCUUGCAGCGGCGGAACUUCUGAUCUAGGUUUCUUUCUGGAAGUUUGGGUAUAGAUGAGAGGUGUUGGCGUCGAGAACAAGUCAUGGGGGUCUCCGGGCUGUCCACGAGGCAGGGNNNNNNNNNNNNNNNNNNNNNNNNNNNNNNNNNNNNNNNNNNNNNNNNNNNNNNNNNNNNNNNNNNNNNNNNNNNNNNNNNNNNNNNNNNNNNNNNNNNNNNNNNNNNNNNNNNNNNNUAAGCUCCGUCAAGUUUCAGGUCAGUUGGACUCUGUUUGGUUUUCCUUUUCUGCGAUAUUCUAAAACAAGGAAAAAACAGAAACUAGCACUGGGCUCUAGGUUAAUAGGUUAGUCCCAAAAACCAUAUAAUGUUGGGGAACGUAGUAAUUUCAAAAAAAAUCAACGCACACGCAAGAUCAUGGUGAUGCAUAGCAACGAGAGGGGAGAGUGUUGUCCACGUACUCUCGUAGACCGACAGCGGAAGCGUUAUCACAACGCGGUUGAUGUAGUCGUACGUCUUCACGAUCCGACCGAUCAAGUACCGAACGCACGGCACCUCCGAGUUCUACACACGUUCAGCUCGAUGACGUCCCUCGAACUCCGAUCCAGCCGAGUGUUGAGGGAGAGUUUCGUCAGCACGACGGCGUGGUGACGAUGAUGAUGUUGCAUCGACGCAGGGCUUCGCCUAAGCUCCGCAACGGUAUUAUCGAGGUGUAAUAUGGUGGAGGGGGGCACCGCACACGGCUAAGAGAUCUCAAGGAUCAAUUGUUGUGUCUCUGGGGUGCCCCCCUGCCCCCGUAUAUAAAGGAGCAAGGGGGAGGCAGCCGGCCAAGGGGAGAGGCGCGCCAUAGGGGGGAGUCCUACUCCCACCGGGAGUAGGACUCCUCCUUUCCUUGUGGGAGUAGGAGAAGGGAAGGGGGAAGGAGAAAGAAGGAAGGGUGCGCCCCCCUUCCCUAGUCCAAUUCGGACCAGACCAUGGGGAGGGGUGCGGCCACCUUUUGAGGCCUUUCUCUCCUUUCCCGUAUGGCCCAUUAAGGCCCAAUACGAAUUCCCGUAACUCUCCGGUACUCCGAAAAAUACCCGAAUCACUCGGAACCUUUCCGAAGUCCGAAUAUAGUCGUCCAAUAUAUCGAUUUUUACGUCUCGACCAUUUCGAGACUCCUCGUCAUAUCCCCGAUCUCAUCCGGGACUCCGAACUCCUUCGGUACAUCAAAACUCAACAAAACUGUCAUCGUAACGUUAAGCGUGCGGACCCUUCGGGUUCGAGAACUAUGUAGACAUGACCGAGACACCUCUCCGGUCAAUAACCAAUAGCGGCACCUGGAUGCCCAUAUUGGCUCCCACAUAUUCUACAAAGAUCUUUAUCGGUCAGACCGCAUAACAACAUACGUUGUUCCCUUUGUCAUCGGUAUGUUACUUGCCCAAGAUUCGAUCGUCGGUAUCUCGAUACCUAGUUCAAUCUCGUUACCGGCAAGUCUCUUUACUCGUUCCGUAAUACAUCAUCCCGCAACUAACUCAUUAGUCACAAUGCUUGCAAGGCUUAUAGUGAUGUGCAUUACCGAGUGGGCCCAGAGAUACCUCUCCGACAAUCGGAGUGACAAAUCCUAAUCUCGAAAUACGCCAACCCAACAAGUACCUUUGGAGACACCUGUAGAGCACCUUUAUAAUCACCCAUUUACGUUGUGACGUUUGGUAGCACACAAAGUGUUCCUCCGGUAAACGGGAGUUGCAUAAUCUCAUAGUCAUAGGAACAUGUAUAAGUCAUGAAGAAAGCAAUAGCAACAUACUAAACGAUCGGGUGCUAAGCUAACGGAAUGGGUCAAGUCAAUCACGUCAUUCUCCUAAUGAGGUGAUCCUGUUAAUCAAAUGACAACUCAUGUCUAUGACUAGGAAACAUAACCAUCUUUGAUUAACGAGCUAGUCAAGUAGAGGCAUACUAGUGACACUCUGUUUGUCUAUGUAUUCACACAUGUAUUAUGUUUCCGGUUAAUACAAUUCUAGCAUGAAUAGUAAACAUUUAUCAUGAUAUAAGGAAAUAUAUAAUACUUUAUUAUUGCCUCUAGGGCAUAUUUCCUUCAGUCUCCCACUUGCACUAGAGUCAAUAAUCUAGUUCACAUCGCCAUGUGAUUUAACAUCAAUAAUUCACAUCACCAUGUGAUUAACACCCAUAGUUCACACCUCUAUGUGACCAACACUCAAAGGGUUUACUAGAGUCAAUAAUCUAGUUCACAUCGCUAUGUGAUUAACACCCAAAGAGUACUAAGGUGUGAUCAUGUUUUGAUUGUGAGAUAAUUUUAGUCAACGGGUCUGUUACAUUCAGAUCCGUAAGUAUAUUGCAAAUUUCUAUGUCUGCAAUGCUCUGCACGGAGCUACUCUAGCUAAUUGCUCCCACUUUCAAUAUGUAUCUAGACCGGGACUUAGAGUCAUCUAGAUUUAGCGUCAAAACUUGCAUCGACGUAACCCUUUACGACGAACCUUUUGUCACUUCCAUAAUCGAGAAACAUAUCCUUAUUCCACUAAGGAUAAUUUUGACCGAUGUCCAGUGAUCUACUCCUAGAUCACUAUUGUACUCCUUUGCCAAAAACAGUGUAGGGUAUACAAUAGAUCUGGUACACAGCAUGGCAUACUUUAUAGAACCUAUGGCCAAGGCAUAGGGAAUGACUUUCAUUCUCUUUCUAUCUUCUGUCGUGGUCGGGCUUUGAGUCUUACUCAAUUUCACACCUUGUAACAUAGGCAAGAACUCUUUCUUUGACUGUUCUAUUUUGAACUACUUCAAAAUCUUGUUAAGGUAUGUACUCAUUGAAAAAAAAACUUAUCAAGCGUCUUGAUCUAUCUCUAUAGAUCUUGAUGCUCAAUAUGUAAGCAGCUUCACCGAGGUCUUUCUUUGAAAAAACUCCUUUCAAAUACUCCUUUAUGCUUUGCAGAAUAAUUCUACAUUAUUUCCGAUCAACAAUAUGUCAUUCACAUAUACUUAUCAGAAAUGCUGUAGUGCUCUCACUCACUUUCUUGUAAAUACAGGCUUCACCGCAAGUCUGUAUAACACUAUAUCCUUUGAUCAACUUAUCAAAGUGUAUAUUCCAACUCCGAGAUGCUUGCACCAGUCCAUAGAUGGAUCGUUGGAGCUUGCAUAUUUUGUUAGCACCUUUAGGAUUGACAAAACCUCCUGGUUGCAUCAUAUACAACUCUUCUUUAAUAAAUCCAUUAAGGAAUGUAGUUUUGUUUAUCCAUUUGCCAUAUUUCAUAAAAUGCGGCAAUUGCUAACAUGAUUCAGACAGACUUAAGCAUAGAUACGAGUGAGAAACUCUCAUCGUAGUCAACACCUUGAACUUGUCGAAAACCUUUUGCGACAAUUCUAGCUUUGUAGAUAGUAACACUACUAUCAGCGUCCGUCUUCCUCUUGACGAUCCAUUUAUUCUCAAUUGCUUGCCGAUCAUCGGGCAAGUCAACCAAAGUCCAUACUUUGUUCUCAUACAUGGAUCUCAUCUCAGAUUUCAUGGCCUCAAGCCAUUUUGCGGAAUCUGGGCUCACCAUCGCUUCUUCAUAGUUCGUAGGUUCGUCAUGGUCUAGUAACAUAACCUCCAGAACAGGAUUACCGUACCACUCUGGUGCGGAUCUUACUCUGGUUUACCUACGAGGUGUGGUAGUAACUUGAUCUGAAGUUACAUGAUCAUCAUCAUUAACUUCCUCACUAAUUGGUGUAGAAGUCACAGGAACAGAUUUCUGUGAUGAACUACUUUCCAAUAAGGGAGCAGGUACAGUUACCUCAUCAAGUUCUACUUUCCUCCCACUCACUUCUUUCGAGAGAAACUCCUUCUCUAGAAAGGAUCCAUACUAAGCAACGAAUGUCUUGCCUUCGGAUCUGUGAUAGAAGGUGUACCCAACUGUCUCCUUUGGGUAUCCUAUGAAGACACAUUUCUCCGAUUUGGGUUUGAGCUUAUCAGAAUGAAACUUUUUCACAUAAGCAUCGCAAUCCCAAACUUUAAGAAAUGACAACUUUGGUUUCUUGCCAAACCACAGUUCAUAAGGCGUCGUCUCAACGGAUUUUGAUGGUGCCCUAUUUAACGUGAAUGCAGCUGUCUCUAAUGCAUAACCCCAAAACGAUAGUGGUAGAUCGGUAAGAGACAUCAUAUAUCGCACCAUAUCUAAUAAAGUACGGUGACGAUGUUUGGACACACCAUUACACUGUGGUGUUCCAGGUGGCGUGAGUAGUGAAACUAUUUCACAUUGUUUUAACUGAAGGCCAAACUCGUAACUCAAAUAUUUUACCUCUGCGAUCAUAUCGUAGAAACUUUUAUUUUCUUGUUACGAUGAUUCUCUACUUCACUCUGAAAUUCUUUGAACUUUUCAAAUGUUUCAGACUUGUGUUUCAUCAAGUAGAUAUACCCAUAUCUGCUCAAAUCAUCUGUGAAGGUCAGAAAAUAAUGAUACCUGCUACGAGCCUCAAUAUUCAUCGGACUACAUACAUCUGUAUGUAUGAUUUCCAACAAAUCUGUUGCUCUCUCCAUAGUUCCGGAGAACAGCGUUUCAGUCAUCUUGCCCAUGAGGCACGGUUCGCAAGCAUCAAGUGAUUCAUAAUCAAGUGAUUCCAAAAUCCCAUCAGUAUGGAGUUUCUUCAUGCGCUUUACACCAAUAUGACCUAAACGGCAGUGCCACAAAUAAGUUGCACUAUCAUUAUUAACUUUGCAUCUUUUGGCUUCAAUAUUAUGAAUAUGUGUAUCACUACGAUCGAGAUCCAACAAACCAUUUUCGUUGGUGUGUAUGACCAUAGAAGGUUUUUAUUCAUGUAAACAGAACAACAAUUGUUCUCUAACUUAAAUGAAUAACCGUAUUACAAUAAACAUGAUCAAAUCAUAUUCAUGCUCAACGCAAACACCAAAUAACACUUAUUUAGUUUCAACACUAAUCCCAAAAGUAUAGGGAGUGUGCGAUGAUGAUCAUAUCAAUCUUGGAACUACUUCCAACACACAUCGUCACCUCGCCUUUUACUAGUCUUUGUUUAUUCUGCAACUCCCGUUUUCGAGUUACUACUCUUUAGCAACUGAACCAGUAUCAAAUACUGAGGGGUUGCUAUAAACACUAGUAAGUACACAUCAAUAACAUGUAUAUCCAAUAUACCUUUGUUCACUUUGCCAUCCUUCUUAUCCACCAAAUACUUGGGGCAGUUCCGCCUUCAGUGACCAGUCCCUUUGCAGUAGAAGCACUUAGUCUCAGGCUUAGGUACAGACAUGGGCUUCUUCACUUGAGUAGCAACUUGCUUGCCGUUCUUUUUGAAGUUCCCCUUCUUCCCUUUGCCCUUUUCUUGAAACUAGUGGUCUCGUCAACCAUCAACACUUGAUGUUUUUCUUGAUUUCUACCUUCGUCGAUUUCAGCAUCACGAAGAGCUUGGGAAUUACUUUCGUCAUCCCUUGCAUACUAUAGUUCAUCACGAAGUUCUACUAACUUGGUGAUGGUGACUAGAGAAUUCUGUCAAUCACUAUUUUAUUUGGAAGAUAAACUCCCACUUGAUUCAAGCGAUUGUAGUACCCAGACAAUAUGAGCACAUGCUCACUAGUUGAGCGAUUCUCCUCCAUCUUUUAGCUAUAGAACUUGUUGGAGACUUCAUAUCUCUCAACUCGGGUAUUUGCUUGAAAUAUUAACUUCAACUCUUGGAACAUCUCAUAUGGUCCAUGACGUUCAAAACGUCUUUGAAGUCCCGAUUCUAAGCCGUUAAGCAUGGUGCACUAAACUAUCAAGUAGUCAUCAUAUUGAGCUAGCCAAACGUUCAUAACGUCUGCAUCUGCUCCUGCAAUAGGUCUGUCACCUAGCGGUGCAUUAAGGACACAAUUCUUCUGUGCAGCAAUGAGGAUAAUCCUCAGAUCACGGAUCCAAUCCGCAUCUUUGCUACUAACAUUUUUCAACAUAAUUUUUCUCUAGGAACAUAUCAAAAAUAAACAUAGGGAAGCAACAACGCGAGCUAUUGAUCUACAACAUAAUUUGCAAAAUACUAUCAGGACUAAGUUCAUGAUAAAUUUAAGUUCAAUUAAUCAUAUUACUUAAGAACUCCCACUUAGAUAGACAUCCCUCUAAUCAUCUAAGUGAUUACGUGAUCCAAAGCAACUAAACCAUGUCCGAUUAACACGUGAGAUGGAGUAGUUUCAAUGGUGAACAUCACUAUGUUGAUCAUAUCUACUAUAUGAUUCACGCUCGACCUUUCGGUCUCUGUGUUCCGAGGCCAUAUCUGUAUAUAUGCUAGGCUCGUCAAGUUUAACCUGAGUAUUCCGCGUGUGCAACUGUUUUGACCCGUUGUAUUUGAACGUAGAGCCUAUCACACCCGAUUAACACGUGGUGUCUCAGCACGAAGAACUUUCGCAACGGUGCAUACUCAGGGAGAACACUUUUGUCUUGAAAUUUUAGUGAGAGAUCAUCUUAUAAUGCUACCGUCAAUCAAAGCAAGAUAAGAUGCAUAAAGGAUUAACAUCACAUGCAAUCAAUAUAAGUGAUAUGAUAUGGCCAUCAUCAUCUUGUGCUUGUGAUCUCCAUCUCCGAAGCACCGUCAUGAUCACCAUCGUCACCGGCUCGACACCUUGAUCUCCAUCGUAGUAUCGUUGUCGUCUCGCCAACUUAUUGCUUUUACGACUAUCGCUACCGCUUAGUGAUAAAGUAAAACUAUUACAUGGCGAUUGCAUCUCAUACAAUAAAGCGACAACCAUAUGGCUCCUGCCAGUUGCCGAUAACUCGGUUACAAAACAUGAUCAUCUCAUACAACACAUUAUAUCACAUCAUGUCUUGACCAUAUCACAUCACAACAUACCCUGCAAAAACAAGUUAGACGUCCUCUACUUUGUUGUUGCAUGUAGUGGCUGCUACGGGCUUAGCAAGAACCGUUCUUACCUACGCAUCAAAACCACAACGAUAGUUUGUCAAGUUGGUGCUGUUUUAACCUUCGCAAGGAUCGGGCAUAGCCACACUCGGUUCAACUAAAGUGAGAGAGACAGACACCGGCCGGCCACCUUUAAGCAACGAGUGCUCGCAACGGUGAAACCAGUCUCGCGUAAGCGUACGCGUAAUGUCGGUCCGGGCCGCUUCAUCUCACAAUACCGCUGAACCAAAGUAUGACAUGCUGGUAAGCAGUAUGACUUAUAUCGCCCACAACUCACUUGUGUUCUACUCGUGCAUAGUAUCAACGCAUAAAACCAGGCUCGGAUACCACUGUUGGGGAACGUAGUAAUUCCAAAAAAUUUCCUACGCACACGCAAGAUCAUGGUGAUGCAUAGCAACGAGAGGGGAGAGUGUUGUCCACGCACCCUCGUAGACCGACACCGGAAGCGUUAUCACAACGCGGUUGAUGUAGUCGUACGUCUUCACGAUCCGACCGAUCAAGUACCGAACGCACGGCACCUCCGAGUUCUACACACGUUCAGCUCGAUGACGUCCCUUGAACUCCGAUCCAGUCGAGUGUUGAGGGAGAGUUUCGUCAGCACGACGGCGUGGUGACGAUGAUGAUGUUCCAUCGACGCAGGGCUUCGCCUAAGCUCCGCAACGGUAUUAUCGAGGUGUAAUAUGGUGGAGGGGGGCACCGCACACGGCUAAGAGAUCUCAAGGAUCAAUUGUUGUGUCUCUGGGGUGCCCCCCUACCCCCGUAUAUAAAGGAGCAAGGGGAGGCAGCCGGCCAAGGGGAGAGGCGCGCCAUAGGGGGGAGUCCUACUCCCACCGGGAGUAGGACUCCUCCUUUCCUUGUGGGAGUAGGAGAAGGGAAUGGGGAAGGAGAAAGAAGGAAGGGUGCGCCCCCCUUCCCUAGUCCAAUUCGGACCAGACCAUGGGGAGGGGUGCGGCCACCUUUUGAGGCCUUUCUCUCCUUUCCCGUAUGGCCAAUUAAGGCCCAAUACGAAUUCCCGUAACUCUCCGGUACUCCGAAAAAUACCCGAAUCACUCGGAACCUUUCCGAAGUCCGAAUAUAGUCGUCCAAUAUAUCGAUUUUUACGUCUCGACCAUUUCGAGACUCCUCUUCAUAUCCCCGAUCUCAUCCGGGACUCCGAACUCCUUCGGUACAUCAAAACUCAAUAAAACUAUCAUCGUAACGUUAAGCGUGCGGACCCUUCGGGUUCGAGAACUAUGUAGACAUGACCGAGACACCUCUCCGGUCAAUAACCAAUAGCGGGACCUGGAUGCCCAUAUUGGCUCCCACAUAUUCUACAAAGAUCUUUAUCGGUCAGACCGCAUAACAACAUACGUUGUUCCCUUUCUCAUCGGUAUGUUACUUGCCCAAGAUUCGAUCGUCGGUAUCUCGAUACCUAGUUCAAUCUCGUUACCGGCAAGUCUCUUUACUCGUUCCGUAAUACAUCAUCCCACAACUAACUCAUUAGUCACAAUGCUUGCAAGGCUUAUAGUGAUGUGCAUUACCGAGUGGGCCCAGAGAUACCUCUCCGACAAUCGGAGUGACAAAUCCUAAUCUCGAAAUACGCCAACCCAACAAGUACCUUUGGAGACACCUGUAGAGCACCUUUAUAAUCACCCAUUUACGUUGUGACGUUUGGUAGCACACAAAGUGUUCCUCCGGUAAACGGGAGUUGCAUAAUCUCAUAGUCAUAGGAACAUGUAUAAGUCAUGAAGAAAGCAAUAGCAACAUACUAAACGAUCGGGUGCUAAGCUAACGGAAUGGGUCAAGUCAAUCAUGUCAUUCUCCUAAUGAGGUGAUCCCGUUAAUCAAAUGACAACUCAUGUCUAUGGCUAGGAAACAUAACCAUCUUUGAUUAAUGAGCUAGUCAAGUAGAGGCAUACUAGUGACACUCUGUUUGUCUAUGUAUUCACACAUGUAUUAUGUUUCUGGUUAAUACAAUUCUAGCAUGAAUAGUAAACAUUUAUCAUGAUAUAAGGAAAUAUAUAAUACUUUAUUAUUGCCUCUAGGGCAUAUUUCCUUCAUAUAAAAUAGCAUAUAAAUGCAUAUAAAACAUCCAAGGUUGAUAAUAUAAUAGCAUGAAUACUUCAUAAAUUAUAGAUACGUUGGAGACGUAUCAGUCUCCAACGUAUUUAUAAUUUUUGAUUGUUCCAUGAUAUUAUAUUAUCUAUUUUGGGUGUUUAAUGGGAUUUAAUAUGCUCUUUUAUAUUAUUUUUGGGACUAACCUAUUAACCGAAGGCCCAGUGCAAAUUGAUGUUUUUUGCCUAUUUCAGUGUUUCGCAGAAAAGGAAUAUCAAACGGAAUCCAAACGGAACAAAACCUUCGCGAGGAUCUUUCUUGGAACAAACGCAAUCCAGGAGACUUGGAGUGGAAGUCAGAGAUGCAACGAGGCGGCCACGAGGCAGGAGGGCGCGCCCAGGGGGUAGGCGCGCCCCCCACCCUCGUGGCCCCCUCAUAGAUCCACUGACCUACUUAUUUCGCCUUAAUAUACUCUUAUACCCUGAAAACAUCCAAGGGAGCCACGAAACCACUUUUCCACCGCCGCAACCUUCUGUGCCCAUGAGAUCCCAUCUUGGGGCCUUUUCCGGCGAUCUGCCGGAGGGGGAUUCGAUCACAGAGGGCUUUUACAUCAACACCAUAGCCUCUCCGAUGAUGUGUGAGUAGUUUACCACAGACCUUCGGGUCCAUAGUUAUUAGCUAGAUGGCUUCUUCUUUCUCUUUGGAUCUCAAUACAAAGUUCUCCUCGAUGUUCUUGGAGAUCUAUUCGAUGUAAUAUUCUUUUGCGGUGUGUUUGCCGAGAUCUGAUGAAUUGUGGGUUUAUGAACUUGAUUAUCUGUGAAUAUUAUUUGGUUCUUCUCUGAAUUCUUAUAUGCAUGAUUUGAUAUCUUUGCAAGUCUCUUCGAAUUAUCGGUUCAGUUUGGCCUACUAGAUUGAUCUUUCUUGCAAUGGAGAAGUGUUUAGCUUUCGAUUCAAUCUUGCGGUGCUCCAUCCCAGUGACAGAAAGGGAACUUCUACCUCUUGAGCAUGCGUUGGUUUCCCAUGAAGAGGAAAGGGUGAUGCAGCAAAGUAGCGUAAGUAUUUCCCUCAGUUUUUGAGAACCAAGGUAUCAAUCCAGUAGGAGACUACACGCAAGUCACGUAGUACCUGCACAAACAAUCAAGAACCUUGCAACCAACGCGAUAAAGGGGUUGUCAAUCCCUUCAUGGCCACUUGCAAAAGUGAGAUCUCAUAAAGAUAAUAAGAUCAAUAUUUGUGGUAUUUUUAUUGUAUAGAUUGGAAAAGUAAAGAUUGCAAAUAAAUAGUAAACUAGAAUUGUAGAUUGGAAACUUAUAUGAUCUAAAGUAGACCCGGGGGCCAUAGGUUUCACUAGUGGCUUCUCUCAAGAUAGCAUAUGUAUUACGGUGGGUGAACAAAUUACUGCCGAGCAAUUGAUAGAAAAGCACACAGUUAUGAGAAUAUAUAGGCAUGAUCAUGAACAUAGGCAUCACGUCCGUGACAAGUAGAGCAACACAAUUCUGCAUCUACUACUAUUACUCCACACAUCGACCGCUAUCCAGUAUGCAUCUAGAGUAUUAAGUUCAUAAGAAUAGAGUAACGCAUUAGGCAAGAUGACAUGAUGUAGAGGGAUAAACUCAAGCAAUAUGAUAUAAACCCCAUCUUUUUAUCCUCGAUGGCAACAAUACAAUACGUGUCGUUUCCCUUUUUGUCGCUGGGAUCGAGCACCGCAAGAUUGAACCCAAAGCUAAACACUUCUCCCAUUCCAAGAAAGAUCAAUCUAGUAGGCCAAACUAAACCUAUAAUUCGAAGAGACUUGCAAAGGUAUUUAAAUCAUGCAUAAAAGAAUUAAGAGAAGAAUCAAAUAUUGUUCAUAGAUAAUCUUGAUCAUAAACUCACAAUUCAUCGGAUCUCGGCAAACACACCGCAAAAAGUAUUACAUCGAAUAGAUCUCCAAGAAGAUCGAGGAGAACUUUGUAUUGAGAUCCAAAGAGAGAGAAGAAGCCAUCUAGCUAAUAACUAUGGACCCGAAGGUCUGUGGUAAACUACUCACACAUCAUCGGAGAGGCUAUGGUGUUGAUGUAGAAGCCCUCCGUGAUCGAAUCCCCCUCUGGCGGAGCGCCGGAAAAGGCCCCAAGAUGGGAUCUCGCGGGUACACAAGGUUGCAGUGAUGGAAAAGUGGUUUCGUUGCUCCCCCCGAUGGUUUCAGGGUAUAAGAGUAUAUAUAGGCGAAAGAAGUAGGUCGGUGGAGCUACGAGGGGCCCACGAGGGUGGGGGCGCGCCACCCCCCUGGGGCGCGCCCUCCUGCCUCGUGGCCGCCUCGUGGCUUCCUUGAACUCCACUCCAAGUCUCCUGGAUUGCAUUUGUUCCAAAAAAAUCCUCCCGAAGGUUUCAUUCCGUUUGGGUUCCUUUUGAUAUUCCUUUUCUGCGAAACACUGAAAUAGGCAAAAAAAACAGCAAAUUGCCCUGGGCCUUCGGUUAAUAGGUUAGUCCCAAAAAUAAUAUAAAAAGGUAUAUUAAAUCCCAUUAAACAUCCAAAACAGAUAAUAUAAUAGCAUGGAACAAUCAAAAAUUAUAGAUACAUUGGAGAUGUAUCAAGCAUCCCCAAGCUUAAUUCCUGCUCGUCCUCGAGUAGGUAAAUGAUAAAAACAGAAUUUUUUAUGUGGAAUGCUACCUAACAUAAUUUUUCAAUUUAAUUCUCUUUAUUGUGGCAUGAAUGUUUAGAUCCGAAAGUUUUUAGACAAAGUUUUAAUAUUAACAUAAAAAUAGUAAUACUUCAAGCAUGCUAACCAAGCAAUUAUGUCUUAUCAAUAUAACAUAGCCAAAGAAAGCUUAUCCCUACAAAAUCAUAUAGUUUGGCCAUGCUUCAUUUUCGUCACACAAAAUGCUCCCAUCAUGCACAACCCCGAUGACAAGCCGAGCAAUUGGUUGAUACUUUUAACGCGCUUCAGCCUUUUCAAACCUUACGCAAUACAUGAGUGUAAGCCAUGGAUAUAGCACUAUAGGUGGAAUAGUAUAUGAUGAUGGGGGUUAUGUGAGAAGACAAAAAGGGAGAAAGUCUCACAUUGACGCGGCUAAUCAACGGGCUAUGGAGAUGCCCAUCAAUUGAUGUCAAUGCAAGGAGUAGGGAUUGCCAUGCAACGGAUGCACUAGAGCUAUAAAUAUAUGAAAGCUCAUCAAAAGAAACUAAGUGGGUGUGCAUCCAACUUGCUUGCUCACGAAGACCUAGGGCAUUUUGAGGAAGCCCAUCAUUGGAAUAUACAGGCCAAGUUCUGUAAUGAAAAAUUCCCACUAGUAUAUGAAAGUGACAAAAUAAGAAACUCUCUAUCAUGAAGAUCAUGGUGCUAUUUUGAAGCACAAGUGUGAAAAAAGGAUAGUAAAAUUGUCCCUUCUCUCUUUUUUUGUUUGGGCUUCUUUGGCCUCUUUUUUAUUUGGGCUUCUUUGGCCUCUUCUUUUUUUCGUCCGGAGUAUCAUCCCGACUUGUGGGGAAUCAUAGUCUCCAUCAUCCUUUCCUCACAUGGGACAAUGCUCUAAUAAUGAUGAUCAUCACACUUUUAUUUAUUCAUAACUCAAGAAUUACAACUCAAUACUAGAACAAAAAUAUGACUCUAUGUGAAUGCCUCCGGUGGUGUACCGAGAUAUGCGAUGAAUCAAGAGCGACAUGUAUGAAAGAAUUAUGAAGCUGGCUUUGCCACAAAUACGAUGUCAACUACAUGAUCAUGCAAAGCAAUAUGACAAUGAUGGAGCGUGUCAUAAUAAACGGAGCGGUGGAAAGUUGCAUGGCAAUAUAUCUCAGAAUGGCUAUGGAAAUGCCAUAAUAGGUGGGUAUGGUGGCUGUUUUGAGGAAGAUAUAAGGAGGCUUAUGUGUGAUAGAGCGUAUCGUAUCAUGGGGUUUGGAUGCACCGGCGAAGUUUGCACCAACUCUCGAGGUGAGAAAGGGCAAUGCACGGUAUCGUAGAGGCUAGCAAAUUGCGGAAAGGUAAGAGUGCGUAUAAUCCAUGGACUCACAUUAGUCAUAAAGAACUCAUAUACCUAUUGCAAAAGUUGAUUAGCCCUCGAAGCAAAGUACUACUAUGCAUGCCCCUAGAGGGAUAGAUUCGUAAGAAAAGACCAUCGCUCAUCCCCGACCGCCACUCAUAAGGAAAGCAAUCAAAGAACACCUCAUGCUUCAAAUUUGUCACACAACGUUUACCAUACGUGCAUGCUACGGGACAUGCAAUCCUUAACACAAGUAUUCCUCAAUUACACAAUUACCCAACUAGCAUGACUCUAACAUUACCACCUUUAUAUCUCCAAACAACUAUCAAGUAUCAUAGUAUUCAAUGCACUCUAUAUGAAAGUUUUUAUUAUACCCAUCUUGGAUGCCUAUCAUAUUAGGACUAAUUUUAUAGCCAAAGAAAAUUACCAUGCUGUUCUAAAAGACUCUCAAAAUAAUAUAAGUGAAGCAUGAGAGAUCAAUAGUUUCUAUAAAAUAAAACCACCACCGUGCUCUAAAAGAUAUAAGUGAAGCACUAGAGCAAAAUUAUCUAGCUCAAAAGAUAUACGUGAAGCACAUAGAGUAUUCUAAUAAUUUCCGAUUCAUGUAUGUCUCUCCCAAAAGGUGUGAACAGCAAGGAUGAUUGUGGUAAACUAAAAAGCAAAGAAUCAAAUCAUACAAGACGCUCCAAGCAAAACACAUAUCAUGUGGUGAAUAAAAAUAUAGCCUCAAGUAAAGUUACCGAUAGACGAAGACGAAAGAGGGGAUGCCUUCCGGGGCAUCCCCAAGCUUAGGCUUUUGGUUGUCCUUGAACUUUACCUUGGGGUGCCUUGGGCAUCCCCAAGCUUAGGCUCUUGCCACUCCUUAUUCCAUAAUCCAUCAAAUCUUUACCCAAAACUUGAAAACUUCACAACACAAAACUCAACAGAAAAUCUCAUGAGCUCCGUUAGUAUAAGAAAACAAAUCACCACCAUAAGGUACUGUAAUGAACUCAUUCUUUAUUUAGAUUGGUGUUAAACCUACUGUAUUCCAACUUCUCUAUGGUUCAUACCCCCCGAUACUAGCCAUAGAUUCAUCAAAAUAAGCAAACAACACACGAAAAACAGAAUCUGUCAAAAACAGAAUAGUCUGUAGUAAUCUAUAUCAAACGUAUACUUCUGUAACUCCAAAAAUUAUGAAAUAAAUCGGUGGACGUGAGGAAUUUGUUUGUCAAUAAUCUGCGAAAAUAAUCAACCUAAUAUCACUCUCCAGUAAAACAUGCAGCUAAUCUCGUGAGCGCUAAAGUUUCUGUUUUUUACAGCAAGAUCGCAAAGACUUCACCCAAGUCUUCCCAAAGGUUCUACUUGGCACAAACACUAAUUAAAACAUAAAAACACAUCUAAAAAGAAGCUAGAAUAAUUAUUUAUUACUAAACAGAAACAAAAAAUCAAGGGACAAAAAUAAAAUUGGGUUGCCUCCAAACAAGCGCUAUCGUUUAACGCCCCUAGCUAGGCAUAAAAACAAGAAUAGAUCUAGGUAUUGUCAUCUUUGGUAUGCAAUCCAUAAGUGGCCCUCAUAAUAGAUUCAUAAGGUAAUUUAAUUUUCUUCCUAGGAAAGUGUUCCAUGCCUUUCCUUAAUGGAAAUUGGAAUCUAAUAUUUUCUUCUUUCAUAUCAAUAAUUGCACCAAUCGUUCUAAGGAAAGGUCUACCAAGAAUAAUAGGACACGUAUGAUUGCAAUCUAUAUCAAGAACAAUGAAAUCUAUGGGCACAUAAUUCCUAUUUGCAACAAUAAGAACAUCAUUAAUCCUUCCCAUAGGUUUCUUAAUGGUGGAAUCCGCAAGAUGCAAAUUUAGAGAACAAUCAUCAAAUUCAUGGAAACCUAGCACAUCACACAAAGUUUUUGGAAUCAUGGAAACACUAGCACCCAAAUCACAUAAAGCAUAACAUUCAUGAUUUUUAAUCUUAAUUUUAAUAGUAGGUUCCCACUCAUCAUAAAGUUUUCUAGGGAUAGAAACUUCUAAUUCAAGCUUUUCUUCAUAGGAUUGCAUUAAAGCAUCAACGAUAUGUUUGGCAAAAGCUUUAUUUUGACUAUAAGCAUGAGGAGAAUUUAACACGGAUUGCAACAAGGUAAUACAAUCUAUCAUACAACAAUUAUCAUAAUUAAAUUCCUUGAAAUCCAAGAUAGUGGGUUCAUUGCUAUGUAAAGUUUUGACUUCUUCAAUCCCACUUUGACCAAUUUUUGCAUCAAGAUCUAAAAACUCCGAAUCAUUGGGACGCCUUUUAACUAAAGUUGACUCGUCACCAGUCCCAUCUUUAUCAAGAUUCAUAUUGGAAAACAAAUAUUUAAUAGGAGACACAUCAAUCACUUUUAGAUCUUCAUUAUUAUUAUCAUGGCAACUAGAAGAACACGCUUUCACAAAGCAAUCUUUUUUAGCACGCAUCCUAGCGGUUCUUUCUUUGCACUCAUCAAUGGAAAUUCUCAUGGAUUUGAGAGACUCAUUGAUAUCAUGCUUAGGUGGAAUAGAUCUAAGUUUCAAAGAAUCAACAUCAAGAGAAAUUCUAUCCACGUUCCUAGCCAACUCAUCGAUCUUAGGCAAUUUUUCUUCAAGCAAAGCAUUGAAAUUCUUUUGCAAAUUCAUAAAUUCUUUAACUACUCUCAAAAUCAGAGGCCAUCUUAUUAAAAUUUCCAUAAGAGUUGUUGUAGGAAUUACCAUAAUUAUUAGAGGGAUUACUAGGGAACGUCCUAGAAUUAAAGUUUCCUCUAGAUGCGUUGUUACCAAAAUUGCUCCUACCAACAAAAUUCACAUCCAUAGAUUCAUUAUUAUUCUCAAUCAAAGUGGACAAAGGCAUAUCAUUAGGAUCAGAAGAAACACUCUUAUUAGCAAACAAGUUCAUAAGUUCAUCCAUCUUUCCACUCAAAACAUUAAUCUCUUCUAUCGCAUGAACAUUUUUACUAGUAGAUCUUUCGGUGUGCCAUUGAGAAUAAUUAACCAUAAUAUUAUCUAGAAGUUUAGUAGCUUCUCCUAAAGUGUUUUCCAUAAAAGUGCCUCCCGCGGCUGAAUCUAAAAGGUUUCUAGAAGCAAAAUUCAAUCCAGCAUAAAAAAAUUGUAUAAUCAUCCAUAAAUUCAAACCAUGUGUAGGACAAUUACGUACCAUUAAUUUCAUCCUCUCCCAAGCUUGUGAAACAUGCUCAUGAUCUAGUUGCUUAAAAUUCAUAAUAUCAUUUCUAAGAGAGAUGGUCUUAGCGCGAGGAAAAUAUUUAGAGAUAAAAGCAUCUUUGCACUUAUUCCAAGAAUCAAUACUAUUUUUAGGGAAAGAAGAUAACCAAGUUUUAGCACAAUCUCUAAGCGAAAACGGAAAUAGCUUCAAUUUAGCAAUAUCAUUAUCCACAUCUUUCUUCUUUUGCAUAUCACACAAAUCAACAAAGUUGUUUAGAUGGGUAGCGGCAUCUUCACUAGGAAGGCCAGAAAAUUGAUCUUUCAUGACAAGAUUCAACAAAGCAGCAUUAAUUUCACAAGAUUCAGCAUCGGUAAUAGGAGCAAUCGGAGUGCUAAUAAAAUCAUUAUUGUUGGUAUUGGAAAAGUCACACAAUUUAGUAUUAAAGUCUUGAGCCAUUGUGACAAACAAUCAAUCCAACACACAAGCAAACAAGAAGCAAGCGGAAGCAAGCGAACGAAAAAGGGGGAAUAAAACGGCAAAGGUGAAGUGGGGGAGAGGAAAACGAGAGGCAAAUGGCAAAUAAUGUAAUGCGAGGGAUAAGAGUUUGCGAUGGGUACUUGGUGUGUCUUGACUUGGCGUAGAUCUCCCCGGCAACGGCGCCACAAAUCCUUCUUGCUACCUUUUGAGCAUGCGUUGGUUUUCCCUUGAAGAGGAAAGGGUGAUGCAGCAAAGUAGCGUGAGUAUUUCCCUCAGUUUUUGAGAACCAAGGUAUCAAUCCAGUAGGAGACUACACGCAAGUCGCCUAGUACCUGCACAAACAAUCAAGAACCUUGCAACCAACGCGAUAAAGGGGUUGUCAAUCCCUUCAUGGCCACUUGCAAAAGUGAGAUCUCAUAAAGAUAAUAAGAUCAAUAUUUGUGGUAUUUUUAUUGUAUAGAUUGGAAAAGUAAAGAUUGCAAAUAAAUAGUAAACUAGAAUUGUAGAUUGGAAACUUAUAUGAUCUAAAGUAGACCCGGGGGCCAUAGGUUUCACUAGUGGCUUCUCUCAAGAUAGCAUAUGUAUUACGGUGGGUGAACAAAUUACUGCCGAGCAAUUGAUAGAAAAGCGCAUAGUUAUGAGAAUAUCUAGGCAUGAUCAUGAACAUAGGCAUCAUGUCCGUGACAAGUAGACCGAAACGAUUCUGCAUCUACUACUAUUACUCCACACAUCGACCGCUAUCCAGCAUGCAUCUAGAGUAUUAAGUUCAUAAGAACGGAGUAACGCAUUAGGCAAGAUGACAUGAUGUAGAGGGAUAAACUCAAGCAAUAUGAUAUAAACCCCAUCUUUUUAUCCCCAAUGGCAACAAUACAAUACGUGUCGUUUCCCUUUCUGUCACUGGGAUCGAGCACCGCAAGAUUGAACCCAAUGCUAAGCACUUCUCCCAUUGCAAGAAAGAUCAAUCUAGUAGGCCAAACUAAACCGAUAAUUUAGGGACUUGCAAAGAUAAUUAAAUCAUGCAUAAAAGAAUUCAUAAAAGAAUCAAAUAUUGUUCAUAGAUAAUCUUGAUCAUAAACCCAUGAUGUCUACUACGCAACCUUCUUCUUGUAGACGUUGGGCCUCCAAGUGCAGAGGUUUGUAGGACAGUAGCAAAUUUCCCUCAAGUGGAUGACCUAAGGUUUAUCAAUCUGUGGGAGGCGUAGGAUGAAGAUGGUCUCUCUCAAACAACCAUGCAACCAAAUAACAAAGAGUCUCUUGUGUCUCCAACACACCCAAUACAAUGGUAAAUUGUAUAGGUGCACUAGUUCGGCGAAGAGAUGGUGAUACAAGUGCAAUAUGACUGGUAGAUAUAGGUUUUUGUAAUCUGAAAAUAUAAAAACAGCAAGGUAACUAAUGAUAAAAGUGAGCGAAAACGGUAUUGCAAUGCUAGGAAACAAGGCCUAUGCUUCAUACUUUCACUAGUGCAAGUUCUAUCAACAAUAAUAACAUAAUUGGAUCAUAUAACAAUCCCUCAACAUGCAACAAAGAGUCACUCCAAAGUCACUAAUAGCGGAGAACAAACGAAGAGAUUAUGGUAGGGUACAAAACCACCUCAAAGUUAUUCUUUCGGAUCGAUCUAUUCAAGAGUUCGUACUAGAAUAACACCUUAAGAUAAAAAUCAACCAAAACCCUAAUGUCACCUAGAUACACCAAUGUCACCUCAAGUAUCCGUGGGUAUGAUUAUACGAUAUGCAUCACACAAUAUCAGAUUCAUCUAUUCAACCAACACAUAGAACUUCAAAGAGUGCCCCAAAGUUUCUACCGGAGAGUCAAGACGAAAACGUGUGCCAACCCCUAUGCAUAAGUUCACGAGCGGAACCCGCAAGUUGAUCACCAAAACAUACAUCAAGUGGAUCACGUGAAUAUCCCAUUGUCACCAUAGAUAAGCACAUGCAAGACAUACAUCAAGUGUUCUCAAAUCCUCAAAGACUCAAUCCGAUAAGAUAACUUCAAAGGGAAAACUCAAUCCAUUACAAGAGAGUAGAGGGGGAGAAACAUCAUAAGAUCCAACUAUAAUAGCAAAGCUCGCGGUACAUCAAGAUCGUACCAUCUCAAGAACACGAGAGACAGAGAUCAAACACAUAGCUACUGGUACAUACCCUCAGCCCCGAGGGUGAACUACUCCCUCCUCGUCAUGGAGAGCGCCGGGAUGAUGGAGAUGGCCACCGGCGAGGGUUCCCCCCUCCGGCAGGGUGCCGGAACAGGGUUCUGAUUGGUUUUUGGUGGCUACAGAGGCUUGCAGCGGCGGAACUCCCGAUCUAUUCUGCUCUCCGAUGUUUUUAGGGUAUAUGGACAUAUAUAUAGGGGAAAGAAGUCGGUCACGGGAGCCACGAGGGGCCCUCGAGGGUGGGGGCGCGCCCAGGGGGUAGGGCGCGCCUCCCUGCCUCGUGGCUUCCUCGAAGCUUCCCUGACGUCUACUCCAAGUCUCCUGGUGUAACGCCCGGAUAAUUAUGCUACAGUAAUCUCAUGCUAAUGGUGCCACGUCACCACUGUUACGGUUGCUAAUCUUCGCUUGGCCCAAAUCGUAACUCAAAAUCAAAACUGAGUUUAAAGUCAGGAUUCAAAUUUAUCAAACAUGCAAACAAAAAUGUUCAAGUUGUUGCAAAUAAUCAUUUGGUAAUAUUAGUGGAGAAAUCAUCUUUUUACAAAAUGGCUACAUGCUCUAAAAAUAAAUAAAACAGAAAAGUUUUUGAAAGAAAAGAAACCAAAAAAAAGGGGAAAAGAAGCCCCCUAAUGGGCCACGGCCAACCUGGCCACCAGUCAGGCCGGCCCACUCCCUGCACCCCUCCCUGGCUUAUAUGGCUCGGCUCCCCCGACCAAACCCUAACUGCUACCCCCACUCCCACCUCGUUCCCCCAUGAUCCCCACUGCCCCCCACGAUCCACAUCUGGAUCGCGCCCCUGGCGCCUCCCCCCGCCGCCAGGCGCCUCCACGCCCGACCUCCCUUCCCCUCGCUCUCCCUUAGCACCGCCGCCCUCCACGACGCNNNNNNNNNNNNNNNNNNNNNNNNNNNNNNNNNNNNNNNNNNNNNNNNNNNNNNNNNNNNNNNNNNNNNNNNNNNNNNNNNNNNNNNNNNNNNNNNNNNNNNNNNNNNNNNNNNNNNNNNNNNNNNNNNNNNNNNNNNNNNNNNNNNNNNNNNNNNNNNNNNNNNNNNNNNNNNNNNNNNNNNNNNNNNNNNNNNNNNNNNNNNNNNNNNNNNNNNNNNNNNNNNNNNNNNNNNNNNNNNNNNNNNNNNNNNNNNNNNNNNNNNNNNNNNNNNNNNNNNNNNNNNNNNNNNNNNNNNNNNNNNNNNNNNNNNNNNNNNNNNNNNNNNNNNNNNNNNNNNNNNNNNNNNNNNNNNNNNNNNNNNNNNNNNNNNNNNNNNNNNNNCGCCGUCGCCCCGUGACUACGGCCCUCCCGAGCACGCGUUUGCACCACUACAGGGCUGGUGAGCCCCUCCGUCGAUCCCCCUCCUCCUUCGCGUGGAUCUGUCGCCGUGGCCGAGCUCACUAGAGCUCGUGCUCACCGCAUCCGCCCACGCCCAUGGGCGCGCUCCCGCACGCUCGCAGCCUUGCCCCGCUCAUCGCCCGCUGCCUUCCCCAGUUGUUGGCCCUUGCCGCGCCACGCGCUUGCCCGCGCUGUGGUGCCCGUGGCCGGCCGGUGCGCCUCGCCGUGGGCGCGGCCCCGCGCCCAACACCACCCCCGCCUACUGGCCGCACCCUGAUCCAGCACCCACACCUGCUAUGGCCUGUGUGCCACUGCACGUGGGACCAGCCCCAAAACGUUAAGAAAAUUAAACGAAUUAAAAAUUUUUAAAAAAUAACAGAAUAAAAAAAUAGUUAAAUUAAUUAACCAAUUAAUCAUGUUAAUUAACCUGUUAGCUACUUAGUUAGUUUGAGCUAAUCCUAGUAGUUUUGUCAUAUUUGACUAGUCAACACUCAACCCAGUUGACUGCUGACUAGGACUGUUGACUAUGGUCAACUGGUCCCAGUGGACCCACCUGUAAGCCACAUGUACAUAGUGCUGGGUACACUUCUGUGUACCCAUAGCUUUAUCUAAUUAAUUUCGAAAUAUUUAAUAAUUUCAGAAAUUGUUUAAAACUUUGGAAAAUCAUAGAAAAAUAUCCGUAGCUCGGAUGAAAAAGUUUUCUACAUGAAAGUUGCUCAGAACGACGAGACAAAUCCGGAUACGCAGCCCGUUCGUCCGCCACACAUCCCUAGCAUAGCAAACACGCAACUUUCCCCCUCUGGUUCAUCUGUCCAAAAACGCGAAACACCGGGAAUACUUUCCCGGAUUUUUUCCCCCUUCGCCCGUAUCACCUCCUACCGCAUUAGGGCACACUUGGCACCGCUACUUGUUAUGUCAUGCAUCGAUAUGCAUCUGUUUGCAUUGUAUUCAUUGUUUCUUCCCCCUCUUCUCUCCGGUAGUCUACGAGACUGACGCUGCUGCUGGUACCCCGAUCGACUACGGUGUUGACGACCCCUCCUUCUUGCCAGAGCAAUCAGGCAAGCCCCCACCCUUGAUCACCAGAUAUCGCCUAUUCUUCUCUAUACUGCUCGCAUCAGAAGAGUGUAGCAUGUUACUGCUUUCGGUUAAUCCUAUUCUGCUGCAUAGCCUAUCAUUGUGGCUACAGUUGUUACCCUUACCUGCUACCCUACUGCUUAGUAUAGGAUGCUAGUGUUCCAUCAAUGGCCCUACACUCUUGUCCGUCUGCCAUGCUAUACUAUCGAGCCAUGAUCACUAGGGAGGUGAUCACGGGUAUAUACUAUAUACAUUAUAUACAUGACACAUGUGGUGACUAAAGUCGGGUCGGCUCGUUGAGUACCCGCAAGUGAUUCUGAUGAUAGGGCUGAAAGGACAGGUGGCUCCAUCCCGGUAGAGGUGGGCCUGGGUUCCUGACGGCCCCCGACUGUUACUUUGUGGCGGAGCGACAGGGCAGGUUGAGACCACCUAGGAGAGAGGUGGGCCUGGCCCUGGUCGGCGUUCGCGGAUACUUAACACGCUUAACGAGAUGUUGGUAUUUGAUCUGAGUCUGGCCAUUUGGUCUAUACGCAGUAACCAACUACGCGGGAACAGUUAUGGGCACUCGGCGUCGUGGUAUCAGCCGAAAAUCUUUUUGACGUCAGCGACUGAGUGGCGCGCGCCGCAUUGGACUGUAAGCUCGCGCUUGUAUUAAGGGGGCUAGGUCUGCUUCCGGCCGCGUACGCAACGUGCAGGUGUGCAGUGGGCGAUGGGCCCAGACCCCUGCGCGCAUAGGAUUUAGACCGGCGUGCUGACCUCUCUGUUGAGCCUAGGUGGGGCUGCGACGUGUUGAUCUUCCGAGGCCGGGCAUGACCCAGAAAAGUGUGUCCGGCCAAAUGGGAUCGAGCGUGUUGGGUUAUGUGGUGCACCCUUGCAGGGAAGUUUAUCUAUUCGAAUAGCCGUGUCCCUCGGAGGUGCCUACUACUACGUGCAGCCCGCUGACGACGACCAGGAGUAGUUAGGAGGAUCCCAGGCAGGAGGCAUGCGCCUCUUUCGAUCUGUAUCCCCAUUUGUGCUGGCCUUCUUAAGGCAAACUUGUUUAACUUAUGUCUGUACUCAGAUAUUGUUGCUUCCGCUGACUCGUCUAUGAUCGAGCACUUGUAUUCGAGCCCUCGAGGCCCCUAGCUUGUAUUAUGAUGCUUGUAUGACUUAUUUAUGUUUUAGAGUUGUGUUGUGAUAUCUUCCCGUGAGUCCCUGAUCUUGAUCGUACACGUUUGCGUGCAUGAUUAGUGUACGAUUGAAUCGGGGGCGUCACAAGUUGGUAUCAGAGCCGACUGCCUGGAGGAAUCCCCCUUCCACACUCCUUGGCCGAAGUCGAGUCUAGACAUUGCAAAAAAAUUUGCUAACAUGGCUGUGUGUCUUACGGGCCCACGUCGCCAUUGGGUGGUAGUAGGAUCUUUUAUUCCUCGACCUUUACUCUGGGACUCUGAACUCUCUCCUAUUCGGGUUAAAUGAUUUUGCUAAAAAGACUAACUGUAGGUUCUCGUAAAUACUUUCUCCCGGAGAGCCCCUUAUUUCAGAUGAUCGUCUACUGCACUAGAAGAAUCCGAAGAUACUCUCUGAUGUUCUCUUGAGACUUUAUGGCGUCGCUUUUGCAAUUCCCUUCCAUCGAUAAACCCCUGUGGAUAACCACGUAUACUCACCAUUCAUACAAUGCUUCCCAGUUGAUCUUGUUAUUACAAGAUACCCCGAAAUUCUCUCUGUUGCUCCGAGAGUCCUUUGAGCUUACUGCCUUGCUGUUCUUUGCCACAUGAAUACCACUAUGGAUAAUUUGUAGCACUCACCGGAUAUUUGCUCAUCCCCAGUUGAUUCAUGUAUUUCACAAAAGUCUUCAAAAUACUAUUUGAACUUCCGAAAAUCCUGAGUAGCCUAUUGCUCUUGAAAUUCUUACUUGCUUGCAUUAUGGUUAAUCCCAUAAGUCUAUAAUCUUAUUGGCAUCUCUUUUCAUUAUCAUUUUGAGUCCGUUGAUUCAAUUUGUUGCGAAUGCUCGCAAUCCUCAAUCAGACGCUAGAAUUCAUCCUUCCGGCCCAGACGUCAUUUUAAACGUGAGCUGGUUCUCGCCAAUCAAAUUGUCGUCGAUUGUGCCCCUAAGUCUAUUGAACUUAUCCAUCCUUGAUCAGAGCGUCUGCUUCUGAUCCUUCGCUUUGUAAAUCAUAAUUCCUUUGCAAUUGAGCUCUAAGUUACUCAGUUGUUUCUAUAAUCCAAUGUCUUUGCAUUGAUUCUUCCUCUGGUUGUGAGCCGAUACUCUCAUCAGAUCCUUUAUGGACCAUCAGAACCUUGUUGGAUUUUAUCCGACAAUGUCCUUCAUAUUCAAUCACUUUGGAAGUUCUUUCCCUGAUACAUAAUGCCUUUGGUUAAUCCUAUUCCUUGAUUUGGCCAACCAUGCUCUGCUUUCGAGCUGGUGAUAUUUACUAUUGAAGCUUGUGGUAUAUGUUUCCACGAUGACCCGAUGGGUUGAACCUAUGCCUUCCAUAAUAUGUGUGCACUCGAAAGUUUUCAUGAGUCAUACUCUUCUGGUAUUUUACCAGAUAAUUUUCUACCAUACAACUUAAUCGAAUACGAGAAGUGAAUGAAAGGUUAUGCAUUGGAGAAGUGGGAGUCGACCUUGAACUUUGUGUUCAUGCCCAUGGACAUGAUGUAGAUCUUGUCAUGGAAGCUUCUCGUAACAAUAAUUAUCCGCUAGAUAUAAUUUCAUCUUAUAUCUGGGAUUUGGUCUUUUGCAAUCAUGGUUUCUGACCAUAUUGUUCUUCUUUGAUCCCAUUUCUCGGACAAGUUUAAGCACUUGUCUUCUGCAAAUCAUUGCACUUGUCCAACCUUUACUUUGAUCUACCGUCGAGUAUUUCACUCUGGUAUCUCAAGAAUAUCCUGGAACUGCAUAACUUCUUAUGAGUUCUUCAUCAAGUACUACAUUUUCACCGAUUCCAAUUUUUCACGGGCUCUGAGUUAUGAAACACUCAAAGACACCGAUAACUGAACCGAGUCCACACUAUGGUUCAACAACUCUUAGUAAUCUUCUUUACGUACGAGUUCGUACCCGAUCACGCCAUUCCUAGCCUAUUUGGCUAUAUCAUUGUCGUGAUGAUUUUAAGUGUGCUACCUGGUCCUUAUUCCCGGAACACAACUUUUCGAUGAUGAGCUAAGCUUACGUCGACCUUCCUCGUCUUAUCAUUUCGCCUUGGACAACAAGCUUGGUCUCGAGUUUGUGUCGUACCGUGGUUUCAAUAACCUUUCGCUUCAUCAUUCCUUUGACUUGAUGUCAUCGCCGAUCGAUUACACCUUCAUGAAAUCUCUCGACAAUUGCGUCAUGAUCAUCAUCAACAUUUUAAGCUCUUCCAGGAUAUCAAUCGGAUUCAUGAUGGGAAAUACCAUCCUUGCCCCUCAAUGAUUUGUGUAAUCAUCGACAACAUUCUUACCUUCCCCCAACACAAACUUGUUCAUGUUUUGUGUUGUACCUUGAUAUCCUUGCUAUCUAGCUUAGGUUAUGUUCUACCUUGUAGUAUUACUGUCUUCUAUAUCAAGAAUGUUGUGAGGAUUGCUCCACCUCUUAAGUAUUCUUGGUAUAGUGAUGCUUCUCACCAUCACCAUUCCCUUCUUGGUCCCCGUGUUGAGUGAACUCUGUGGUGCGAAUUUAUUAUCUCUGGCAACCCUAUUGCUUCAGAGUUAAUGGGCAAUUAUUCCAACUUAGUGUGUUGGUUGCUCAAUCGCCAUUCCGACGUUGGGCGUGCAACCCAACCCUUAUUUCGAAUGCACCUUUCAAACCAUGUUUAAUUGUGUAUGUUUUCCUCCAGCAUACAUCAUUCAGUCAUUUGAUCUGGCUAAUGUUAUCUCCUUGUUCACAUAGUUGUGGAAAUCCAUCCUUUUUGGAAAUGUCAAUGGAUUGUCGCUGAGUCAAUCAAUCACCUCCUCACCUCUCCUUGAUUUAAUGAUGAACUCUUGUUUCGGAACUCGCUUCCAUGGUUUAAUUCCCGAGAAUCAUACAAUGUCACCUCGACAAUUUGUGUUGCACCUUUCUUCUCAGGCAUCCUGAGUCUAAGGUAUCUUGACACCAAUCAGAUCUGAAUCUCGGUCAGAUAUGAUGGUUGGAACAUAUUUUCAAGAGUUAUAACAUUGGUCCCUAUAUGCCCCGGUAAGGUGAUGUCAUGCCUAGCACGCCUGACCAGAGGACCUAGUGUUAUAGUUUCCUUUUUAACAAGGUUAAUCAUUUUUCCAUGAGGAAAUUGAAUGCCUUGUUUAAUAAGUUUAUCCUGAUGGAUCCUUUGUGUAUCCAAAGUCUGAUUUUUGCUUGAAGACCAUAUCAAUGCUAUCCCGAAGCAUGUCUGUGGUACUCCGAUUUUCAAUAAGAGCAUUUCAAGCACAAUGCUAAAUUCUCUUUAUCAAUUAUCCAAACACCGAUGUAUGGGUAAUGUCAUGAACUUCCUCUCCCCUUACCUUAAAGGGUUUUCUACAUUAUAUCCUAUCAUGGAUAUCAUGCUCUGCUUGUCCUUGGGAAGGAUAUAUCCCUGAAACAUGUGUUUAAACACAUUUACCUUUCCAUUGUUCGGUUUAAUCUGAUGGUCACCUUUUCCUUUUCAUUGAUUUGUUUAACCUUUCUGGUGAUCUAUAUGAUCUAAGUAGUAAUUUUCUCCUGCUUAUGUAAACACCUUGGUGUACAACCGUGUUAGUAAGACCCUAUUGCAUUUGUUAAUGACAUUCCGGUAACCACCGAUGGACGAGAACCUUGCCUACUGGUCCGCCUCGUUCAAACGAGCAGGAAAAUGGUUCUCUCCGUCCCUCGCCCUUGGUACCGAUGUUGUUGCUGACAUAACCGACAGACUAUCCUCUGACAUGCCUUGCUUACAUGAUCGUGCAAGAUGUCACCGACCUUCCUACUUUUAACCACAUGGUGGGCCCAUAAACCACAGAUCCACAUGAUCGAAACAUGACUCUCAUGUACACCUUGUUGGCAAAGUUAUCCCUUACUCUUGGUUUCGUGUGUAAUUCAUGAGCCACCUUCCUAGUGAUCUGUUCCGGUAUCAGAUGCAAUACUUAAACUUGAUGCUUUGAACCCCUUUCACACUCUUUUUCAGGCAUCGAAUGAUUGUCUAUCCGCUUGGAACCUCUUAUUGUACCUUCGUACCUUACUCUCGAUGUAUUUUAAAUAUGUUCAACUCGAGAGAUACUCUUAUGCUCAUUCAUGGGUUAACCCCCAGAUUGUUUCCCUCAUAAGCAUUCUGUCGUAGCCGAGAUGCCCCUUACCUAUUCGUAAGUACGAUGGAAGUCCCGAAGAAAGGAUGAUGACUUCAUCAUGAUGACCUGGAGCAGAGGAAUGAAGGCAUCAACGUAACGGAUCAACUUCUUCGAGAAGAGCAACCAAGACCGAGAAGAUUCGUUAGAAUUCCGUAACCAGAACUUUCCCCCUUACUCCCCUCUUAAAUCUCGGGACGAGAUUUCUUGUAGUGGAGGAGAAUUGUAACGCCCGGAUAAUUAUGCUACAGUAAUCUCAUGCUAAUGGUGCCACCUCACCACUGUUACGGUUGCCAAUCUUUGCUUGGCCCAAAUCGCAACUCAAAAUCAAAACUGAGUUUAAAGUCAGGAUUCAAAUUUAUCAAACAUGCAAACAAAAAUGUUCAAGUUGUUGCAAAUAAUCAUUUGGUAAUAUUAGUGGAGAAAUCAUGUUUUUACAAAAUGGCUACAUGCUCUAAAAAUAAAUAAAACAGAAAAGUUUUUGAAAGAAAAGAAACCAAAAAAAGGGGAAAAGAAGCCCCCUAAUGGGCCACGGCCAACCUAGCCACCAGUCAGGCCGGCCCACUCCCCGCACCCCUCCCUGGCCUAUAUGGCCCGGCUCCCCCGACCAAACCCUAACUGCUACCCCCACUCCCACCUCGUUCCCCCACGAUCCCCACUUCCCCCCACGAUCCACAUCUGGAUCGCGCCUCUGGCGCCUCCCCCCGCCGCCAGGCGCCUCCACGCCCGACCUCCCUUCCCCUCGCUCUCCCUUAGCANNNNNNNNNNNNNNNNNNNNNNNNNNNNNNNNNNNNNNNNNNNNNNNNNNNNNNNNNNNNNNNNNNNNNNNNNNNNNNNNNNNNNNNNNNNNNNNNNNNNNNNNNNNNNNNNNNNNNNNNNNNNNNNNNNNNNNNNNNNNNNNNNNNNNNNNNNNNNNNNNNNNNNNNNNNNNNNNNNNNNNNNNNNNNNNNNNNNNNNNNNNNNNNNNNNNNNNNNNNNNNNNNNNNNNNNNNNNNNNNNNNNNNNNNNNNNNNNNNNNNNNNNNNNNNNNNNNNNNNNNNNNNNNNNNNNNNNNNNNNNNNNNNNNNNNNNNNNNNNNNNNNNNNNNNNNNNNNNNNNNNNNNNNNNNNNNNNNNNNNNNNNNNNNNNNNNNNNNNNNNNNNNNNNNNNNNNNNNNNNNNNNNNNNNNNNNNNNNNNNNNNNNNNNNNNNNNNNNNNNUCCCUGUCGCCGGCGCGCGCCGUCCCCCCGUGACUACAGCCCUCCCCGAGCACGCGUUUGCACCACUACAGGGCUGGUGAGCCCCUCCGUCGAUCCCCCUCCUCCUUCGCGUUGAUCCGUCGCCGUUGACGUCGUACGUCGCCAUGGCCGAGCUCACUGGAGCUCACGCUCACCGCAUCCGCCCACGCCCAUGGGCGCGCUCCCGCACGCUCGCAGCCUUGCCCCGCUCAUCGCCCGUUGCCUUCCCCAGUUGCUGGCCCUUGCCGCGCCGCGCGCUUGCCCGUGCUGUGGUGCCCGUGGCCGGCCGGUGCGCCUCGCCGUGGGCGCAGCGCCGCACCCCACACCACCCCCGCCUGCUGGCCACGCCCUGAUCCAGCACCCACACCUGCUAUGGCCUGUGUGCCACUGCACAUGGGACCAGCCCCAAAACGUUUAAGAAAAUUAAACGAAUUAAAAAAAUUUAAAAAAAUAACAGAAUAAAAAAAUAGUUAAAUUAAUUAACCAAUUAAUCAUGUUAAUUAACCUGUUAGCUACUUAGUUAGUUUAAGCUAAUCCUAGUAGUUAAAUAGGCAGGCAAUGACAAUGGGGCCCUGCCUGUCAUAUUUGACUAGUCAACAGUCAACCCAAUUGACUGCUGACUAGGACUGUUGACUAUGGUCAACUGGUCCCAGUGGACCCACCUGUAAGCCACAUGUACAUAGUGCUCGGUACACUUCUGUGUACCCAUAGCUUUAUCUAAUUAAUUUCGAAAUAUUUAAUAAUUUCAGAAAUUGUUUAAAACUUUGGAAAAUCAUAGAAAAAUAUCCGUAGCUCGGAUGAAAAAGUUUUCUACAUGAAAGUUGCUCAGAACGACGAGACGAAUCCGGACACGCAGCCCGUUCGUCCGCCACACAUCCCUAGCAUAGAAAACACGCAACUUUCCCCCUCUGGUUCAUCUGUCCGAAAACGCGAAACACCGAGAAUACUUUCCCGGAUGUUUUCCCCCAUCGCCGGUAUCACCUCCUACCGCAUUAGGGCACACUUGGCACCGCUACUUGUUAUGGCAUGCAUCAAUAUGCAUCUGUUUGCAUUGUAUUCAUUGUUUCUUCCCCCUCUUCUCUCCGGUAGACUACGAGACUGACGCUGCUGCUGGUACCCCGAUCGACUACGGUGUUGACGACCCCUCCUUCUUGCCAGAGCAAUCAGGCAAGCCCCCCCCCCCCCUUGAUCACCAGAUAUCGCCUAUUCUUCUCUAUACUACUUGCAUUAGAAGAGUGUAGCAUGUUACUGCUUUCGGUUAAUCCUAUUCUGCUGCAUAGCCUGUCAUUGUUGCUACAGUUGUUACCCUUACCUGCUACCCUACUGCUUAGUAUAGGAUGCUAGUGUUCCAUCAGUGGCCCUACACUCUUGUCCGUCUGCCAUGCUAUACUAUCGAGCCGUGAUCACUAGGGAGGUGAUCACGGGUAUAUACUAUAUACUUUAUAUACAUGACACAUGUGGUGACUAAAGUCGGGUCGGCUCGUUGAGUACCCGCAAGUGAUUCUGAUGAGGGGGCUGAAAGGACAGGUGGCUCCAUCCCGGUAGAGGUGUGCCUGGGUUCCUGACGGCCCCCGACUGUUACUUUGUGGCAGAGCGACAGGGCAGGUUGAGACCACCUAGGAGAGAGGUGGGCCUGGCCCUGGUCGGCGUUCGCGGAUACUUAACACGCUUAACGAGAUGUUGGUAUUUGAUCUUAGUCUGGCCAUUUGGUCUAUACGCACUAACCAACUACGCGGGAACAGUUAUGGGCACUCGGCGUCGUGGUAUCAGCCGAAGCUCUUUUUGACGUCAGUGACUGAGUGGCACGCGCCGCAUUGGACCAUAAGCUCGCGCUUGUAUUAAGGGGGCUAGAUCUGCUUCCGGCCGCGUACGCAACAUGCAGGUGUGCAAUGGGCGAUGGGCCCAGACCCCUGCGCACAUAGGAUUUAGACCGGUGUGCUGACCUCUCUGUUGAGCCUAGGUGGGGCUGCGACGUGUUGAUCUUCCGAGGCCGGGCAUGACCCAGAAAAGUGUGUCCGGCCAAAUGGGAUCGGGCGUGUUGGGUUAUGUGGUGCACCCCUGCAGGGAAGUUUAUCUAUUCGAAUAGCCGUCUCCCUCGGUAAAAGGAUGACCCGGAGUUGUACCUUGACCUUAUGACAACUAGAACCGGAUACUUUAUAAAACACACCCUUCCAAGUGAAAGAUAUAACCCGGUGAUCGCUCUCUAACAGGGCGACGAGGAGGGGAUCGCCGGGUAGGAUUAUGCUAUGCGAUGCUACUUGGUGAACUUACCAUCUACUCUCUUCUACAUGUUGCAAGAUGGAUGCUGCCAGAAGCGUAGUCUUCGACAGGAUUAGCUAUCCCCCUCUUAUUCUGGCAUUCUGCAGUUCAGUCCACCGAUAUGGCCCUUUACACAUAUACCCAUGCAUAUGUAGUGUAGCUCCUUGCUUGCGAGUACUUUGGAUGAGUACUCACGGUUGCUUUUCUCCCUCUUUUCCCCCUUUCCUUUCUACCUGGUUGUCGCAACCAGAUGUUGGAGCCCAGGAGCCAGAUGCCACCGUCGACGACGACUCCUACUACACCGGAGGUGCCUACUACUACGUGCAGCCCGCUGACGACGACCAGGAGUAGUUAGGGGAUCCCAGACAGGAGGCAUGCGCCUCUUUCGAUCUGUAUCCCCGUUUGUGCUAGCCUUCUUAAGGCAAACUUGUUUAACUUAUGUCUGUACUCAGAUAUUGUUGCUUCCGCUGACUCGUCUAUGAUCAAGCACUUGUAUUCGAGCCCUCGAGGCCCCUGGCUUGUAUUAUGAUGCUUGUAUGACUUAUUUAUGUUUUAGAGUUGUGUUGUGAUAUCUUCCCGUGAGUCCCUGAUCUUGAUCGUACAUGUUUGCGUGCAUGAUUAGUGUAUGAUUGAAUCGGGGGCGUCACACCUGGAUUGCUUCCGUUCCAAAAAUAACUCUCUCGAAGGUUUCAUUCCAUUUGGACUCCGUUUGAUAUUCCUUUUCUUCGAAACACUGAAAUAGGCAAGAAAACAGCAAUUUGGGCUGGGCCUCCGGUUAAUAGGUUAGUCCCAAAAAUAAUAUAAAAGUGUUUAGUAAAGCCCAUAAACAUUCAAAACAGAUAAUAUAAUAGCAUGAAUAAUUCAUAAAUUAUAGAUAAGUUGGAGACGUAUCAGCAUCCCCAAGCUUAAUUCCUGCUCGUCCUCGAGUAGGUAAAUGAUAAAAGAAAUAGUUUAUGAAGUAGCAGGUGCACAAGUUUGAUCAAUGAUAAUUUCAAUCACCUUUUCUAGCAUCAUUAUAUAUCAUAACAGUAGCUCAACUCAUAGAACUUCUCAUGAUCAAGUAACAAGCUAUUCACUUGUUAAAGUAUAGAUCAUAAACUUUCUUGAAAACUAAUAAACCGUGUUAUUAGUCAUCAAACAAUUACAAUUCAUCUUAUUUUCAGGAAGGGUCUAUGUCAGAGCUUUGAUUCAGCAAACUUCACAUACUCAACUAUCAUUUAGUCUUUCACAAUUGCUAACACUCACAUGAUAUUUAUGGGUUCAAAGUUUCAGUCAGACACAGAGAAAGAUAGGGGCUUAUAGAUUCGCCUCCCAACCAUUUACCUUAAGGGUAAUGUCAACAAUAAUAGUUCAUGAUGCCUUACAUCCAAUUGGAUAUAUAUAUCAGGAUCUUUCCACCACAAUGUGCUUGCCAAAGGAUAAAAUGUAAAAAGGAAAGGUGAAGAUCACCAUGACUCUUGCAUAAGGUAUAAGACAAGAAUAAAAGAUAGGCCCUUCGCAGAGGGAAGCAGAGGUUGUCAUGCGCUUUUAUAGUUGGAUGCACAAAAUCUUAAUGCGAAAGAACAUCACUUUAUAUUGCCACUUGUGAUAGGACCCUUUAUUAUGCAGUCCAUCGCUUUCAUUGCUUCCACAUCACAAGAUUGUAUAAAGCUUAUUUUCUCCACACUAAUAGAUCAUACAUAUUUAGAGAGCAAUUUUUAUUGCAUGCACCGAUGACAACUUACUUGAAGGAUCUUACUCAAUCCAUAGGUAGGUAUGGUGGACUCUCAUGGCAAUACUGGUUUAAGGGAUGUUUGGAAACACAAGUAGUAUCUCUACUUGGUGCAAAUAAUUUGGCUAGCAUGAGGGGGGAAAGGCAAGCUCAGCAUGUUGAAUGAUCCAUGACAAUAUACUUUAUUUCGGAUAUAAGAAAACAUAACCCAUUACGUUGUCUUCCUUGUCCAACAUCAACCUUUUAGCAUGUCAUAUUUUAAUGAGUGCUCACAAUUAAAAAAGAUGUCCAAGAUAGUAUAUCUAUAUGUGAAAUCUCUCUUCCCUCAAUAUUCUUUCAUGAAUUGUUCAAGUGACCAAUACAAUGUUUGCUAACCUUCAAUAAAUUUACCACCUCUACUUCUUAUAUGUGAAGUCAUUACUCCCCAUGGGAUAAGCAUAUAAAACAUAUAUAAUUUCAGAUUUAUGAUAUUCAAAUCAUUCAACUAAUUACUCAUAGGAUAUACGUGAAGCACACGAGUAAAUGACAAACUACUCCAAAAAGAUAUAAGUGAAGAUCAAUGAGUAGUUAAAUAAUUAUUUAGCUAUGUGAAGACUCUCCCAUUUAAUAAUUUCAGAUCUUGAUACUUUAUUCAAACAGCAAGCAAAAUAAAAUAAAAUGACAUUCUAAGAAUAGCAAACAUCACGUGAAGAAGAAAAACUUAGGAUCAACCGAUACUAACCGAUAGUUGUCGAAGAAGAAAGGUGGGAUGCCAACCGGGGCAUCCCCAAGCUUAGACGCUUGAGACUUCUUGAAAUAUUAUCUUGGGAUGCCUUGGGCAUCCCCAAGCUUGAGCUUUUGUGUCUCCUUAAUUCCUCUCAUAUCACGGUCUCCCUAAAUCUCAAAAGCUUCAUCCACACAAAACUCAACAAGGACUCGUGAGAUAAGUUAGUAUAAACCAAUGCAAAAACCUUAUCAUACUCUACUGUAGAAAAUCACUAAAAUUAUUAUUCAACAUUGCAUACUAAAUGCCUCUGCAUAUUUAAUAGUCCUAUCCUCAAAUAGAAUCAAUAAAGAAGCAAACAUAUGCAAACAAUGCAAACAUAACAGCAAUCUGCCUAAACAGGACAAUCUGUAAAGAAUGCAGCAAGAUACAUACUUCCUAGCUCCAAAAAUUAUGAACGAAAAUUCCCACUGUAGUAAAUUUAUCAUAGCUUAUUAUUCAAAAGGUUUCAACAUUUUAUCACAUUCUGACUUUUCUAGGGAAUUUUUGCAACAGCAGUAAACUUUCUGUUUUCAAACAGCAACAUGAAGACUUGUAAAAUAGGCAUAGUAAAGGCUAUCAAUGCCACUUUUAUUGAAAUAAAAGAUGAAAAACAUUGUUAUAAAUAAUAUCAAGCAAAUCCUAACAAAAUAAAUUGAUGCUCCAAGCAAAACACAUAUCAUGUGGUGAAUAAAAAUAUAGCUCCAAGUAAAGUUACCGAUGAACGAAGACGAAAGAGGGGAUGCCUUCCGGGGCAUCCCCAAGCUUAGGCUCUUAGUCGUCCUUGAAUAUUGCCUUGGGGUGCCUUGGGCAUCCACAAGCUUAGGCUCUUGCCACUCCUUAUUCCAUAGUCCAUCGAAUCUUUACCCAAAACUUGAAAACUUCACAACACAAAACUCAACAGAAAACCCGUAAGCUCCGUUAGUAUAAGAAAAUAAAACCACCACUUAGGUACUGUUCUGAACUCACUCUAAAUUCAUAUUGGUGUAAUAUCUACUGUAUUACAACUUCUCUAUGGUUCAUACCCUCCGAUACUACUCAUAGAUUCAUCAAAAUAAGCAAACAACACAUACAAAAACAGAAUCUGUCAAAAACAGAACGGUCUGUAGUAAUCUGUAUCAAACGUAUACUUAUGGAACUCCAACAAUUCUGAAAUAAAUUGUUAGACCUGAGGAAUUUGUCUAUUAAUCAUCUGCAAAAAGAAUCAACCUAAAAUCACUUUCCAGUAAAAAAUGGCAGCACAUCUCGUGAGCGCUAAAGUUUCUGUUUUUUACAGCAUGAUCAUAAAGACUUCACCCAAGUCUUACCAAAGGUUCUACUUGGCACAAACACUAACUAAAACAUAAAACCACAUCUAACCAGACGCUAGAUAGAUUAUUUAUUAAUAAACAGUAGAAAAAAGCAAAGAACAAAAAUAAAAUUGGGUUGCCUCCCAACAAGCGCUAUCGUUUAACGAACCUAGCUAGGCAUGAUGAUUUCAAUGAUGCUCACAUAAAAGAUAAGAAUUGAAACAUAAAGAGAGCAUCAUGAAGAAUAUGACUAGCGCAUUUAAGUCUAACCCACUUAAUAUGCAUAGGGAUUUUGUGAGCAAACAACUUAUGGGAACAAUAAUCAACUAGCAUAGGAAGGCAAAACAAGCAUAACUUCAAAACUUUAAGCACAUAGAGAGGAAACUUGAUAUUAUUGCAAUUCCUACAAGCAUAUAUUCCUCCCUCAUAAUAAUUUUCAGUGGCAUCAUGAAUGAAUUCAACAAUAUAACCAGCACCUAAAGCAUUCUUUUCAUUAUCUACAAGCAUAGAAAUUUUAUUACUCUCCACAUAAGCAAAAUUCUUCUCUUUCGGAAUAGUGGGAGUAUCAUAAGAGACUCGAAUACUAUAAAUUGUUUCCACAUUAAAUGAGUAAUGUUCAGAAAAAGGGUAAUCAUAAUCAUGACAAGUUUUAUAAAUAUAAUCUCACUACCCUUUAUAGCAUAAGUUUCAUCACAAUAAUCAUCAUAAGUAGCAACUUUGUUCUCAUCAUAAUCAAUUGAAACCUCUUCCAAGAUAGUGGAAUCAUUACUAAAUAAAGUCAUGACCUCUCCAAAUCCACUUUCAUAAUUAUCACAAUAAGAUUCAACAUCCUCCAAAAUAGUGGGAUCAUUACUUCCUAAAGUUGACACUCUUCCAAACCCACUUUCAUCAAUAUAAUCAUCAUAAGUAGGAGGCAUGCUAUCAUCAUAACAAAUUUGCUCAUCAAAACUUGGGAGGCUAAAAAUAUCAUCUUCAUUAAACAUAGCAUCCCCAAGCUUGGGACAAACAUUAAUUGCAGCAAAUAUAUUCUAAAACAUGUCAUUCUCAUCAAACACAGCAUCCCCAAGCUUGGGCCUUUUCAUAUCAUAAGUAUAAUCACUCUCAUCAUUAAUAGUAUGGAUAGCACCAAUAGUAUAGCAAUUAUCAUCAUCACAAUGAGUAAUAGGAGCAACAUCAUUUGGGAGGGAUACCUUUCUACCUUUGCUCCUCCGUCUUUUCUUUUUCUUCUUCACAUCAUGUGUGGGUUUAACCCUCUUUUUUUAGCUCCUUAUUAAUGAGAUUGGUUGAAUAGAAGGCUCCUCCUCGUUACCUGAUUCAUCAUAAGAAAUAAUAGGAGGAUAUUGGGAAGCCUCUUACCUUUCAUUAGUAUUCUCUUCAUCUUCUAUUUGUUUUCUUUUCUUUAUGUAAUUGGCAAUAUAAGGAUUUUCAACGCAAUUCACCGCACAAUACAUAAAAAUUUCUUCUAGAUCAAAAUCAAGAAAUCUAUCAAGAUUAAAUUUUGGAAUACCCUCAGUUAUACGUUUCAUUUCUUCAUACCCCAAAAGAAGACUAAGCUCUUUAUGAUGCUCAAGGGUAAUCAAGUUAUCACAAUUUUUGGAUACGAUUUGAUCAUGAAACAAAUAGCAUUGGAGCUUUAAAUGGCCAUGUUCAUUGCAAAGUUCACAAGGAUGGCGAUAAAUAUUGAAUCUUUCAGCAAAAACAUCUAGCCUCUCUUGCAACCAUUUAGAUUCUAAAUACUUAUGCCUCUUGCAAAAUCUAUCCUCCCUAUUUGGUGUGUACUUGCAAACUCUAUGCACACCACAAAAGUUGACAUGCUUAUAAGAGACAUUUUCAUCAUGACUGGUGCAAUCAUCAUUAGUACUAUGGAUAUUCAAGGAGUUCAUACUAACAGCAUUGCAAUCAUGCUCAUCAUUCAAUGAUUUAGUGCCAAACAUUUUAUAGACUUCUUCUUCUAGCAUUUGAGCACAAUUUUCCCUUCCAUCAUUCUCACGAAAGAUAUGAAAAAGAUGAAGCGUAUGAGGCAAACUCAAUUCCAUUUUUUUAGUUUUCUUUUAUAAACUAAACUAGUGCUAAAACAAGAAACUAAAAGAUUCGAUUGCAAGAUCUAAAGAUAUACCUUCAAGCACUCACCUCCUCGGCAACGGCGCCAGAAACUGCUUGAUGUCUACUACGCAACCUUCUUCUUAUAGACGUUGUUGGGCCUCCAAGUGCAGAGGUUUGUAAGACAGUAGAAAAUUUCCCUCAAGUGGAUGACCUAAGGUUUAUCAACCCGUGGGAGGCGUAGGAUGAAGAUGGUCUCUCUCAAACAACCCUGCAACCAAAUAACAAAGAAUCUCUUGUGUCCCCAACACACCCAAUACAAUGGUAAAUUGUAUAGGUGCACUUGUUCGACGAAGAGAUGGUGAUACAAGUGCAAUAUGGAUGGUAGAUAUAGGUUUUUGUAAUCUAAAAAUAUAAAAACAGCAAGGUAACUAAUGAUAAAAGUGAGAGAAAAUGGUAUUGCAAUGCUAGGAAACAAGGCCUAGGGUUCAUACUUUCACUAGUGCAAGUUCUCUCAACAAUAAUAACAUAAUUGGAUCAUAUAACAAUCCAUCAACAUGCAACAAAGAGUCACUCCAAAGUCACUAAUAGCGGAGAACAAACGAAGAGAUUAUGGUAGGGUACAAAAGCACCUCAAAGUUAUUCUUUCGGAUCGAUCUAUUCAAGAGUUCGUACUAGAAUAACACCUUAAGAUACAAAUCAACCAAAACCCUAAUGUCACCUAGAUACUCCAAUGUCACCUCAAGUAUCCGUGGGUAUGAUUAUACGAUAUGCAUCACACAAUCUCAGAUUCAUCUAUUCAACCAACACAAAGAACUUCAAAGAGUGCCCCAAAGUUUCUACCGGAGAGUCAAGACGAAAACGUGUGCCAACCCCUAUGCAUAAGUUCAUGAGCGGAACCCGCAAGUUGAUCACCAAAACAUACAUCAAGUAGAUCACGUGAAUAUCCCAUUGUCACCACAGAUAAGCACAUACAAGACAUACAUAAAGUGUUCUCAAAUCCUUAAAGACUCAAUCCGAUAAGAUAACUUCAAAGGGAAAACUCAAUCCAUUACAAGAGAGUAGAGGGGGAGAAACAUCAUAAGAUCCAACUAUAAUAGCAAAGCUCGCGGUACAUCAAGAUCGUACCAUCUCAAGAACACGAGAGAGAGAGAGAGAGAGAGAGAGAGAGAGAGAGAGAGAGAGAUCAAACACAUAGCUACUGGUACAUACCCUCAGCCCCGAGGGUGAACUACUCCCUCCUUGUCAUGGAGAGCACUGGGAUGAUGGAGAUGGCCACCGGUGAGGGUUCGCCCCUCCGGCAGGGUGCCGGAACAGGGUCCCGAUUGGUUUUUGGUGGCUACAGAGGCUUGCGGCGGCGGAACUCCCGAUCUAUUCUACUCUCCGAUGUUUUUAGGGUAUAUGGACAUAUAUAGAUGAAAGAAGUCGGUCAGGGGAGCCACGAGGGGCCCACGAGCGUGGGGGCGCGCCCAGGGGGUAGGGCGCGCCUCCCUGCCUCCUGGCUUCCUUGAAGCUUCCCUGAUGUCUACUCCAAGUCUCCUGGAUUGCUUCCGUUCCAAAAAUAACUCUCCCGAAGGUUUCAUUCCGUUUGGACUCCGUUUGAUAUUCCUUUUCUUCGAAACACUGAAAUAGGCAAGAAAACAGCAAUUUGGGUUGGGCCUCCGGUUAAUAGGUUAGUCCCAAAAAUAAUAUAAAAUUGUUUAGUAAAGCCCAUAAACAUUCAAAACAGAAAAUAUAAUAGCAUGAAUACUUCAUAAAUUAUAGAUACGUUGGAGACGUCUCAACCCACAAUUCAUCGGAUCUCGGCAAACACACCGCAAAAAGUAUUAUAUCGAAUAGAUCUCCAAGAAGACCAAGGAGAACUUUGUAUUGAGAUCCAAAGAGAGAGAAGAAGCCAUCUAGCUAAUAACUAUGGACCCAAAGGUCUGUGGUAAACUACUCACACAUCAUCGGAGAGGCUAUGGUGUUGAUGUAGAAGCCCUCCAUGAUCGAAUCCCCCUCCGGCGGAGCGCCGGAAAAGGCCCCAAGAUCGGAUCUCGCGGGUACAGAAGGUUGCGGCGAUGGAAAAGUGGUUUCGUUGCUCCCCCCGAUGGUUUCAGGGUAUAAGAGUAUAUAUAGGCGAAAGAAGUAGGUCGGUGGAGCUACGAGGGGCCCACAAGGGUGGGGGCGCGCCCUCCUGCCUCAUGGCCGCCUCGUGGCUUCCUUGACUUCCACUCCAAGUCUCCUGGAUUGCGUUUGUUCCAAAAAAGAUCCUCGCGAAGGUUUCAUUCCGUUUGGAUUCCGUUUGAUAUUCCUUUUCUGCGAAACACUGAAAUAGGCAAAAAAACAGCAAACUGCACUGGGCCUUCGGUUAAGAGGUUAGUCCCAAAAAUAAUAUAAAAAGGUAUAUUAAAGCCCAUUAAACAUCCAAAACAGAUAAUAUAAUAGCAUGGAACAAUCAAAAAUUAUAGAUACGUUGGAGACGUAUCAGGAACCGACACGUAUUGUAUUAUUGCCAUCGAGGAUAAAAAGAUGGGGUUUAUAUCAUAUUGCUUGAGUUUAUCCCUCUACAUCAUGUCAUCUUGCCUAAUGUGUUACUCCGUUCUUAUGAACUUAAUACUCUAGAUGCAUGUUGGAUAGCGGUCGAUGUGUGGAGUAAUAGUAGUAGAUGCAGAAUCGUUUCGGUCUACUUGACACGGACAUGAUGCCUAUAUUCAUGAUUAUUUCCUUAGAUAUCAUCAUAACUAUGCACUUUUCUAUCAAUUGCUCGGCAGUAAUUUGUUCACCCACCGUAAUACAUGCUAUCAUGAGAGAAGCCACUAGUGAAUCCUAUGGCCCCCGGGUCUACUUUACAUCAUAUAAGUUUCCAAUCUACAAUUCUAUUUUACUAUUUAUUUGCAAUCUUUAUUUUCCAAUCUAUACAACAAAAAUACCAAAAAUAUUUAUCUUAUUAUUUUUAUCAGAUCUCACUUUUGCAAGUGGCCGUGAAGGGAUUGACAACCCCUUUAUCGCGUUGGUUGCAAAGUUCUUGAUUGUUUGUGCAGGUACUAGGCGACUUGCGUGUAGUCUCCUACUGGAUUGAUACCUUGGUUCUCAAAAACUGAGGAAAAUACUUACGCUACUUUGCUGCAUCACCCUUUCCUCUUCAAGGGAAAACCAACGCAUGCUCAAGAGGUAGCAAGAAGGAUUUCUGGCACCGUUGACGGGGAGAUCUACGCUCAAGUCAAGACAUACUAAGUACCCAUCACAAACUCUUAUCCCUUGCAUUACAUUAUUUGCCAUUUGCCUCUCGUUUUCCUCUCCCCCACUUCUAAAAUGAUUUUUGAAAACCUUUGCCUUUUCUUCGCCUUCUUCCCAUAUGUAUAUUUGUUUGUGUUUCCAUGUGCCUUCUAUUUGCUUGCAUCUUUUCUUGCUAAAAAUCUAUUGAUAUGGAUCCACUUAAAGUGUUCUACUUGGAUCAUCUUCGAUCCUUAUGCACUCGUGCUGAAACCCCAACUAGCCUAGUUGAUGGGAAAUCUUUAGAUGAGCAUGCUCAUUUUGUGCGUCACCAUUUGUCUGAAAAAGGGAGACUCUUAUGGGAUCAAAUAAACAGAUUGUUGUGUUAUGCUUGGAAUCUUUGUGAAAUUUUUAUUUUACUUGUUGCUCUAAGAACCCUAAAAAACACCUCCCCUACCUAUGUGAGUUUAAUGAUAAUGAAAUCUUAUCUUCUUAUGCAAAGGGUGUUUAUAGUUACUACGAUAUCAAACAAAUUGAAGAAUUUGUUGCUUUUAAGGGUGCUUAUGAAGUUGCUUCUUUGAUUGAAAAGUAUGAUAUUACUCUCUACGAAUCUGAAAAUUUUGACAUACUUAAAUAUUGCUAUGAAAACUAUGCUCAUAAUGUUUAUGUCAAAGAAUUUAUUGACAGAAUGACCGUUGCUUUGGAAGAAAAUAAUGAUAUGCAUGAAUCUCUAGAUAAUUAUGAUUCCAAUAAUUUUAUUGAAGUAUCCCUUGAUGAACAUGAUGAUUGCUAUUCUUGUGGCCAUGAUGCCAAUAUUUAUGAAUAUGAAUUUGCUAUAGUUCCUUAUGUUAAACAUGAGAUCGUUGCUAUUGCACCCAUACUUGAUAGUUCCUUCGAUGAAAAGCAUGAUUGCAAUGAUGUUAUCAUAAAUUCUCUUAAUGUCAAUUGUGUUAAUGAUAUGCAAAACCUCAAGCUUGGGGAUGCUAGUUUUGCUAUGACCACUAUUUUUUGCAAUGAUCAUGAUUGGGGUGAUUUUUCUUAUGAUCUUGAAAAUUUAUUUAAGCCCCAUGAUGAAUAUGAGAUUGAUAAUAAUGUUCGCAAUAAUAUUGAAAGUGGGUUUGGAAGAGUGUCAACUUUAGAUCCCACAUAUUUGGAUAAUGUUCAAUCUUAUGAAGUUUUUGAUAAAAGUGGGUUUGGAGAGGUCAUGACUUUGGAUAAUGUUAAUCCCACUAUUUUGGAAGAGUGUCAACUUUGCAUACAUGUGGAUCGUGUUAAGAAUAUGUUUUGUGAUAGCUAUAUUUUUGAAUUUGCUUAUCAUCCUACAUGUAAUUAUUAUGAGAGAGGAAAAUAUGGUUGUAGAAAUUUUCAUGUUACUAAAUUACCUCUCAUUAUGUUGAGAUUGUUAUUGUUUCUUUCCGCUUCCUUGCAUAUGCUAGUUUUUGCUUGCCUUGAUAAUUUGUUUGCCUAUAAGAUGCCUAUAAAUAGGAAGUAUGUUAGACUUAGAUGUGUUUGUCACGUGUUUUAUGAUGCUCUCUUUGUCCUUCAUUUCUUGUCUUUCAUGUGAGCAUCAUCGAAAUCUCAAUGCCUAGCUAGGGGCGUUAAACGAUGGCGCUUGUUGGGAAGCAACCCAAUUUUAUUUUUGUUCCUUGCUUUUUGUUCCUGUUUAGUAAUAAGUAAUUAAUCUAGCCUCUGUUUAGAUGUGGUUUUAUGUUUUAAUUAGUGUUUGUGCCAAGUAGAACCUUUGGGAAGACUUGGAUGAAGUCUUUGCGAUCUUGUUGUAAAAGACAGAAACUUUUGCGCUCACGAGAUUAGAUGCCAUUUUUUACUGGAGAGUGAUUUUAGGUUGAUUCUUUUUGAAGAUGAUUAAUAGACAAAUUCCUCACGUCCAAAAAUUUAUUUGAGAAUUUUUGGAGUUCCAGAAGUAUUCAUUUGAUACAGAUUGCUACAGACUGUUCUGUUUUGACAGAUUCUGUUUUUUCGUGUGUUGUUUGCUUAUUUUGAUGAAUCUAUGAGUAGUAUCGGGGGGUAUGAACCAUAGAGAAGUUGGAAUACAGUAGGUUUAACACCAAUAUAAAUAAAUAAUGAGUUCAUAACAGUACCUUAAAGUGGUGGUUUAAUUUCUUAUACUAACGGAGCUCAUGAGAUUUUCUGUUUAGGUUUUGUGUUGUGAAGUUUUCAAGUUUUGAGUAAAGAUUUGAUGGAUUUUGGAAUAAGGAGUGGCAAGAGGCUAAGCUUGGGGAUGCCCAAGGCUCCCCAAGGUAAAAUUCAAGGACAACCAAAAGCCUAAGCUUGGGGAUGCCCCGGAAGGCAUCCCCUCUUUCGUCUUCGUCUAUCGGUAACUUUACUUGAGGCUAUAUUUUUAUUCACCACAUGAUAUGUGUUUUGCUUGGAGCGUCUUGUAUGAUUUGAGUCUUUGCUUUUUAGUUUACCACAAUAAUUUGCUGUACACACCUUUUGGAGAGACACGCAUGAAUCGGAAUUUAUUAGAAUAAUCUAUGUGCUUCACUUAUAUCUUUUGAGCUAGAUAAUUUUGCUCUAGUGCUUCACUUAUAUCUUUUUAGAGCGCGGUGGUGGUUUUAUUUUAUAGAAAUUAUUGAUCUCUCAUGCUUCACUUAUAUUAUUUUGAGAGUCUUUUAGAACAGCAUGGUAAUUUUCUUUGGCUAUAAAAUUAGUCCUAAGAUGAUGAGCAUCCAAGAUGGGUAUAAUAAAAACUAUCAUAUAAAGUGCAUUGAAUACUAUGAGAAGUUUGAUUCAUUAUCAUUGUUGUGAGAUAUGAAGAUGGUGAUAUUAGAGUCAUGCUAGUUGAGCAGUUGUGAAUUUGAGAGAUACUUGUGUUAAAGUUUGUGAUUCCCGUAGCAUGCACGUAUGGUGAACCGUUAUGUGACGAAGUCGGAGCAUGAUUUAUUUAUUGAUUGUGUUCCUUAUGAGUGGCGGUCGGGGACGAGCGAUGGUCUUUUCCUACCAAUCAUGUACCCUUUUGUAUGAUUUGAGUCUUUGCUCUUUAUUUUACCACAAUCAUCCUUGUUGUAUACACCUUUUGGGAGAGACACACAUGAAUCGGAAUUUAUUAGAAUACUCUAUGUGCUUCACAUAUAUCUUUUGAGCUAGAUAAUUUUGCUCUAGUCUUCACUUAUAUCUUUUAGAGCACGGUGGUGGUUUUAUUUUAUAGAAAUUAUUGAUCUCUCAUGCUUCACUUAUAUUAUUUUGGGAGUCUUUCAGAACAGCAUGGUAAUUUGCUUUGGCUAUAAAAUUAGUCCUAAUUGUUGGGGAACGUAGUAAUUUCAAAAAGAUUCCUACGCACACGCAAGAUCAUGGUGAUGCAUAGCAACGAGAGGGGAGAGUGUUGUCCACGUACCCUCGUAGACCAAAAGCGGAAGCGUUAUGACAACACGGUUGAUGUAGUCAUAUGUCUUCACGAUCGACCGAUCCUAGUACCGAACGUACGGCACCUCCGCGAUCUACACACGUUCAGCUCGGUGACGUCCCAUGAACUCACGAUCCAGUAGAGCUUCGAGGGAGAGCUUCGUCACCACGACGGCGUGAUGAUGAAGCUACCGGUGCAGGGCUUCGCCUAAGCACUACGACGAUAUGACCGAGGUGGAUUAUGGCGGAGGGGGCACCACACACGGCUAACAGAUCAAUAAUCAACUUGUGUGUCUAUGGGGUGCCCCCCUCCUCCGUAUAUAAAGGAGUGGAGGAGGGGGAGGAGGCCGGCCUCCUAGGCGCGCCCCAAGGGGAGUCCUACUCCCACCGGGAGUAGGAUUCCACCCCUUCCAUGAGUAGGAGUAGGAGAGAAGGAAGGAGGAGAGAGGGGGAAGGAAAAAGGGGGGCGCCGCCCCCCUUCCUAGUCCAAUUCGAACUUGAGGGGGAGGGGGCGCGCGGCCUGCCCUGGCCGCUCCUCCCUCUCUCCACUAAGGCCCAUGAGGACCAUUACACUCCCCGGGGGGUUCCGGUAACCCGCCCCCCGGUACUCCGGUAUUCGUCCAAACUUACUCGGAACCCUUCCGAUGUCCAAACAUAGUCAUCCAAUAUAUCGAUAUUUACGUCUCGACCAUUUCGAUACUCCUCGUCAUGUCCGUGAUCAUAUCUGGGACUCUGAACUAUCUUCGGUACAUCAAAACACAUAAACUCAUAAUACCGAUCGUCACCGAACGUUAAGCGUGCGGACCCUAUGGGUUCGAGAACUAUGUAGACAUGACCGAGACACGUCUCCGGUCAAUAACCAAUAGCGGAACCUGGAUGCUCAUAUUGGCUCCCACAUAUUCUACGAAGAUCUUUAUCGGUCAAACCGCAUAACAACAUACGUUGUUCCCUUUGUCAUCGGUAUGUUACUUGCCCGAGAUUCGAUCGUCGGUAUCUCAGUACCUAGUUCAAUCUUGUUACCGGCAAGUCUAUUUACUCGUUUCGUAAUGCAUCAUCCCGCAACUAACUCAUUAGUUACAUUGCUUGCAAGGCUUAUAGUGAUGUGCAUUACCGAGAGGGCCCAGAGAUACCUCUCCGACAAUCGGAGUGACAAAUCCUAAUCUCGAUCUAUGCCAACUCAACAAGUACCAUCGCAGAGACCUGUAGAGCACCUUUAUAAUCACCCAGUUACGUUGUGACGUUUGGUAGCACACAAAGUGUUCCUUCGGUAUUUGGGAGUUGCAUAAUCUCAUAGUCAUAGGAACAUGUAUAAGUCAGGGAGAAAGCAAUAUAUACUAAACGAUCAAAUGCUAAGCUAACGGAAUGGGUCAAGUCAAUCACAUCAUUCUCUAAUGAUGUGAUCCCGUUAAUCAAAUGACAACUCAUCUCAAUGGCUAGGAAACUUAACCAUCUUUGAUUCAACGAGCUAGUCAAGUAGAGGCAUACUAGUGACACUCUGUUUGUCUAUGUAUUCACACAUGUACUAAGUUUCCGGUUAAUACAAUUCUAGCAUGAAUAAUAAACAUUUAUCAUGAUAUAAGGAAAUAUAAAUAACAACUUUAUUAUUGCCUCUAGGGCAUAUUUCCUUCAGUCUCCCACUUGCACUAGAGUCAAUAAUCUAGAUCACUUCGCCAUGUGAUUUAACACCAAUAGUUCACAUCACCAUGUGAUUAACACCCAUAGUUCACAUCGCCAUGUGACCAACACUCAAAGGGUUUACUAGAGUCAGUAAUCUUAGUUCACAUCGCCAUGUGAUUAACACCCAAAGAGUACUAAGGUGUGAUCAUGUUUUGCUUGUGAGAGAAGUUUAGUCAACGGGUGUGCCAUAUUCAGAUCAGUAUGUAUUUUGCAAAUUUCUAUGUCAACAAUGCUCUGCACAGAGCUACUCUAGCUAAUUGCUCCCACUUUCAAUAUAUAUCCAGAUUGAGACUUAGAGUCAUCUGGAUCAGUGUCAAAACUUGCAUCGAUGUAACCCUUUAUGACGAACCUUUUGUCACCUCCAUAAUCGAGAAACAUAUCCUUAUUCCACUAAGGAUAAUUUUGACCGCUGUCCAGUGAUCUACUCCUAGAUCACUAUUGUACUCCCUUACCAAAAUUAGUGUAGGGUAUACAAUAGAUCUGGUACACAGCAUGGCAUACUUUAUAGAACCUACGGCUGAGGCGUAGGGAAUGACUUUCAUUCUCUUUCUAUCUUCUGCCGUGGUCGGGCUUUGAGUCUUACUCAAUUUCACACCUUGCAAUACAGGCAAGAACUCUUUCUUUGACUGUUCCAUUUUGAACUACUUCAAAAUCUUGUCAAGGUAUGUACUCAUUGAAAAAACUUAUCAAGCGUCUUGAUCUAUCUCUAUAGAUCUUGAUGCAUAUUAUGUAAGCAGCUUCACCGAGGUCUUUCUUUGAAAAACUCCUUUCAAAUACUCCUUUAUGCUUUCCAGAAAAAUAUACAUUAUUUCCGAUCAACAAUAUGUCAUUCACAUAUACUUAUCAGAAAUGUUGUAGUGCUCCCACUCACUUUCUUGUAAAUACAGGCUUCACCGCAAGUCUAUAUAAAACUAUAUGCUUUGAUCAACUCAUCAAAGCGUAUAUUCCAACUCCGAGAUGCUUGCACCAGUCCAUAGAUGGAUCGAUGGAGCUUGCACAUUUUGUUAGCACCUUUAGGAUCGACAAAACCUUCUGGUUGCAUCAUAUACAACUCUUCUUUAAGAAAUCCACUAAGGAAUGUAGUUUUGACAUCCAUUUGCCAGAUUUCAUAAAAUGUGGCAAUUUGCUAACAUGAUUCGGACAGACUUAAGCAUCCCUACGAGUGAGAAAAUCUCAUCGUAGUCAACACCUUGAACUUUGUCAAAAACCUUUUUCGACAAGUCUAGCUUUGUAGAUAGUAACACUACUAUCAGCGUCCGUCUUCUUCUUGAAGAUCCAUUUAUUUUCUAUGGCUUGCCGAUCAUCGGUCAAGUCAACCAAAGUCCACACUUUGUUCUCAUACAUGGAUCCCAUCUCAGAUUUCAUGGCCUCAAGCCAUUUCGCGGAAUCUGGGCUCAUCAUCGCUUCCUCAUAGUUCGUAGGUUCGUCAUGGUCAAGUAACAUGACCUCCAAAACAGGAUUACCGUACCACUCUGGUGCGGAUCUCACUCUGGUUGACCUACGAGGUUCGAUAGGAACUUGAUCUGAAGUUACAUGAUCAUCAUCAUUAGCUUCCUCACUAAUUGGUGUAGGAGUCACAGGAACAGAUUUCUGUGAUGAACUACUUUCCAAUAAGGGAGCAGGUACAGUUACCUCAUCAAGUUCUACUUUCCUCCCACUCACUUCUUUCGAGAGAAACUCCUUCUCUAGAAAGGAUCCAUUCUUAGCAACGAAUGUCUUGCCUUCGGAUCUGUGAUAGAAGGUAUACCCAACUGUCUCCUUGGGGUAUCCUAUGAAGACACAUUUCUCCAAUUUGGGUUUGAGCUUAUCAGGAUGAAACUUUUUCACAUAAGCAUCGCAACCCCAAACUUUGAGAAACGACAACUUUGGUUUCUUGCCAAACCACAGUUCAUAUGGUGUCAUCUCAACGGAUUUAGAUGGUGCCCUAUUUAACGUGAAUGCAGCUGUCUCUAAUGCAUAACCCCAAAACGAUAGUGGUAAAUCGGUAAGAGACAUCAUAGAUUGCACCAUAUCUAAUAAAGUACGGUUAUGAUGUUCGGACACACCAUUACGUUGUGGUGUUCCAGGUGGCGUGAGUUGUGAAACUAUUCCGCAUUGUUUCAAAUGAAGACCAAACUCGUAACUCAAAUAUUCUCCUCCACGAUCAGAUCGUAGAAACUUUAUUUUCUUGUUACGAUGAUUUUCCACUUCACUCUGAAAUUAUUUGAGCUUUUCAAAUGUUUCAAAUUAAUGUUUCAUCAAGUAGAUAUACCUAUAUCUGCUCAAAUCAUCUGUGAAGGUCAGAAAAUAACGAUACCUGCCGCGAGCCUCAACACUCAUCGGACUGCAUACAUCAGUAUGUAUUAUUUCCAACAAGUCUGUUGCUCGCUCCAUUGUUCCGGAGAACGGAGUCUUAGUCAUCUUGCCCAUGAGGCAUGGUUCGCAAGCAUCAACUGAUUCAUAAUCAAGUGAUUCCAAAAGCCAAUCGGCAAGGAUUUUCUUCAUGCGCUUUACACCAAUAUGACCUAAAUGGCAGUGCCACAAAUAAGUUGCACUAUCAUUAUUAACUUUGCAUUUUUUGGCUUCAAUAUUAUGAAUUUGUGUAUCACUACAAUCGAGAUUCAAUAAACCAUUCACCUUGGGUGUAUGACCAUUGAAGGUUUUAUUCAUGUAAACAGAACAACAAUUAUUCUCUGACUUUAAAUGAAUAACUGUAUUGCAUUUAAACAUGAUCAAAUCAUAUUCAUGCUUAACGCAAACACCAAAUAACAUUUAUUUAGGUUCAACACUAAUCCCGAAAGUAUAGGGAGUGUGCGAUGAUGAUCAUAUCAAUCUUGGAACAACUUUCAACACACAUCAUCACUUCACCCUUAACUAGUCUCUGUUCAUUCUGCAACUCCCGUUUCGAGUUACUAAUCUUAGCAACUAAACUAGUAUCAAAUACUGAGGGGUUGCUAUAAACACUAGUAAAGUACACAUCAAUAACAUGUAUAUCAAAUAUACCUUUGUUCACUUUGCCAUCCUUCUUAUCCACCAAAUACUUGGGGCAGUUCUGCUUCCAGUGACCAGUCCCUUUGCAGUAGAAGCACUUAGUCUCAGGCUUAGGUCCAAACUUGGGCUUCUUCACUUGAGCAGCAACUUGCUUGCCGUUCUUCUUGAAGUUCCCCUUCUUCCCUUUGCCAUUUUCUUGAAACUAGUGGUCUUGUCAACUGUCGGUGUACAAAAGUAGGGGCUCUCCUUUUGACCCCUCUACUUGUGCACAGGCAGUCAGAGCCGCGCCCGCGGCCACACUGAGCAGGGUAGAAGAGGGAAGCCGGAGCACAAGGCAACCAAAGCAACGCCAAGACCAGAAACACAACAAGCAAGAGGGCGAGGUGGGCUCCCCCGGCGAGACCCUUGCCGGGGCAGCCCCCGCAGCCCGGGCAAGAGCCUUGCCGGGGCAACUUGCCCGACGCCAGCGGGGCGCGCCACCCUUGAGCCCAAGGGUUCCAACGCCGCCAACAACCGCAUUGGAACCAAGGCUCAAGAGGCACCUCCGUGGUGGCAUGCAGAUCUUCGUCAAGAUCAUAAAUACACAAGGUCAGAUGAGGACCAGAAGACGACGAUUCUUGGCGAAGAUCCUUGCCAAGGAAAUCUACGAGACCCCCCCCCCCCCGGCAAGAUCCUUGCCGGGGACGACCGCGGUGCUACGGCAAGACCCUUGCCAAGGACGUCAGCGGGGCCGUGGCCAGGUCCACGUCUGCCAAGACUACACCGCUGCUCCCAUGCAGCUGCUAGCUCAACCAGCUGGCCAGGCACCUGCGUGGCAGCGUGCGGCCUCUACGCCGACUUAGCUAGCACCUGCGUGGUGGCAUGCAGAUCUUCAUGAAGACUCCGCCACCGCACUAGCCCAGCAGCCAGCCAACGUGGCGCUACAACGCCUCGUCAGCUCGGACGCGCGUCACAGCCAGGCGAGGCGGUGACAUCUGGGACGAGCUUCCUUGCCGUCCCCGAUAAAGCAAGAGGAGCACGUCGGCAGCGCAUUCAAUGUGUUUGUCCGACGGUGCCAGAGGAUAGACUCAUCCACUGUACACCUUUCCACCUCCUGUGUGCCACUGUGGCAACCCCUUUUGUCUAUAAAAGGAGGCCCGAGGCGACCAGGAGAAGGAUUCGGAUAUCUAGGACUAGACACGCACCGUAGCUAGUUCAAGAACUCAAGAACACUCAAAUACAUACACCAAAGCAGGACUAGGGUAUUACGCAUUCUCGCGGCCCGAACCUGGGUAAACGAUCUUUGUGCUGGCUCAUAGACCUGUUCUUUGCACAACCCCGUGCCCGCCAAUCGUAGAAGGGAUCCCAGUGAUCCCAUAGGUGUCGUUAUCACCGACAUCUUUGGCGCGCCAGGUAGGGGGCGCAGUUGUGGAAAUCUGGUCUGGUUGGAGCAGCGGUUUCAUGGUGGUCGUCACUCCAAGGAAGAAGACGACCAAAUGGGCGGCGUCGCCUGCGGAUGCGGUGGACACCCGCGCAACGACAAAAAAGCUAAGUUACGCGAAAUCUUGGCUAUAUUCACUUAUAUAAGGUUGUUCUCCCCGAGAGAUCUCGUUCUUUGUACGGGAAACCUGCACGCGAUGGGGCCCUUCUGCUGUUGGCAAUGCCUUUGUUCUGUCUCGAGCCUGCUCGACAGUUCAUGCGGCCGCGCUGGCGGCGGCAAGGUGGCCUACCCGUUCCCAGCUGCGCUCUUGUCCUGCCUCGAGUCCGCUCGACAGCUCAAGCGACCGCGCUGGCGGCUGCAAGGUGGCUCGCCCGGCAGCAAGCGCCCUGCCGGCAGGGUGCUAAGGAUCCGUCCUUAAAGCACCAUGGCAUGGGUUUACGCGCCAGCAGCCUUAUCUCAACAAGCGUAGGGUACGAACAUACGAAGAAAGAUCUAACGGGAAGAUAGCGUGCAUAAUAUUAAAGUACUGCGGAGUUAUAUUACAUCAAUUGUUGCUGCGGUUCUAACUAAAGAUAAAAAUUGUCUUGGUCAUGAACCUGCAGUGGCGAUAAGAAACGGGGUGCCUAAUCCCGGCGCUGGCCCUCUACCCUCUGAACUCCAUCGAUGCGGCUGAUGAUGGGCUCAAUACGCUCCUCGAGCGCUCCGAGGUCCGCAUCCUCCGGCAAGCUCUCCAGCGUGGUGUCGAAGUUGAGGUUGGGGUUCCAGUACGCCACCUUGGUGAGGACCUUGGUCAUGACACCCCGGCAGAGCCUCCGGGCCUCAUUGGCCAGAGAGGCCGCCCGGUUGGAGUGGAGCCGCUCCAGGGCUCCAAUAACCCUCUCAAAGAACAGGGUCAGGUUACAGUUGGGACUCAAGUUCGGCUCCGAGGCGUACCUCACAUUCGACAUCCCCAUGGAAGCCAGCUGCGUGGUGGUCCUGUCGGCGGCGGCGGCGAGGCGGCUGAGCCAGAGGUUCUCGCCCUUCACGUAAUCCUCGUGGUCGACGGCGUCGUUCUUCCGCAGCUUCCUCUCAUCCUCCAGGGCUUUGGUCAGGGCCUCCUCCCGAGUUUUGGCCUCCGAAAGCGUCCCCUCAAGACUCUCCAGCUUCAGCUUCAGGUCUUUGACGGAGUCGUUGGCCUUGGAGAGCUGCUCAGCCUUGCCGAGGACUGCGGCCUGCGCCUCAACCAGAGCGCCAUUGAGCGUGUCCUUCUCCUUGGACAGCUUCAGGACCUGGUCCUUCAGCCCAUCCCGCUCCACCUCCAGCUCCUUCACCUUGCCGGCCUGGACCUGGGCCUGAGCAUUGAGUGCCUCCUUGUGCCUCUGCUCUAGCUCCUGGGUCCGCUGCACGACAAGCUUCUCCACCUCCUCGUCCUUACCAUGGAGUGUCGCAGCGAGCUUCUCCUCGCGAGCGGCAAGGUCCUCCUCCUGGGAGUUCAGCACGGCCUGGUGCUGGUGCCGCGUGGCCUUGUCCUGGGCGGCCUGCUGUUUUGCCAUUUCCUGGGCCUUCUCGAUGUCGGUCUGCUUCAUGACAAGCUCCAGCUUGCGCUCAGCCAGCACAUCCUGGGCGGCCUUCAAGUCCUUGUGGGCCUGCGGAGCCACGCCUGCGCCUCGGUGACACACUCCUCGAGGUCCGCCUCUGCCUUGUCCACCACCGCCAUCCUGGACUUUGCCUUGUCCAGGCGGGCGCGGUGAAGCACCUGGAGCUUCUGGAAGUUGGCGCUCAUGGCCUGGAGGAGCCGCUCUGUCACGACCGAUUUUUCAAUAAAAUAAUUAUUGAGAAACCAAUCCCUGUUACGGACCAGCGAGGAAGAAUUCCUUCUCACUGAUAGACAAUACAUUGGUCACAGAAGAAAAAUACCAGGAGUACUAAAUAUAAUACAAGGUUGAGCAGAGACUGCCCAACAAUUUAUUACAUGCACGUCGAUAAAACAAUACGGCGGUUAGGGUGGCAAACUACUAGCUCACGAUAAAAACGGUGGUGGAAAUGUCAUCGCGAGGCGAGUGACAUGAUUCCAGAAUACUACAACUCUUCGAGCGUCGGAGUGAGGCUCGAGAAGAAUUAUUACGGGUGGCGGAAGCGUAAACGAUACACGUGACCAAUAUCCAGGAUCGCGCAGGACUGACUGGGACUCCUCUAGGCGUCGGACGCGCUAUCAAACUCUUCAUCCAAGAGAUCGCCUUCGUCAACAUCUGGCCAAAUCAACAAGCCAGGUGAGUACUAUGAAAGUACUCGCAAGACAGUUCGGACAUAAGGUAUAACAAAUGCAAAUAUGAAGCACAUGAAUAAGUUAACCAGUGCGAUCAGACACAGAGAUAAUAAAUACUGGGUGCCAAGCGAGGGUCUGAAUGACGCCUCGAGCGGAAACUGCAGAAUAGUAAUGCUGGUGCCAAACGAGUGUCUGAAAGACUCCUCGAGAGGAAAAUGCGGAAUAAUAAUACAGGUGCCAAACGAGUGUCUGAAAGACUCCUCGAGAGGAAAAUGCGGAAUAAUAAUACAGGUGCCAAACGAGUGUCUGAAAGACUCCUCGAGAGGAAAAUGCGGAAUAAUAAUACAGGUGCCAAACGAGUGUAUGAAAGACUCCUCGAGAGGAAAAUGCGGAAUAAUAAUACAGGUGCCAAACGAGUGUCUGAAAGACUCCUCGAGCGGAAAAUGCAGAAUAAUAAUGCCACAGUCGGGCGUCGGGGCGACACCACAUAAAGGGCUUAUAACCGAAAGUAAAGACAGUGCAUGCCGCAGUCGGACGUCUGAGCGACAUCACAUAAAGGGCUUAUAUCGAAAGUGAGAAACGAGUACACGCCACAGUCGGACGUCUGCGCGACGUCACAUAAAGGGCUUAUGUCACAACUCAUUAAUGCAAUAGCUCGGAGACAUAAAUUAUCACAAGCAUGAGACACAAAAUAAAGUUAGUCCAUCAACUGGAAUAACAAUAAAUCUGAGAUUUUACCGCUUGAGCUUGUUCACCGGGGGCAAGAUUUUCACACAGAUAGAUUUGGACGUAAAGUCUACAUUACUGAUCAUGGAUACGAUGAUUUGGAAGGAAUUGACUCUGCAGAGUUUGUACUUAACCACAGCCAACGGAUUUCAGUAGUCACGGGGACUAGUUCCAUCUACGGUGUUCUGGAAGGAACACGUCUAACCAGUACACACCCAAUUUAACCAUCCGAAGCCAGGGACCACCCUCGGCAACAUUCAGGAAAAACCCUGAGUCGAGGAGGCUACAACCUCGCGUAGCAUGGGAACAAAUUUCUAUACGCGCGCUAUAAGGGGGUGCCCCCCCUCUCGGUCCCAACCGGAAACACCCAUGCCCCCUGACCGAAUGACUGGCUUUAAUCCUGGGCCAAGGUACCAUCAUCCCGGCCUCUCUAUUUGGUGUGUACACGGAAAGAGGUUACCAACUUACUAAACCGUAUCCUGGCAAUGAGACAUGUGGUAGCACGGAAAGGGGAAGGGACGAUAACACGGCUCCAACCAUGUUAACGUCGGAAAGGUCGGAUGACACAAGGCUGGCAUGCUACAACAGUACCACCUUGCUGCCCUUCAUGUCACCACAUGAUUAGGCCACCUCUCAUCAGAGGUCAUCGCAACUUUGGAACAUGCGGGAAAAGAUCGAUAACGUGGCUCCAACCACGUUAACGUCGAAGAGAGUCGGAUGACGCAAGGCUGGCAUGCUACAACAGUACCACCUUGCUGCCCUUCAUGUCACCACAUGAUUAGGCCACCUCUCAUCAGAGGUCAUCGCAACUUUGGAACAACUGGGUCGUUGCCUUACAAGCAACGAGAUAUUUAUCGACACUCACAUGCCACGCACAAACUUUCACAUGAACAUGCAAAACAUUUGCCAUAUCAAAUGUUCAAACAUGCUUGCCUGGUUCGGAGAAGUCGGAGUCUAGCUCGACGAAGUUCGCGGCUCCGUCCCCUCUCCCGGAACCUACGGCAAUCACGAAACGGGGUACUAACGUGAAAACCAACACAUGCACAGAAACUUUGCCAAAUAUUUUUCAAAUAAAUCCCAUAAAAGCCUAGACAAAAUUUGGAGAUUGACAGAAAAAGAAUCACUCAAAAAUACCUUUUCAUUAAAAAGUUAUAAAGGUUUCUGUCCAGGGACCUUUCUGUAAUGAAACAGAAAAGUUCCAGGGUUUUAACUGAGAAGACAGAAAACGCUUCGGCUGGGAAUGCGCAAGUGCAAGGAGAAAACGUAUUUUGCCCGAAGGCGCCAACAGAAAACGGUUCGGGGAAAUAAAACAGAGGCUGACACGCGGGGCCCGCAUGUCAGGUUUGAAAGUUCGCCGGCGUCGAACCACGGCGAGUUAGGAGAAACGGAGGGUACCAAGAGCUUCAGCGUCUUCUUCCGCGUCGGUGGGUGGUGGACUCGUUCAAAGGGGAGCACCACGUCGACGGCGACACUAUCUCCGGCGGACGGCGGUUCGGGUGAGGUUGGGGAACUCCGGUGGAGGGCUGCAAAGUACGAAUUGGGGCGCGGGUCAGAACGGGUGAUGCAAGGAGAAGCUACUGGCAAGAGAAUGGGGGCUGCGGAGCACACACGGGGGCGAAUCGGGCUGGAUCCCGUGGCGGAUCGCGGCGGCCGGAGUCGAAGAAGGAGACCCCCUCGCGGCUCUUCCAGUGGCUGGGCGUGCUCUAGGGGAAGUGUAGGGCUGGUGGGUGCUCGAGUUGAAGCUCGGGGCCCCUAUUUAUAGGCAGAUCGACGGGGUGGCCGUGAACGGAGAAUCUCCGGCGAGCGAUUACGGCGGAGCAGUGGGUUGGCAGAGGGUUAGAGCGGUCGAGCAGCAUCAGUGGGUGUUACGGGACUCGUUUUGCAGCUAAACGGAGCUGGCCCUGGCGUAAUGGCGUCUGCCCACGGUGAGGUGACCGCACGGGCUCAACGGCGGCAGAGAGCGCGCUCCGCGCCCUGGGGUUCACGACGAGAGCGGCAGCGCAUUCGGGGGAGUGGACAGCCACGCGGCGGGCUCCGGUGGUUUGGGCGGCGCUGGGUGGAGUCGGCGGCGCCGUGUCUCCCGCUGGCGUCCGCAAAGCCGCCGCCGGCGUCGGUCACGGGGCGGCGCACCUUCUGCUGCUCGUCGCCGACGCCCGCAAGAUGCCAGGCACUCGUGCGGUGCAGGAACAAGUGGGCGAGGACGAGGAGCAAGGCGACGCGAGGGUACUGGCGAGAUCGAUGCCCGUUUCUAAAGAAAACGACAGCAGCCACUUGACUGAACUCUGAACUUACUGAAUCUUGACAGUGACCAAGCAUUGCAGGUGUUCGACAGUAGGUUUUGGUAAAGAGAUAAAUUUUUCUGGAGCUGUAACUUGGUGAGAUGAUCACUCAAAGCACCCAGGGGCUGCAUGAAUUUAUUUGGAAUUUUUGGAGAAAGUUUUGAAUGAAUUUCACCAAAUUUGGCAAAUCUGGUCCAAACUUGCAGCUGAUGUAGUUUGAAAUUUUUGAACUGGAGACCAGUGGAUCUUCAUGGUUCUAGGUUGAGGGUUCAAAGGACUAGGAGGGGAAAGAAGUUUGGUGGCAAAAAUCAAAACAGAAAAAGGAGUUCCUUUGUAAAUCUCCAAGUGCUAUAAGAGAAGACAGAAAUUUAUUUAAAUAGAAUUUGAAUGGAAAUGAUCACAUGAGGAGGUUCAACUUGCUGGAUUUGAUGCAAAUCAUGAUCCAAAGGUGAGGGAAGGGUUAGGAGAGAGGAUUUGCACUAAUGCCAUGGCAAGAAGGAAUAGUUGAAAGUGGCAAAGGACUUUCCAAAAGCCAUAGUGCAAAUUCAAGAAAAGGUUUUCAAAAGUUAUUCUCUCAAAUGAAAAACAUUUUGACUUGAGCCCAAAUGAAGAGCAAGAACUCCCCAGGUCAAAGGCAGAUCUUGGGUGAAUUCAAAUAAAAUUUUUGCCAUAAAAAAAUAUUUGAGAGUGAGAGUUCUCUUGAAGAAACUUUUUAAAUCACUCCCUUCAAGUCAAAUAAAAAUCUUUUUUGAAAAAACCAAAUAAAAACUUGGGUGCCACAACACCUACCCCCUUAGGAAAAAUCUCGUCCUCGAGAUUUCUGCUGAUCCUCAAAUAGAUAUGGAUACUCUGCUCGGAGGAAAUCUUCCCUUUCCCAUGUGGCUUCAUCCUCAGCGUGGUUGCUCCACUGGACCCUGAAAAACUUUGUCGUUUUCUGACGGGUCCUCCGUUCAGACCCUUCUAAAAUCUUUACUGGCCUUUCUCUGUAGGUGAGAUCUGGUUGCAUAUCAAUGUCCUCAUGAGGUACAUGUUUCUCCGGGUUACUCACACAUUUCCUCAACUGCGAGACGUGGAAUACGUCAUGGACGUCUGAUAGCUCCUUGGGCAGGUCUAGUUGGUAGGCUACCGUGCCUCUUCGUGCCUUCACACAAAAUGGUCCAAUAAAUCUUGGGGCUAGCUUCCCCUUAAUUUUGAACCGUUGCAGACCCCUCAUAGGAGAUACUCGGAGGUAUACGGAAUCACCAGGUUCAAAGCUGACCUCACGAUGCUUCUGAUCAUAGUAGCUCUUUUGUCGGUUCUGUGCUGUCUUGAGUCUGUCCCUGAUUUGUUUAACUUUUUCCUCGGCCUCCUUAAGCAUAUCUGGGCCGAAGAUACGGCUGUCACCUGUUUCUGACCAAUUCAAUGGGGUACGACACCUCCGUCCGUACAAUGCUUCAAAGGGUGCCAUUUGCAAGCAGGCUUGGUAACUGUUGUUGUACGCAAAUUCGGCAUACGGCAAACUCUCUUCCCAACUGGAUCCAUAGGUGAGCACACAGGCUCUUAGCAUAUCCUCUAGGAUUUGGUUUACACGUUCUGUUUGUCCAUCUGUCUGAGGGUGGUAUGCUGUACUGAAAGCUAGUUGCGUGCCCAGAGCUUGUUGUAGGUGAUCCCAAAAUUUGGAGACGAAUUGGGUGCCUCGGUCUGAUAUUAUAGUCUUUGGGACUCCGUGCAAGCAAACUAUACGAGAGAGAUAGAGUUUUGCCAGUCUUUGUGUGGAGUAGGUAGUCUUCACGGGAAUGAAGUGAGCAACCUUGGUUAGUCGGUCUGUGAUGACCCAGAUGGCGUCAUUUCCACGCUGUGAUCGGGGUAAUCCGACAAUGAAGUCCAUUCCGAUUUCAUCCCAUUUCCACUCCGGUAUCCUGUUAGGCUGGAGUAGUCCUGCUGGCUUUUGGUGCUCGGCCUUGAUGCGCUGACAUGAAUCGCAACAAGCAACGAAUGUGGCUAUAUCUCUUUUCAUACCGUGCCACCAAAAUCUUUCCUGAAUGUCCUUGUACAUUUUGGUUCCUCCAGGAUGUAUCGAGUAUGGAGCGGUGUGGCUCUCCGUCAAGAUCUGUUGCUUGAGUUCCUCAAUGUUAGGUACGCAAAGUCUGUCCCGGUACCAUAAUGUUCCUUCACUGUCCGUGACGAAUUCUGAAGUCUUACUACGGUUCAUUUCCUUCUUUAUGCCUUCGAUACUGGGAUGUCCCUGUUGAGCCUUCUUGAUUUGUUCCACUAGGGUGGGUUGUAUCUCCAGGUUCGAUAUGGUGCCCUCAGAGACUAACAUCAUGUUGAGCCGAGUGAACUCUCGCUGAAACUCAGGCCUCAAGUUCUGCUGACCGUCACUGUCCGGGCUGGGGUUUCGGCUAAGGGCAUCGGCCACUACAUUUGCUUUUCCUGGGUGGUAGUGGAUGCCGAUGUCAUAGUCUUUGACCAGUUCCAACCAGCGUCGUUGGCGUAAAUUCAGCUCUGGCUGUGUGAAGAUAUAUUUGAGGCUCUUAUGGUCCGUAUAUAUUUCACAGCGAUUUCCCAACAGAAAGUGCCUCCACUCCUUGAGUUCAUGUAUAACUGCUGCUAGUUCCAAGUCAUGUGUUGGGUAAUUUUCCUCAUGUUUUCGCAGCUGUCUGGAGGCAUAUGCGACAACCUUGCCCUCCUGCAUUAGCACACAUCCGAGACCUUUUCGGGACGCGUCACAAUACACCUCAAAGCUCUUGUGUAUGUCUGGUACGGUUAAGACUGGCGCGGUUGUUAGCUUCUUCUUGAGUUCUUGGAAGCUCUGCUCACAUGCUUCCGUCCAUACCAAUUUCUUGUCCUUCUUGAGUAACUGUGUUAUAGGUUUUGCCACAGUGGAGAAUCCUUCAAUAAACCUCCUGUAAUACCCGGCCAUUCCUAGGAAACUCCGCACAUCUGUAACAUUCGCGGGCGGCUUCCAGUCCAGUAUGGCCUUGACUUUUUCUGGGUCUACGGCCACGCCUUCUUGGUUCAAAACAUGGCCCAAGAAACCAACUUGUCUUAGCCAAAAUUCGCAUUUGCUAAACUUGGCGUACAACUGAUGUUUCCUCAAUUCUCCCAAAACCAUUCUGAGGUGCUCAGUAUGCUCUUCUGGUGUCCUUGAGUAAACCAGAAUGUCGUCAAUGAAUACCACCACAAAUUUGUCCAUGAAUUUCAUGAAUACUUUGUUCAUGAGGUGGACGAAAUAUGCGGGGGCGUUCGUUAGUCCAAAAGGCAUCACUGUGAACUCGUACAACCCAUAUCUGGAAGUGAAUGCUGUCUUGGGGAUAUCCUCUGUUCGUACUUUCAGUUGAUGGUAUCCUGAUCUCAAAUCAAUCUUUGAAAAUACUUUAGCUUGUGCGAGCUGGUCAAACAAAUCAUUUAUCUGUGGUGUCGGGUAUUUGUUUUUGAUGGUGACCAUAUUGAGGGCUCGAUAGUCUAUGCAUAGUCUCAGUGUCCCAUCCUUCUUCUUGGCGAACAAUACGGGCGAACCCCAUGGUGAGGAGCUAGCUCGUAUAAACCCCUUGACCAGUAAUUCCUAAAAUGACAUCCAGUCCUUUACUUUCCAACAUGAUGAGAUUCGCGUGGAAUGGUAGUCCUUCGAACUCAAUGACCACUCCUUGGCAGUAACCCUGAGCAAUUUGCUUAUUUCCGGGGGACUUGAUGAUCAUAGAUUUUUCCAAGGGGAGUAUCGGAAAACCAUGUUGCGAAACAAAACUCUUCGAAACGAACAAAUGGGAAGCUCCAGAAUCAAACAAAACCGUGGCAGGUACUGUGUUGACAGGGAACGUACCGAGCACGAUGUCUAGGGCAUUCUGCGCUUCUUCCCUGGUCACAUGGUUCAAGUGACCCUUCCUGUGGUUGUUGCUGGGAUUGAAGUUGUUGCGCUUGGGGGCUGGAUUGUUUCCACCAUUGUUCGGCUUGGGUGUUGAGUCUCUUGGCUUCGGGCACUGUUUAGCAUAAUGCCCUUGUUGACCACAGGCAUAGCAGGUGACCCCUGGACGGUAUGUGAACUCCUUGUCUCUGGCAUGAAAUUGUCCGACGGGUCUUGGCUCAGUAGUCGUGGAUCUCCUCGUGUCUGUCCUUGGGACCUCAGUCUUGCCUCGGUUGCUGUGGGCAAGAGUGGUCUUGUCCCUCUUCCGCUUGCGGAUAUCUUCCAGACUACGGCGCUCAUUCUCCAGGGUGAUGGCCUUGUCCACCAGCGUCUUAAAAUCCGGAAAGGUGUGUACAAUCAGUUGGCAUCUUAAUGCUGGUGUCAGGCCGUCCAGGAAUUUUUCCAUCUUCUUGUUUUCUGUCAUGUGCUCGUCGUAGGCAUAACGAGACAGUUGGGUAAACUGGCCGUUGUAUUCUGUGACGGUCAUGCCUCUUUGCUUCAGGUCAUCAAACUCUCUCUUCUUGAUCUUUAGGAUGCUCCUGGGAAUGUGUGCCCCACGGAAGCCUUCCUUGAAUUCUUCCCAGGUGAUGUUGUGUUCCCUGGGGUGCAUGUGUAGGAAGUUUUCCCACCAUGCGGCGGCUGCUCCAGUAAGGUAGUGUGGUGCAUAAAGCACCUUCUCAUGAUCUAAGCAUUGAGCGAUAAUCAGUUUCCUUUCAAUCUCGCGAAGCCAAUCAUCGGCUUCCAGUGGCCUGUCGGUAUGAGCAAAAGUUGAGGGGCGAGUCUUCUGUAACUCAGAUAACUUGGAAUGUGGUUGAUAGGGUUCACGGUGGUUUCCCAUAUUGAUGACAUGGUUCAUCAUCUCCUGGUGUUGUUGCUGGCUUUGCUCGAAGAGACGGCAUACUUGAGAUAGUGCCGCUUCGCUGUCCUGUUGGCUGGACUGACCCUGAGUGAAAUUGUUGCUGGUCUGUGUUCCGUAAACCUCUUCUGGCUGAUUGGGCAUAGAGCGAGUCCAAGGGCGAGACAUUUUUCCAGUCUGGGGUAUCAUUUGCAAAACCCAUGAGAAAAACUGUGUAGCGCAGGAAAACCCUUGCAAAGGCAAUAAUCCAAAAAGGCUUCAAGGUUUUCAAGAAACACAAAUGAUUUUCACGGAGAAGAAGUGCUUAACACAAAUCUUACAUGCGAAAGCAAACACAAGAUACAGCACUCAGGUUGUGCGUACACAAUCCUGACAUGUUAUUAAAAACUAGCGUACUACUCCGGAAGGCAGCAAACACACCAAUACAAACUAGCGUACAGAUAAAAAAACAACACAUCAUACAAGCAGGCAUAACACGCGGCUACUCGGUGCUCUCAGUCGGAGAUGGUGAAGAUCUCCUUCCCCUUGCCGAGGGCAAGGCUCAGCGGUCCAGGAGAAUCAACCUCCUCCUCUCUAGCUGGUUCCUGGCGUGCGACGCUGCGCUGCGGUGAUGGUGCGGGGGCGACUGGCGGUAGAGCGCGUGCGGCAGGCGGUGCGGCUCUGACUGGAGUAGGAGCGAUGACUCGGUCGAACUCCUCAGUGGUAGGCAGACGGCGAGCAGUGGCCAAAACGGCCGGUGCAUACGAGGCUGAAGACGAGACGAAUGUCAGAGGCGGCGCCGUGUGGAGAAGCUCCUUCCUGCUGGCAGGACCGCCCCGGACUAAGUCCAUGCGGGCAGCCACAAGAUCAUCUACGAGGUUGUCGAAAGACUCCUCCAGAGCCUUGAGAUACUCCACAACCAUCUCGAUGGUUUCAUCUCGCUCUCCCCGAUGGCAGGCGAACGCAUAGUGGCUGGUGUAAGGCACAUGGCAUGGGAGGUAGCGGUAGCGACGAGUCUUCAUCGUAGGUAGGAUGUCCCGAAGGCGAGCUAUCGCCUCACGGGCAGCCAUCUGCAUGGCAUGCCUCUCCGUAGGCAUGGCCCUUCCCGUAAAACGGAAAUGGCGAGCAGCAGAUCGUCCUCCCCUGAAUUGCACCACAGCCUGGUGCAUAGACACGUCGUCACUGAGCUUGUGCUGAUAGAGUGUGAACUCCGGGCGAGCUGCUGGCCCGAUCGCGAGCUUGGUGAUGGAGACGAGGAGCUUGACAAACCCCUCGGGCACGUUGGUGAACACUCGAUUCUCACAGCUGCUGCCAGCCAUCUACAAAAGUAGGCAAACAUUCUGAGUAGUCAUGUCAUAAAUUUUAUGAUGACCAACAGAAAAUAGCUACAAUUGCAAAAUGCUGAAGAAGCACUAAAGACGCUAAUAACCGAUUAGCGAUCGCACCUAGUGGCUUCCUACAGUCAGCCUGGCUCUGAUACCAAGCUUGUCACGACCGAUUUUUCAAUAAAAUAAUUAUUGAGAAACCAAUCCCUGUUACGGACCAGCGAGGAAGAAUUCCUUCUCACUGAUAGACAAUACAUUGGUCACAGAAGAAAAAUACCAGGAGUACUAAAUAUAAUACAAGGUUGAGCAGAGACUGCCCAACAAUUUAUUACAUGCACGCCGAUAAAACAAUACGGCGGUUAGGGUGGCAAACUACUAGCUCACGAUAAAAACGGUGGUGGAAAUGUCAUCGCGAGGCGAGUGACAUGAUUCCAGAAUACUACAACUCUUCGAGCGUCGGAGUGAGGCUCGAGAAGACUUAUUACGGGUGGCGGAAGCGUAAACGAUACAAGUGACCAAUAUCCGGGAUCGCGCAGGACUGACUGGGACUCCUCUAGGCGUCGGACGCGCUAUCAAACUCUUCAUCCAAGAGAUCGCCUUCGUCAACAUCUGGCCAAAUCAACAAGCCAGGUGAGUACUAUGAAAGUACUCGCAAGACAGUUCGGACAUAAGGUAUAACAAAUGCAAAUAUGAAGCACAUGAAUAAGUUAACCAGUGCGAUCAGACACAGAGAUAAUAAAUACUGGGUGCCAAGCGAGGGUCUGAAUGACGCCUCGAGCGGAAACUGCAGAAUAGUAAUGCUGGUGCCAAACGAGUGUCUGAAAGACUCCUCGAGAGGAAAAUGCGGAAUAAUAAUACAGGUGCCAAACGAGUGUCUGAAAGACUCCUCGAGAGGAAAAUGCGGAAUAAUAAUACAGGUGCCAAACGAGUGUCUGAAAGACUCCUCGAGAGGAAAAUGCGGAAUAAUAAUACAGGUGCCAAACGAGUGUCUGAAAGACUCCUCGAGAGGAAAAUGCGGAAUAAUAAUAAAGGUGCCAAACGAGUGUCUGGAAGACUCCUCGAGAGGAAAAUGCGGAAUAAUAAUACAGGUGCCAAACGAGUGUCUGAAAGACUCCUCGAGCGGAAAAUGCAGAAUAAUAAUGCCACAGUCGGGCGUCGGGGCGACACCACAUAAAGGGCUUAUAACCGAAAGUAAAGACAGUGCAUGCCGCAGUCGGACGUCUGAGCGACAUCACAUAAAGGGCUUAUAUCGAAAGUGAGAAACGAGUACACGCCACAGUCGGACGUCUGCGCGACGUCACAUAAAGGGCUUAUGUCACAACUCAUUAAUGCAAUAGCUCGGAGACAAAAAUUAUCACAAGCAUGAGACACAAAAUAAAGUUAGUCCAUCAACUGGAAUAACAAUAAAUCUGAGAUUUUACCGCUUGAGCUUGUUCACCGGGGGCAAGAUUUUCACACGGAUAGAUUUGGACGUAAAUUCUACAUUACUGAUCAUGGAUACGAUGAUUUGGAAGGAAUUGACUCUCCAGAGUUUGUACUUAACCACAGCCAACGGAUUUCAGUAGUCACGGGGACUAGUUCCGUCUACGGUGUUCUGGAAGGAACACGUCUAACCAGUACACACCCAAUUUAACCAUCCGAAGCCAGGGAUCACCCUCGGCAACAUUCAGGAAAAACCCUGAGUCGGGGAGGCUACAACCUCGCGUAGCAUGGGAACAAAUUUCUAUACGCGCGCUAUAAGGGGGUGCCCCCCCUCUCGGUCCCAACCGGAAACACCCAUGCCCCCUGACCGAAUGACUGGCUUUAAUCCUGGGCCAAGGUACCAUCAUCCCGGCCUCUCUAUUUGGUGUGUACACGGAAAGAGGUUACCAACUUACUAAACCGUAUCCUGGCAAUGAGACAUGUGGUAGCACGGAAAGGGGAAGGGACGAUAACACGGCUCCAACCAUGUUAACGUUGGAAAGGUCGGAUGACACAAGGCUGGCAUGCUACAACAGUACCACCUUGCUGCCCUUCAUGUCACCACAUGAUUAGGCCACCUCUCAUCAGAGGUCAUCGCAACUUUGGAACAUGCGGGAAAAGAUCGAUAACGUGGCUCCAACCACGUUAACGUCGAAGAGAGUCGGAUGACGCAAGGCUGGCAUGCUACAACAGUACCACCUUGCUGCCCUUCAUGUCACCACAUGAUUAGGCCACCUCUCAUCAGAGGUCAUCGCAACUUUGGAACAACUGGGUCGUUGCCUUACAAGCAACGAGAUAUUUAUCGACACUCACAUGCCACGCACAAACUUUCACAUGAACAUGCAAAACAUUUGCCAUAUCAAAUGUUCAAACAUGCUUGCCUGGUUCGGAGAAGUCGGAGUCUAGCUCGACGAAGUUCGCGGCUCCGUCCCCUCUCCCGGAACCUACGGCAAUCACGAAACGGGGUACUAACGUGAAAACCAACACAUGCACAGAAACUUUGCCAAAUAUUUUUCAAAUAAAUCCCAUGAAAGCCUAGACAAAAUUUGGAGAUUGACAGAAAAAGAAUCACUCAAAAAUACCUUUUCAUUAAAAAGUUAUAAAGGUUUCUGUCCAGGGACCUUUCUGUAAUGAAACAGAAAAGUUCCAGGGUUUUAACUGAGAAGACAAAAAACGCUUCGGCUGGGAAUGCGCAAGUGCAAGGAGAAAACGUAUUUUGCCCGAAGGCGCCAACAGAAAACGGUUCGGGGAAAUAAAACAGAGGCUGACACGCGGGGCCCGCAUGUCAGGUUUGAAAGUUCGCCGGCGUCGAACCACGGCGAGUUAGGAGAAACGGAGGGUACCAAGAGCUUCAGCGUCUUCUUCCGCGUCGGUGGGUGGUGGACUCGUUCAAAGGGGAGCACCACGUCGACGGCGACACUAUCUCCGGCGGACGGCGGUUCGGGUGAGGUUGGGGAACUCCGGUGGAGGGCUGCAAAGUACGAAUUGGGGCGCGGGUCAGAACGGGUGAUGCAAGGAGAAGCUACUGGCAAGAGAAUGGGGGCUGCGGAGCACACACGGGGGCGAAUCGGGCUGGAUCCCAUGGCGGAUCGCGGCGGCCGGAGUCGAAGAAGGAGACCCCCUCGCGGCUCUUCCAGUGGCUGGGCGUGCUCUAGGGGAAGUGUAGGGCUGGUGGGUGCUCGAGUUGAAGCUCGGGGCCCCUAUUUAUAGGCAGAUCGACGGGGUGGCCGUGAACGGAGAAUCUCCGGCGAGCGAUUACGGCGGAGCAGUGGGUUGGCAGAGGGUUAGAGCGGUCGGGCAGCAUCAGUGGGUGUUACGGGACUCGUUUUGCAGCUAAACGGAGCUGGCCCUGGCGUAAUGGCGUCUGCCCACGGUGAGGUGACCGCACGGGCUCAACGGCGGCAGAGAGCGCGCUCCGCGCCCUGGGGUUCACGACGAGAGCGGCAGCGCAUUCGGGGGAGUGGACGGCCACGCGGCGGGCUCCGGUGGUUUGGGCGGCGCUGGGUGGAGUCGGCGGCGCCGUGUCUCCCGCUGGCGUCCGCAAAGCCGCCGCCGGCGUCGGUCACGGGGCGGCGCACCUUCUGCUGCUCGUCGCCGAUGCCCGCAAGAUGCCAGGCACUCGUGCGGUGCAGGAACAAGUGGGCGAGGACGAGGAGCAAGGCGACGCGAGGGUACUGGCGAGAUCGACGCCCGUUUCUGAAGAAAACGACAGCAGCCACUUGACUGAACUCUGAACUUACUGAAUCUUGACAGUGACCAAGCAUUGCAGGUGUUCGACAGUAGGUUUUGGUAAAGAGAUAAAUUUUUCUGGAGCUGUAACUUGGUGAGAUGAUCACUCAAAGCACCCAGGGGCUGCAUGAAUUUAUUUGGAAUUUUUGGAGAAAGUUUUGAAUGAAUUUCACCAAAUUUGGCAAAUCUGGUCCAAACUUGCAGCUGAUGUAGUUUGAAAUUUUUGAACUGGAGACCAGUGGAUCUUCAUGGUUCUAGGUUGAGGGUUCAAAGGACUAGGAGGGAAAAGAAGUUUGGUGGCAAAAAUCAAAACAGAAAAAGGAGUUCCUUUGUAAAUCUCCAAGUGCUAUAAGAGAAGAUAGAAAUUUAUUUAAAUAGAAUUUAAAUGGAAAUGAUCACAUGAGGAGGUUCAUGCUGGAUUUGAUGCAAAUCAUGAUCCAAAGGUGAGGGAAGGGUUAGGAGAGAGGAUUUGCACUAAUGCCAUGGCAAGAAGGAAUAGUUGAAAGUGGCAAAGGACUUUCCAAAAGCCAUAGUGCAAAUUCAAGAAAAGGUUUUCAAAAGUUAUUCUCUCAAAUGAAAAACAUUUUGACUUGAGCCCAAAUGAAGAGCAAGAACUCCCUAGGUCAAAGGCAGAUCUUGGGUGAAUUCAAAUAAAAUUUUUGCCAUAAAAAAAAUAUUUGAGAGUGAGAGUUCUCUUGAAGAAACUUUUUAAAUCACUCCCUUCAAGUCAAAUAAAAAUCUUUUUUGAAAAAACCAAAUAAAAACUUGGGUGCCACACGCUCUUCCUGGGAGCCGCCGCCACCGGCGCCCGGUUCAUCAACAACCUCAAGCCCGGCGGCGGCGAGCACCUCAUUGUCAAACACCUCCCCCUCGGUGGGCGCCCCGGUGCUUGCCGUCCCUGGGAGGUGGACGAACAGGUCGUCGCUCACCUUCAGGUACCUGCCCGAGCCAGAGGCAGCGGAGGAGGAAGGUUGGUCGUCGACCACCCCCUCCCCGACAGCGGCCUUGCUAGCCUCCCCGGCAGGCUCUUUGCCGGCCUCCUCGGCAGCGGCCUUGCCGGCCUCCUCGACCGACUCCUUGGCGGCCUCUUCGGCGGCGAUCUUGUUGGCCUCGGCCUCAGCGUCCCUGGCGACCUCCCCGAUGACAGUAUCGAUGUCCUCCUGGUCCGCCGAGGGAGCGCCUAGAUCCCAAGAAGGAGGAUGAGGAAAAGCCAAGACCAAGGUUCAAAAAAAAGGAACGAACAGGGAUAGAAGGCAAAUAACUCACCCGUGCCGAGCUCAGAAGAAGUGGCCCCCUCCCCGCCAAGAUUCGGUGCCGGUACGGAGCCGCCGGCGCCCGGGUUCGCCUCUCUGUGUGCAUGGGCUCGGUGCUUGGCGCCCUUGUCGGGGACGCCCCUCGGGGUGGCAUGGUCGAUGGGGGCGGCGUGUUGGGGUGGCCCUCAGUGGCUCCUCCUGCUGCCUUCCUCCUCCUGCAACCACGGCAAGGUCCGCGUCAAGAGAUCAUACCCCAACGCACGUCGAUAGGGAGUGAGUGGUGAACGCACGCUGGGGGCUGCUGUCCGGGCUGCUCUCCACCACCAGUGGCAUACUCGAGGUGCCUGCCGGGGGCUGGCCACCCGACGAGGCCCUGGCUCUCUUCGCCACCCUCUGGGCCAGCGUCUCCACGUCUCUGCAAAAAUAAAAAACGAGUCAAGAAAAGCGGCGUGAUCUGAGGGGACAGAGAUGACAGAAGACAGAAUGCUUACUCGUCCUCCACCUCCUCUUCCGCUGCCUUCCUCUUCCUCCUGGGGCUCAGAGACCCAAGGUCGAAGACGACCUCCGUGUCGACAUCUGUGGGAGGAGGGGAAGGAGAUGGGGUCCGGCGACGCUUGGACGAAGAGGAGGCAGUCGCCUUCUUCUUCGCCACCAUGGCCUUCACCAUCUUCCUCGCUGCCACGACCCUCGUCUGGCGCACGGACUCACCCUGGACCUCCUACCAUUGCACAGUCCUGCCGGGCCAGACCGGCUCGCCGGAGCUGGCCCGCCGCAGGGUGCGUCUCUUCCCCAUGGGCGGAGGAUCGUCGCCCUCGGCCUCCUUCUCGGUUGACUCCUCGGCCACGUCCUCAAUGGGGGGGACCCCAGUGUCAGCGUUGCUAGCCUCCCCAGCAGGCUCCGCCCACUGGGCGAGCUCCCUGUCCUCCGCAGCCGCGUCGUCCUCAUCCUCCACGGCGCCAGCGCUGUCGGCCUCCUUCGCGAGCUCCGCCUCCGUCGCCCUGGCGGCAAUGUAGUCUAGCUCCGCUUGGGUGGUGUCCUGGAUAAGCAGCGGCUCGUCGUGGACGUAUCUCUCCGACAAGCCGUCGAAGAACUCCUGCACCCGCUCCUCCUCUGGCUCAACCCAAUUUGGGUCAAGGCCGUGCGCGUUGAAGUCCGGCAUCAUGGCAAUGAUGUUGGAUUGGCGGGAGUUGUUGCUCAGCGGGACCACUCCUGCCGGCAACCCAAACAGUGGCCCCUUGACAACCUUGCCGGCCUUCGCGGCCUUGCCGGUUCUCUCGGCCCUACCAUCGCUGAACACAUCAAGCUGGAAGAUCCUCUGGCAGAAAUGGGCAUGCCCCAUUACCGUAAAGUUGUGCUUCAGGCCGGUGCGAAGCCUCAUGAUGUCGACCGCAUUCCUGAAGAGCCAGGCUGGCCUCCCCUUGUUAUGGAGUGGAGCGAUUCGGCGGCGGAGGAAAUCGGCCCCAAUCAUCUCGAGGGUGAGCCCAGCCUUGGCGAGGCGAUGGAUUCUGGUGGUAGCAAUCGUGAGCUUCUUGUCGUCGGCGUCAUGGUCGCUCCAUUCCUCACGACGGACUGGCAGGCUCUGAUGAACCUGGCAGAACUCCUGGGGAUCCUCCUCCUCGAUCCACAGCCACCGGCCCCGCCAUUCUUCCCACCUCUCCUUCUGGGCGCCCUCCGGAUACGUGCUUUUCUCCUUGGUCCUUGGGAUCCAAGUGACACAGUCGGAGAUGGCGCCCCCUGCCUGGAUGCGGGGAUAGAAGUAGUGGCGGAAGAGCGCCGUGCUGGGGAGCACUCCGGCGAAGCCCUCACAGAGGUGGGCAAAAAGGGCCAUACACGCCACGGCAUUCGGCGUGAAAUCCAGAAGGUGGAUGUCGUAGGUGUGCAUGACGUCAUUGAAAAAGUCGGAGAAAGGGGGCUUAGGCCGCAGGAGAAAUAAUCAACGAAGAAGGGAUACCGAUUUGGGCCAGCCUCAGCAAAAUCGGCGGGGAUGAUACGCGUGGCCGGAUGCCCCGUCAUCUNNNNNNNNNNNNNNNNNNNNNNNNNNNNNNNNNNNNNNNNNNNNNNNNNNNNNNNNNNNNNNNNNNNNNNNNNNNNNNNNNNNNNNNNNNNNNNNNNNNNNNNNNNNNNNNNNNNNNNNNNNNNNNNNNNNNNNNNNNNNNNNNNNNNNNNNNNNNNNNNNNNNNNNNNNNNNNNNNNNNNNNNNNNNNNNNNNNNNNNNNNNNNNNNNNNNNNNNNNNNNNNNNNNNNNNNNNNNNNCUUCGCCCCCACAGGGGCCUGAAGUAGUCCCUGAGGUGGACCGCAUCAACCGUCGAGGGGAAGAGGGCGACCUGCGUCUGGAGCACCGCCAGCUCGCACUCCGGCAUCCCCUUCUCCCCAGCGUCCUUCGCCACUCCCUUACCUCUGCUGGACUUGGGCGCCAUAGCAACCAGAGAAGAGGUGAGGUUGAGGACGAUGAGGGCGCGGCGGCGGCGAGCGAAAGCAAGAGCUUGAGAAGGAGGGAGGAAGGGACGGCGGUUCCGAGAUUGGAGAAGGCGCAGAGGGUAAAUGAGUAGCGCGCCUGCGGUUAUUCCUUUUUAUGGGGAAGGCGCGGGCUGCCUCUUUACCAUUUACUACGACGUGACGCAUGCGUGCGGGAACCGUCCCACGCAUGACCCCCGCGUCACGCACGGCCCUCCACGUCGCGCAUUCAACGCGGGUCGUGGGGAAGCGCAACGAGCGGGGAGUUACUAAGGUAAAAAUCUGCCCCGCCUGCCCGCGCACCGUUCUGGGCCUAACCCAACAAUGCAUCGCGCUUAUGUAUGGCCCAGGCCCGGGGGCUCCUGUCGGUGUAGAAAAGUAGGGGCUCUCCUUUUGACCCCUUUACUUGUGCACGGGCAGCCAGAGCCGCGCCCGCGGCCACACUGAGCAGGCAGAAGAGGGAAGCCGGAGCACAAGGCAACCAAAGCAACACCAAGACCAGAAACACAACGAGCAAGAGGACGAGGUGGGCUCCCCCGGCGAGACCCUUGCCGAGGCAGCCCCCGCAGCCCCGGCAAGAGCCUUGCUGGGGCAACUUGCCCGACGCCAGCGAGGCGCGCCACCCUUGAGCCCAAGGGUUCCAACGCCGCCAACAACCGCAUUGGAACCAAGGCUCGAGAGGCACCUCCGUGGUGGCAUGCAGAUCUUCAUCAAGAUCAUAAAUACACAAGGUCAGAUGAGGACCAGAAGACGACAAUUCUUGACGAAGAUCCUUGCCAAGGAAAUCUACGAGACCCCCCCCCCCCCGGCAAGAUCCUUGCCGGGGACGACCGCGGUGCCACGGCAAGACCCUUGCCGGGGCCCCGGCAAGACCCUUGCCGAGGACGUCAGCGGGGCCGCGGCCAGGCCCACGUCUGCCAAGACUACACCGUCGCUCCCAUGCAGCUGCUAGCUCAACCAGCUGGGCAAGCACCUGCGUGGCAGCGUGCGGCCUCUACGCCGACUCAGCUAGCACCUGCGUGGUGGCAUGCAGAUCUUCAUGAAGACUCCGCCACCGCGCCAGCCCAGCAGCCAGCCAACAUGGCGCUACAACGCCUCGUCAGCUCAGACACGCGUCACAGCCAGGCGAGGCGGCGACAGCUGGGACGAGCUUCCUUGUCGUCCCCGAUAAAGCAAGAGGGGCACGUCGGCAGCGCAUUAAAUGUGUUUGUCCAACGGUGCCAGAGGAUAGACUCAUCCACUGUACACCUUUCCACCUCCUGUGUGCCACUGUGGCAACCCCUUUUGUCCAUAGAAGGAGGCCCGAGGCGGCCAGGAGAAGGAUUCGGAUCUCUUGGACUAGACACGCACCGUAGCUAGUUCAAGAACUCAACAACACUCAAAUACAUACACAAAAGUAGGACUAGGGUAUUACGCAUCCUCGCGGCCCAAAACUGGGUAAACAAUCUUUGUGCUAGCUCCUAGACCUGCUCUUUGCAAACCCCGCGCCCGCCAACCGUAGAAGGGAUCCCAGUGAUACCAUAGGUGUCGUUCUCACCGACAUCAACCAUCAACAUUUGAUGCUUUUCUUGAUUUCCACCUUCGUCGAUUUCAGCAUCACGAAGAGCUUGGGAAUCGUUUCCAUUAUCCCUUGCAUAUUAUAGUUCAUCACGAAGUUCUAGUAACUUGGUGAUAGUGACUAGAGAACUCUCUCAAUCACUAUCUUAUCUGGAAGAUUAACUCCCACUUGAUUCAAGUGAUUGUAGUACUCAGACAUUCUGAGCACAUGCUCACUAGCUGAGCAAUUCUCCUCCAUCUUGUAGGCAAAGUGCUUGUCAAAGGUCUCAUACCUUUCGACAUGGGCAUGAGUCUGAAAUACUAAUUUCAACUCUUGGAACAUCUCAUAUGCUCCGUGGCGUUCAAAACGUCUGUGAAGCCCCGAUUCUAAGCCGUAAAGCAUGGUGCAUUAAACUAUCAAGUAGUCAUCAUAUCGAGCUUGCCAAACGUUCAUAACGUCUACAUCUGCUCCUGCAAUCCGUCUGUCACCUAGCGGUGCAUCAAGGACAUAAUUCUUCUGUGCAGCAAUGAGGAUAAUCCUUAGAUCACGGAUCCAAUCCGCAUCAUUGCUACUAACAUCUUUCAACUUAGUUUUCUCUAGGAACAUAUCAAAAAUAAAACAGGGGAGCUAAACGCGAGCUAUUGAUCUACAACAUAGAUAUGCUAAUACUACCAGGACUAAGUUCAUGAUAAAUUUAAAGUUCAAUUAAUCAUAUUACUUAAGAACUCCCACUUAGAUAGACAUCCCUCUAGUCAUCUAAAUGAUCACGUGAUCCAAAUCAACUAAACCAUGUCCGAUCAUCACGUGAGAUGGAGUAGUUUUCAAUGGUGAACAUCACUAUGUUGAUCAUAUCUACUAUAUGAUUCACGCUCGACCUUUCGGUCUCGAGUGUUCCGAGGCCAUAUCUGCAUAUGCUAGGCUCGUCAAGUUUAACCCGAGUAUUCUGCAUGUGCAAAAUUGGCUUGCACCCGUUAUAUGUGAACGUAGAGCUUAUCACACCCGAUCAUCACGUGGUUGUUGGAAAUAUGCCCUAGAGGCAAUAAUAAAAUGGUUAUUAUUGUAUUUCCUUGUUCAUGAUAAUUGUCUGUUGUUCAUGCUAUAAUUGUAUUAACUGGAAACCAUAAUACAUGUGUGAAUACAUAGACCACAACAUGUCCCUAGUAAGCCUCUAGUUGACUAGCUCGUUGAUCAAUAGAUGGUUAUGGUUUCCUGACCAUGGACAUUGGAUGUCAUUGAUAACGGGAUCACAUCAUUAGGAGAAUGAUGUGAUGGACAAGACCCAAUCCUAAGCAUAGCACAAGAUCGUGUAGUUCGUUUGCUAGAGCUUUUCUAAUGUCAAGUAUCAUUUCCUUAGACCAUGAGAUUGUGCAACUCCCGGAUACCGUAAGAAUGCUUUGGGUGUACCAAACGUCACAACGUUACUGGGUGGCUAUAAAGGUGCACUACAGGUAUCUCCGAAAGUGUCUGUUGGGUUGGCACGAAUCGAGACUGGGAUUUGUCACUCCGUAUGACGGAGAGGUAUCUCUGGGCCCACUUGGUAAUGCAUCAUCAUAAUGAGCUCAAUGUGACUAAGGAGUUAGCCACGGGAUCAUGCGUUACGGUACGAGUAAAGUGACUUGCCGGUAAUGAGAUUGAACAAGGUAUUGGGAUACCGACGAUCGAAUCUCGGGCAAGUAACGUACCGAUUGACAAAGGGAAUUGUAUACGGGAUUGAUUGAAUCCUUGACAUCGUGGUUCAUCCGAUGAGAUCAUCGUGGAACAUGUGGGAGCCAACAUGGGUAUCCAGAUCCCGCUGUUGGUUAUUGACCGGAGAGUCGUCUCGGUCAUGUCUGCAUGUCUCCCGAACCCGUAGGGUCUACACACUUAAGGUUCGGUGACGCUAGAGUUGUAGAGAUAUUAGUAUGCGGAAAUCUGAAAGUUGUUCGGAGUCCCGGAUGAGAUCCCGGACGUCACGAGGAGUUCCGGAAUGGUCCGGAGGUAAAGAUUUAUAUAUGGGAAGUCCUAUUUUGGCCACCGGAAAAUGUUCGGGAUUUUUCGGUAUUGUACCGGGAAGGUUCUAGAAGGUUCCAAAGUGGGGCCCACCUGCAUGGGGGGACCCACAUGAACGUGGGUAGUGGGGGCAAGGCCCCACACCCCUGGUCAAGGCGCACCAAGAUCCCACCUUAGAAGGAAUAAGAUCAUAUCCCGAAGGGAUAAGAUCAAGAUCCCUAAAAAGGGGGGAUAACAAUCGGUGGGGAAGGGAAAUGAUGGGAUUUCUUUCCCCCACCUUUGCCAAUGCCCCAAUGGACUUGGAGGGCAAGAAACCAGCCCCCUCCACCCCUAUAUAUAGUGGGGAGGCGCAUGGGAGCAGCACCCCAAGCCCUGGCGCCUCCCUCCCUCCCGUGACACCUCUUCCUCCCCGCUUGCGCUUGGCGAAGCCCUGCCGGGAUCCCGCUACUUCCACCACCACGCCGUCGUGCUGCUAGAUCUCCAUCAACUUCUCCUCCCCCCUUGCUGGAUCAAGAAGGAGGAGACGUCCCCGCUCCGUACGUGUGUUGAACGCGGAGGUGCCGUCCGUUCGGCGCUAGGAUCAUCGGUGAUUUGGAUCACGACGAGUACGACUCCAUCAACCCCGUUCUCUUGAACGCUUCCGCGCGCGAUCUACAAGGGUAUGUAGAUGCACUCCCCUCUCUCUCGUUGCUAGAUGACUCCAUAGAUUGAUCUUGGUGAUACGUAGAAAAUUUUAUAUUUCUGCUACGUUCCCCAACAGUGGUGUCUCAGCACGAAGAACUGUCGCAACGGUGCAUACUCAGGGAGACCUUGAAAUUUUAGUAAGGGAUCAUCUUAUAAAGCUACCGCCGAACUAAGCAAAAUAAGAUGUAUAAAAGAUAAACAUCUCAUGCAAUUAAAAUAUAUGACAUGAUAUGGCUAUCAUCAUCUUGUGCCUUUGGUCUCCAUCUCCAAAGUACUGUCAUGAUCUUCAUCGUCACCGGCAUGACACCAUGAUCUCCAUCAUCUUGAUCUCUAUCAACGUGUCGUCACAUGGUCGUCUCGCCAACCAUUGCUUUUGCAACUAUUGCUAUCGCAUAGCAAUAAAGUAAAGCAAUUAUAUGGUGCUUGCAUCUUAUGCAAUAAAGAGACAACCAUAAGGCUACUGCCAGUUGCCGAUAACUUUAACAAAACAUGAUCAUCUCAUACAACAAUUUAUAUCUCAUCACAUCUUGACCAUAUCACAUCACAACAUGCCCUGCAAAAACAAGUUAGACGUCCUCUACUUUGUUGUUGCAAAUUUUACGUGGCUGCUACGGGCUUAGCAAGAACCGUUCUUACCUACGCAUCAAAACCACAACGAUUUUUCGUCAAGUAUGUGUUGUUUUAACCUUCAACAAGGACCGGGCGUAGCCACACUUGAUUCAACUAAAUUUGGAGAAACUGACACCCGCCAGCCACCUGUGUGCGAAGCACGUCGGUAGAACCAGUCUCGUGUAAGCGUACGCAUAAUGUCGGUCCGGGCCGCUUCAUCCAACAAUACCGCCGAAUCAAAGUAUGACAUGUUGGUAAGCAGUAUGACUAGUAUCGCCCACAACUCACUUAUGUUCUACUCGUGCAUAUAACAUCUACGCAUAAACCUGGCUCUAAUACCACUGUUGGGAAACGUUUCCUACGCACACGCAAGAUCAUGGUGAUGCAUAGCAACAAGAGGGGAGAGUGUUGUCCACGUACCCUCGUAGACCAAAAGCGGAAGCGUUAUGACAACGCGGUUGAUGUAGUCGUACGUCUUCACGAUCGACCGAUCCUAGUACCGAUUGUACGGCACCUCUGAGAUCUGCACACGUUCAGCUCGGUGACAUCCCACGAACUCACGAUCCAGUAGAGCUUCGAGGGAGAGCUUCGUCAGCACGACGGCGUGAUGACGGUGAUGAUGAAGCUACCGGUGCAGGGCUUCGCCUAAGCACUACGACGAUAUGACCGAGGUGGAUUAUGGUGGAGGGGGGCACCGCACACGGCUAAGAGAUCAAUGAUCAACUUGUGUGUCUAUGGGGUGUCCCCCUCCCCCGUAUAUAAAGGAAUGGAGGAGGGGGAGGAGGCCGGCCUCCUAGGCGCCCCCCAAGGGGAGUCCUACUCCCACCGGGAGUAGGAUUCCACCCCUUCCAUGAGUAGGAGUAGGAGAGAAGAAAGGAGGAGAGAGGGGGAAGGAAAAAGAGGGGCGCCGCCCCCCCCCCCCCCCCUUCCUAGUCCAAUUCGGACUAGGGGGAGGGGGCGUGCGGCCUGCCCUGGCCGCCCCUCCCUCUCUCCACUAAGGCCCAUGAGGCCCAUUACACUCCCGGGGGGUUCCGGUAACCCCACGGUACUCUGGUAUUCGUCCAAACUUACUCGGAACCCUUCUGAUGUCCAAACAUAGUCAUCCAAUAUAUCGAUCUUUAUGUCUCGACCAUGUCGAGACUCCUCGUCAUGUCUGUGAUCAUAUCUGGGACUCCGAACUAUCUUCUGUACAUCAAAACACAUAAACUCAUAAUACCGAUCGUCACCGAACGUUAAGCGUGCGGACCCUACGGGUUCGAGAACUAUGUAGACAUGACCGAGACACGUCUCCGGUCAAUAACCAAUAGCGGAACCUGGAUGCUCAUAUUGGCUCCCACAUAUUCUACGAAGAUCUUUAUCGGUCAAACCGCAUAACAACAUACGUUGUUCCCUUUGUCAUCGGUAUGUUACUUGCCCGAGAUUCGAUCGUCGGUAUCUCAAUACCUAGUUCAAUCUCGUUACCGGCAAGUCUCUUUACUCGUUCUGUAAUGCAUCAUCCCGCAACUAACUCAUUAAUUACAUUGCUUGCAAGGCUUAUAGUGAUGUGCAUUACCGAGAGGGCCCAGAGAUACCUCUCCGACAAUCGGAGUGACAAAUCCUAAUCUCGAUCUAUGCCAACUCAAUAAGUACCAUCGGAGACACCUGUAGAGCACCUUUAUAAUCACCCAGUUAUGUUGUGAUGUUUGGUAGCACACAAAGUGUUCCUUCGGUAUUUGGGAGUUGCAUAAUCUCAUAGUCAUAGAACAUGUAUAAGUCAUGGAGAAAGCAAUAGCAAUAUACUAAACGAUCAAAUGCUAAGCUAACGGAAUGGGUCAAGUCAAUCACAUCAUUCUCUAAUGAUGUGAUCCCAUUAAUCAAAUGACAACUCAUGUCAAUGGCUAGGAAACUUAACCAUUUUGAUUAACGAGCUAGUCAAGUAGAGGCAUACUAGUGACACUCUGUUUGUCUAUGUAUUCACACAUGUACUAAGUUUCCGGUUAAUACAAUUCUAGCAUGAAUAAUAAACAUUUAUCAUGAAUAAGGAAAUAAUAAACACUCUUUUGUUGAGCUUUCAUACAUUUAUAGCUCUAGUGCAUCCGUUGCAUGGCAAUCCCUACUCCUCGCAUUGACAUCAAUUGAUGGGCAUCUCCAUAGCCCGUUGAUUAGCCGCAUCAAUGUGAGACUGUCUCCUUUUUUUGUCUUCUCCACACAACCUCCAUCAUCAUAUUCUAUUCCACCCAUAGUGCUAUGUCCAUGGCUCGCGCUCAUGUAUUGCGUGAAAGUUAAAAAAGUUUGAGAAUACUAAAGUAUGAAACAAUUGCUUGGCUUGUCAUCGGGGUUGUGCAUGAUGAGAGCAUUUUGUGACAAAAAUGAAGCAUAGCCAAACUAUAUGAUUUUGUAGGGAUGAGCUUUCUUUGGCUAUAUUAUUUUGAGAAGACAUAAUUGCUUGGUUAGAAUGCUUGAAGUAUUAUUAUUUUUAUGUCAUUAUUAAACUUUUGUCUUGAAUCUUUCGGAUCUGAACAUUCAUGCCAUAAUAAAGAGAAUUGCAUUGAAAAUUAUGCUAGGUAGCAUUCCACAUCAAAAAUUCUGUUUUUAUCAUUUACCUACUCGAGGACGAGCAGGAAUUAAGCUUGGGGAUGCUUGAUACGUCUCCAACGUAUCUACAAUUUUUGAUUGUUCCAUGCUAUUAUAUUAUCUGUUUUGGAUGUUUAAUGGGCUUUAAUAUGCUCUUUUAUAUUAUUUUUGGGACUAACCUAUUAACCGAUGGCCCAGUGCAAAUUGUUGUUUUUUUGCCUAUUUCAGUGUUUCGCAGAAAAGGAAUAUCAAACGGAAUCCAAACGGAACGAAACCUUCGUGAGAAUCUUUCUUGGAACAAACGCAAUCCAGGAGACUUGGAGUGGAAGUCAGAGACGCAACGAGGCGGCCACGAGGCCCAGGGGGUAGGCGCGCCCCCCACCCUUGUGAGCCCCUCGUAGCUCCACCGACCUACUUCUUUCACCUAUAUAUAUACUCUUAUACCCUGAAAACAUCCAGGGGAGCCAUGAAACCACUUUUCCACCGCUGCAACCUUCUGUACCCGUGAGAUCCCAUCUUGGGGCCUUUUCCGGUGAUCUUCUAGAGGGGGAUUCAAUCACGGAGGGCUUCUACAUCAACACCAUAGCCUCUCCGAUGAUGUGUGAGUAGUUUACCACAGACCUUCGGAUUCAUAGUUAUUAGCUAGAUGGCUUCUUCUCUCUCUUUGGAUCUCGAUACAAAAUUCUCCUCGAUGUUCUUGAAGAUCUAUUCGAUGUAAUAUUCUUUUGCGGUGUGUUUGCCGAGAUCAGAUGAAUUGUGGGUUUAUGAACUUGAUUAUCUAUUAAUAUUAUUUGGUUCUUCUCUGAAUUCUUAUAUGCAUGAUUUGAUAUCUUUGCAAGUCUCUUCGAAUUAUCGGUUUAGUUUGGCCUACUAGAUUGAUCUUUCUUGCAAUGGGAGAAGUGCUUAGCUCUGGGUUCAAUCUUGCGGUGCUCGAUCCCAGUGACAGAAAGGGAACCGACACGUAUUGUAUUGUUGCCAUCGAGGAUAAAAAGAUGGGGUUUAUAUCAUAUUGCUUGAGUUUAUCCCUCUACAUCAUGUCAUCUUGCCUAAUGUGUUACUCCGUUCUUAUGAACUUAAUACUCUAGAUGCAUGCUGGAUAGCGGUCGAUGUGUGGAGUAAUACUAGUAGAUGCAGAAUAGUUUUGGUCUACUUCACACGGACGUGAUGCCUAUAUUCAUGAUCAUUGCCUUAGAUAUCAUCAUAACUAUGCACUUUUCUAUCAAUUGCUCGGCAGUAAUUUGUUCACACACCGUAAUACAUGCUAUCAUGAGAGAAGCCACUAGUGAAACCUAUGGCCCCCGGGUCUACUUUACAUCAUAUAAGUUUUCAAUCUACAAUUCUAUUUUACUAUUUAUUUUGCAAUCUUUAUUUUCCAAUCUAUACAACAAAAAUACCAAAAAUAUUUAUCUUAUUAUCUUUAUCAGAUCUUACUUUUGCAAGUGGCCGUGAAGGGAUUGACAACCCCUUUAUCACGUUGGUUGCAAGGUUCUUGAUUGUUUGUGCAGGUACUAGGCGACUUGCGUGUAGUCUCCUACUGGAUUGAUACCUUGGUUCUCAAAAACUGAGGGAAAUACUUACGCUACUUUGCUGCAUCACCCUUUCCUCUUCAAGGGAAAACCAACGCAUGCUCGAGAGGUAGCACCAAACACCAUCUUGAAAUGAGCACAAAGAUCAUGUAUUACACCCAAGGUUUCCAGUUUAGGCGCAGAGACGACGGUUAUUUGCGACGGUGAAUAACUAGAAUCAAGGAUCAAUCUUUGAAGUGAAGGGGCAUCUUUGAUGAUGAGCUUCCUUCCGUCAAAAAAAACUCCAAUUCUUACAAGGUUAGGCGACUUUAUUUAGAGACAACCGAUUCUAACUGUGAAAACAAGCACCAAGCACUCCAGGGCAGGGUAACUGGAGUGGAUGAUGCUGUGCAAUGAGGUCUCCGAUAUACGAACCCGCAUAAGUGAAAGUUUUUUUAGAAAUGGAAGUAGAAGGUUUAGUACCAUAUUGUCUGGUAGGUAUCACAGCACAAAGGUGGCGGUGUGGAGAGAGGAGGAAAACCGCGAGAUGGACAUCGAUGCUGAGGGCACAAGUACAUGGCUUUCGGUAUCUAGUAGGUGAUUUCCUGGGGAAUAGUAGAACUCAAGCAGCUGUAGUUCUGUGAAUUCAGGGAAUUUCAGCCAGGCGUCCACCGUGCAGGGCAUGCUAUGCUUGCUCAGGUAACAUGACAGAACACAGAGGCUUUGAAUGGAGCCCUGGUGGGAGGAGAUGAUGGCUCUGGGAAGUUCAAAAUCAUUAAAGACAGAUAGCUGACGACAGUCGAGAUUAAGGGGCGUGACGCACCAUAGAGGGCGCCACCGAGUUGAGAGGACUUGGGUGCGGCAGCAAUCCUUGGUGGGGAGAAGCGAGAUGAUCUCCCCAAGGAUGGCGUCCGGGAGAUCGCUGAUGAUAGGGGAUUCAAAUUGGACUCUCAUGUCGAAUGUAGCUAGUAGGGAAUUCCUUGGAGACGAGGGAGCGAAAUUUCUAGUAGGAGUAACAUAUAUCAAAGAUGGCCAAAGCUAUUCCGUCAAAUUAGCCAUGUGUAAACAGAUGAUAGUAAGCCAUGUUGUACCACCAGUGUCCAUCUUGAAGUAUUCCCUAUGCGAGCCGUCUGGUGUGUUCUGAUGGUGGUGCUAUCAUGCUGGUGCUUGUGUGCCCCUGUCUCCUCCUGAUGGUCCGCACUAUGGCCGCUUGUGCAAACUGAACUAACAGAAACUCAGUUUUAAUAUGACCAAAAAGAAACUCAACUGUCAAGUUUAGAGAGCUAUACACAAAAAGUCCGCAUCCCGCAUACCAUCCGUUGCCGCCGCCUUGCCAACACGCAGGACGCAGCCGUCGUUGACCUGUUACUUAAAUAUUUCAGUUUUUCAGUGAGAUCCUUUUUGGUCAGCUAUCCAAACAUGUUGCUACAUUUCACAGCCGCGAAAAUGUGCUACUUUGAAUUUGUGCUCCAAUAAACAUUAAUUGCUUGUGAAUGGAAGAUCAAGGCCAAUGAGACCAGCAGUGGAUCCUUUCUUUGAUGAUUCUACAGCUAGAGAUAACCCGACUGGACGACCACAGCCACAAGCUAUAUGCAACAGCUGCAAAGAUUCAAGUGACAUAAUCAACUACCUAAAGAAUGCUACCACACACCAAUUUACUAAAAAUAACAAUUAACUUUGAAACUUAAUUAAUGUAUCCUUGAAUAAAAAGAACUAAAUAAAAUAUCAGUAUAAGGACUCUUAACAUCUUAAUACAGUGUAUUUAUUUAUCUCGUGUACAGAAGUUCAGUUAAGUUUGUUAGAACCAGGCUGGGAGCUUCAUUUCCUAGUAAUAAGCGCAGGCAACAAACUCAAACCACCAUGAUGGAAAAUUAGGAUGUUAGUAAGCCAUUAGGAUCCACGUCUUGGUGCAAAGAAAUUAUGGAAUGAUGAACAAAGUACUACACUAACUCCUAGGUCAGUGUUUCUUGUAUAACUUUGCCUAUAAUUUGAAAGAUUAUGCAGUAUGCUGCUUGGAAACAUGUUACUCGAGUAAUUCUUUUGAGGUUGUCCAAGUAUUACUGGAAAUGGCGUUUCCCAUCUAAAAACACAAUCAUUCAGUGUAUUUAAGUUUUUUAACAUUUGCAAGGCAACUGGAACUUCUCUGCAAAAACUGAAUGAAAGGAUGGUAGAUAGUCUAUACUAAUUUAUAAUACACUUAGAAUCAAAAACAUGUAUAAUAUACUAAUAUAUUGUAUAGACAAAACACUGCCAUUAGUUCUAUACUUCUAGUGCAUGUUGUAGACAUAGAGAAGACAUUCAUUUACAUUGCAGUAUUUUAAUGGCUGCUAAAAGAACAAACACCUUAAACUACAGAGGGCAUAGACAGCAAAGAACACCUAGUCACAGAGGCGACACUCACCAGCAAGCAAGCAGCGCACGCACAACGCAACCGUCUUAACCCCUUCACUCGCUUCUGCAUCGUGUAGUUGAACUGCUUCCACCCCAGGCGCUGCACCUCGUCGUCCUUGAAGCGCUCAACGCCCAGCUAGAAGAAGGUAUUCUUUGAGGUCGCACCGGAUGCAAGAGAACACUGGAUACAGUAGGCAUCGGCUAGCUCGGAGGCGUACUCUGCAUAGAACAGCUUUGCCAUCUCUGACAAGCUGGCACAGUAUUGUGAUCAACAUGUUAUGAAUUAUUUUUGUAACUCAGCAAAAAAAUAUUAUGUGAGAAUACACGAGUAAAACAACUGACGAACUGUUUUGUUGUAUGGAAGAAUCAGGAGUUUAUGUAUGUAACAAUCAUCAACCAGAUUAUAGACUAAGGCUGUAAAAUUGCGUUGAUGCAUCCCAGUAUCCAUAAACCAUACUAUUUCGCAUACAGCACCCAAAAUGAAUCAGAUGCUGGAGAUUCCCAAAAAAUGUUGUCUCACAGUUUAUUAGCUACAUGGAAUUGGUGCAGCCAAGCAGCCUUUUUUUAUGCUGAACAUAAAUUCAGUGAUCUAUGAGAUCCAAAAGAUGACAGUAGCCCCAGCACAUCAAGCCUGGGUGUGGGGCUUCCUCCGAUGGUGCCUGGCGAGACCCAUGGCGGCCAGGGAAGGGAUAGGAGCAGCUCUCGCAGCACAAGAUUCACGGCAAGUCAGGGAGGGAGAGGAGGGGAUCCAGCAGCGCGAGAUCCAUGUCGAUUUGGGGAGGGAGAGGAGCAGCGUGUGGGAGAGGGAAGCACACCGCGCGGCUCGUGGAGGAGGAGGGAUUCAGGGAGAGAUGCGAAGAUCGGGGGCUGGUUAGGGUUACCUAGGCUGCCACGUGAUCCAGCGCGGCGGGAGGGGCUGGCCCUGAGGAGCGAUGAUCCGGCGCGUCCAUCGGCCGGGGGCCUGGCCAGCGCCAGUGGCUCCCUCCAUCGCCGCAGCCGUCCGGGGAGGGACGCAGGCACGGCGAGGCGGACGAGGCUGGCAGCGCGAUUCGAUUCAGCGGGAGGCUGCAUCUGAGGGAGACGACAGCGGGGUUCUCGCUCGUGCGAGUAGUGGAACAUUUUUCGCUGGUUUAAUUUCGUCCUCCCUUCGUUCCAAAAUACUGCUACUGCCGACUUUUUUGAGAAAAAAUACUUCGCUGGGCCAAAAAGUCGGCAGCAGCAGAUUUUUGGGACUGACUAACGGUCAGCAGCAGCAGCUUUGUGGCGGCCUUGCCAAGGCAGGGGAGAUGGCAGCCCUUGAACGGCCCGGGAAGAGGAAAUUGACUAUGUGCAGCCCGCAUGCAAAGGAAAUUUUUUUGACUGGCCCGAAUUGGGUUUUCAGUCGACUGACGGUUAGUCAGUCCCUUCCUUUCUUUCGUUUCUUUCUUUUUGGCGACGACGAGCAUGUAUUUCAGUGACCACAAAUCAAGCCUAAAAACAGCACUGUUUGGUAAACCAAAUCGAAUAGAAGCCUCUGUGCAGAGAGCCAGGCAAGUUACUCAGUCGACGAGCUUGAGACCGAAAUCGACAUCUUCGCAGUGGCGCAGGAACGGCACAUGCGCCACCGGGUCGAGAUCCUGCGCGCGCCGGCAGACGAGCGACGGCGGCGAGUGCAGGCACGGCUCGAUGGACGCGGGCCUGACGCACGCCACGUCGGACCUCAUCUUGCUCAAGUCCAGCGGGGCCAGCAGCCUUGGGCGCAGCCCGGCGAGCGCGUGCGCCACGUACCCGAACGUGGACCACGACGUGGUGACCAUCUCGUCGCAGUAGCUGAGCAGGAAGAUCUCGGCGAGGGCGCGCUCGUUGUGCGCGCGCGCCUCCGUGUGCUGGUCCUGGUCGUGGCUCGGCUGGUACACGGUGACGAGCUCGCCGGAGUCGGUCGCGUUGUUGUAGUACAUGGCGUGGAGCUUGUCGUAGUACUCGGGCUUCAACGACACCACCAGCACCGCCUUGACCUUGUUCGCCUUGGCCGUGCUGUUGGACGACGGCCGGACGAGGGAGGGUUCGCCGGUGAGCCGCGGCAGAAGGCCGUGCUCCCGCGUGCACCGGAGGAUCUGGUCGAACAUGACGUCGAACGGGACCGGGUGGUGCCACACGAUCCGCACCUGCACGCCGAGGCGCUGGUCGGCGCCGGCGAGGUAGCCGUCGAAGAACCGCUGCGCGAUCCCCCACGCCGGGUUGCCCGGGUGGAGGAGGUACCUGCCGAGGUGGUGGAACACGGAGCCCUUGGACGGGAACAUGCGCUCCAGGUCGUCGCGGUACGUGGGCACCAGGAAGAGCGCCACGGCGAAGUAGCUGUCGGAGCGGAGCAGCAUCCAGUUGAAGCCGUCGAGCGCGCGGUGGUCCUCCUCGCAGAAGGUGUGGUUCUGGAGCCGCAGGUUCAUGUUCUCCAGGUGGAGGUACACGUACGGCGGGAGCGCGCCGGCAUUGCCGCCGUCGACGUCGUCGUAGCGGACGACGUUGUUGUGGAGCAUGCUCACGUAGCUCUCCUUGGAUUCCGACCCGAAGCGGACGUCCUUGUAGGGGAAGGUCGCGGGCAGCAGCCAGGAGGUCCCCGGGAAGGGCUCGCAGAAGAGGCCCUCCAUCUCGGGGGGCUCGUGGACGAGGAGGACGCGGGCGGUGAGCAGCGCGUAGAGGAAGGUGGAGACGAGGCUGAGCAUCCGAUUGCCGAGGCCCUGGACGGGCAGCCACACCACGUACCUGCACUCCCCGCGCUCGCCGUUGCGGCCGGACCGAAGCUGCGCCAUGGCCUCGCGGUACCGCGGCGUGCCCGGCCCGCACCGGCGGUGGUUGGCCUCGUACUGCCUCAGCUUGCGGACCAGAUACGGCGAGACCGGGAACGGCGACGGCUUCCAUCGGCUGGAGCCCUCGUAGCGGCUGCGGCACGCCGGCUCGUCGAAGUCCGGCGAGAGGAGCCCGCCGAGGAGCCGGCCGUCACGCGCCGCGCCCGGUUCCGGGGACGGCGACGAGGAUGCGUUACGUGGACCUGUGAUGGAUGGAUGGAUCCGGCAAGCAAAUCAAUGAACCGCAUGGAACACGGGGCCCCUAGCUAAGGUGGCAGCCGGCAUGGGUGGGUGAGCUUCAAGGAGAGUGGGUGCCGUACUCUGCUGUUUCACCUGUGCCCAGGCCAGGGAGUCGGCAGCGAUGGAGGCGGCCCGGUCGCCGAAGAGGAAGAGCAGGAGCAGCAGCGGCAGCGCGGCCAGGAGGACGGCCGUGACGGCGCCCCGGCGACGCUCCGGUGGAUCUCGCGCUCCAGCAGCUUCCAUUCCCGCCUCGGAACCCAUACGCAAUCUAGUGCUUGUUUUGUUUUGUCGAGGUCGAGGAGGUCAAGUGGGGAGGUCAACUGUUGCAGUGGAUUGAUAUUUAUGCAAAGCUGUCAUGCAUGGAGUAGAAUGCCAGAAUGGCAAAAUCGGCAGAUCCAAGAGUAGAUCCAAUAUUCCCGCAAAAGAAAAAAAGAGAGUAGAUCCAAUAGUGGCGGGGUGGCUGUCUGUGCUGCUCAUCAUUAUUGAUUCCUUGUGCACACACAUACAAUGUGCUUGGAAGAGUUAGUAAAACAGUCUUGCCAAACAUUGGUCGACUGAGACUUGUCUGAGUUCGAUGUUAUAUCUAUAAGACCUUACAUUAAGGUCCAUAUAAGUUUUUUUUUCUUACAUGUUAUGUCACUUCACGGUUAAGAUCCCAUUCCAAUUCCUAUGUAUUUACUACACCUUUCCUUUGAACAACGAAGACCUUAGUAGUAGGUUCCAUUUUUCGAAGGAAACAAAUGAAAACCUCGCUGGAGUUAAUCCAGGCAAGGUUCUCGGUUCGGUUGAAUCUUAAUCCAGGUUCAACAUUACCAUCGCUGUACUAGCGCUACCAAACUGAAUUUGUGACAUUUGGCGCUUCAGUGGAUUAUCAUUAACAUUUGCCCUUUUAGUAAAAAAAAAUGCAGGGACAAUUUUCGUAUUUGUUUCACCCAUUUUUUUCAACUUUGUAGCUAAUUUUCCAUGAAAAUUUAUAAAAUAAUCAAAACACAACACAAUCCAAUAGUGAUUCUGAGAUUUCUAGGGUCUAGCGGACCAAGUUCCUCCCGCGGGUAGCUACUCCGGCUACAGCGGCUCUGGACGACGGACAGGAACCUGCAACACAGGUUGCGGUCCCAUGUUGCGUGUCCGUUGUGCGACCAGGAGGCGGAAUCUACUGAUCACCUCACAUGUAGUUCAAAAGAUGUAGCCUGCACGGCUCAAAAAGACUAAAAACAAAUACAAGUUCAUAAAACAAACCACAGAAAUUCACAAAAUUUCACGGGGAUAAAAUUUGGAAGUUUAGAGAAGAUAGCGGGGAGAGUUCAGAUCACAUUUGGAACUUUAGAACACAAAAAAUAUGAUGCCAUAAAAUGAUCAAAAGUUCAAGGUGUGACAAAACUGAAAGUUCAAAGGCAACAUCAAGAAAAAGUUCAAUGUGUGGCAUUCAAAAUUGAGUUUUACCGUAUUCAAUGCUGCUCUUAAACCAUGGUGAAUUUGAAAAAAUGGUCAACACGAUUUUUUUUUGCUCAUUUACAAUAGGUUUUCAACAGUAUAUCAUUUGCUUCAUUCAAAAUAACGGUUUAGGACUUAUGAACAAAAAACAGAGUGUAAGUGAGAUGUGAAACACCCAGCAGUUCAAAAGCCACACUGAGUGCAAUUCGGAUGAGAAAAAAAAAGUAAAAAAACUAAAACCAAAAAGGGGUUGCUACUAGAUGUUCACGUGCUAAAGAAGAAAACAAAGAAGUUCAAAAUAAAAUAAAGGAGCAGUUUGAUGUUUAAAAAUCAAGAAGUAACGUGAAAAAUAAAUAGAAAUUGUAAAAUCUACAAAAAUAAAUAAAUAGGAGUUAACUGAAUAAGAAAAGGUUAAAAAAACUCAAAGGUAACACAGGAAAAUGCGGGAAGGUCACCGAACAAAAAAUCCGAGUGUUUGGGGGAGAAAAAAAAUGAAGUUCACGGUGCAAAGUUUUGAGAGGUCAGAUGCAACACCGAGACAAAUUCAAAAAAAAAGUAUUACUCAAACAAAAUUGGGAAGCUGAUGAUUAAAAGACAAAAGUCCGUAGUUGCAAAAAGGAACAGGGAGUUCUUUUCAACUUAUGUUCUCGAUCAGUGUAAAAAAAAACUGUGUUCUCGAUCCCUUGGUGGUCGAAGAUGAUAGAAGAACGCACUAACUCCUGUACAGCUGGUACAGCCGAAAAUCCCUCGGAAAAAUGGUUUGUUCUCUUCCUCUUUCCUUACCUACUCCAUGCUAGAAUUGCUAAUCCUGUAUAAUGUGUCGCCAGUUCACAACAUUUAGUAGUCACAAGGAACAUUACCUAUGAAAAAAUGGUGUCUUUCAUCCCUAAUUACUGCUAUUAUCUAACACUGUCAGAAAUUCAUUAACUUAAGACAAGAAAAAGAAAAGGACAUGGAAAAAGGUGUGUCUCUACAAGAGCUAGUUCACUUGGUGGAGAACUCAAACAGCAUUGUAUGCAUGUACUUCUCACCAGGAUGAACAAUCACUGAUGGAAAAUUAGGUUGGUUGACCGCAUUUGGGAAACCCUGCGUCUCAAGGCAGAGACCUGCGUGCUUCCCAUAGACUGCACCUCCUUUCCCCACAAUGCCAGCAAGGAAAUUACCAGUGUAGAAUUGCACUCCAGGAGCAUCCCCCCAAAUGUUUAGGACCCUAAAGCUUGACGGAUCUGUCACCUUAGCCACGUGCCGCAAGCCUGACUUCACUUCGCGAGAAUCAUCAAGCACAUAGUUGUGAUCAUAACCACCAGGGACUUGGCCAAUCCUAUCACCAAUCUCACCCUCAGUCAGAAAAUCAAAUGGCGUGCCACUCACUUGCAUAAACUCGCCUGUGGGUAUUGAAAUUUGAUCUACUGGAGUUAUCUGAGAUCCCCUUAUCUGGAUAGAAUGUGCAAGAACAUCUCCAGAGUUGUGGCCUGCCAGGUUCCAGUAGGUGUGUUGUGCUAAACUGAUUGGUGUGGCCUUGUUCAAAGGUGCAGCCUCCAUCUCUAGCUUCAACUCCAUGCUUGAUGGAAGAGAAUAUCUGGCAGUAACAGAAACAUCACCUGGGAAACCUGUUUACUUAAGAGAGAUCUGUCAGAUUAUAGUAAAUUGCAAACCUUCAUAUAAUUAAUUGUUCAAUGGGAGUUAGUUACCACGGUACCUUCCUCUCCAUCUUUACUAUAAUAUUUUAAGGUGAUUGAUGGGGUCUUCCCUUUGUUAUAUUCAGUGACUUCCCAUAUGACUUUAUCAAACCCUUUAAAUCCACCUAGAAAAAUUGAUAUCGCACAGCAUUAGAGUUAGGUAUGUAAUAGCACAAGUAAUAUAGUGAUUUUUUCUCUGUGCAUGUAUAUUAUGUGCAUUUGUGAUUAUCGACCAUGAUACAAAAAAAUUAUUGAUCUUGACAGAGUGCAUAUUCAGAUAAGCCAUUCUCCUUAACCCAGACUGCCACAAAUACUUAUUCUGCACAGCAGACGGACUAGUGUGAUUCAAGGAAUUUCUUACACGUUCUUGCAGCUGUUCAACAUGGAUGAUGCUACAGAAAUCAGGUUAAAGUCGGCCAUGUCUAUAUGAACCAAACAUGCAUAAACAAGAGUAUACCUCACAACUCACUACAUCAUGAGACCUUAAAAUUUAAAUUGGUAGAACUGGGCUUUAACCCCUAAACACUGUCACACUCCUACAUAGCUCUAGCAGUGCGAAAAGGGCACAAGUUGUCGGAGUGUCAGAGAAGAGCAUGGCACAGAGCCACAGAGUAACAGAGAUGCAGGAGAAGGUGUUCAGGCGUUAACUGACGAAACUGAAGAUGUUCGAGUCGAUAGAGGGAAGCGAGGCAAGAAGGGAAUCCAGUUGGCGCCAUCAAGUGGAUGACUUGGCAUUGAGUUGCUAGUGGGUUGCCCGGAGGUCAGUAGGUGCGGUGUGGCGCAGUUAUAAGCCGUUGCAGUGUACUGUUUGCAGUCAUCGAAUAUGAAAUGAAUAUCUGAUUUCCUCCUUCCCCUGCCUCUUCUUCCUCAAGUCUCUGCUCCUUCCCCUCUGUUCUUCCUGAGUUCAUCCGAUCUGCUGUUACAUCUAGCCCAAGCAUAGGCUAGGUCAUAACAAUUGGUAUUCAGAGCUUCUUCGGUCCACUGCUGCGCUGUCUCACACUCUCUUGAUCGACCGGUAAAAUUUCCAAGAGCGGGUCGCUGGUUGCUUUCGAGCGAUCGGGCAUAUAUCCUAUUAUCAGUUAGGCCUGAUUCGGGGGAGCAGCCACGGCUCCAUUGUUCAAGCCUAGCGCACAGUCACAGUACAUUGUUGCCGAGAUCGAAAGUAUGGAGGAGAAGCUGCUCGCAGAGAUCAAGGACUUGUCAGACCGAUUUGGUGCGCUCGAUCUAGUUCAGCAGUAGAUCAGUGACCUCUACACCGAGUGGGAAGCCAGGCGCAGUAGGUGGAGCACAUCAAGGACAAGCUCGAUCUCUUGCUCAUCUUGCUUGGUCAGGUGGAGCAACAGCAGCUGCGGCGGCGGACGCCGCAGGGCCCUCACCAGCCACCGCCACGACCACCAGAUCUGCAGACGGCAAGCAUUUUGGGGACUCCAGGGAGCGUCGGAAGCAAUCACCUACCCCAUCGUCGCCCACCAGUCAGGUGUCCACAACGUCGCCUAUUCCAAUUACUGUGGACGCGCCUGAACCCUGAAUCAUCAGAGAAUGAGUCCAAAGCGAAACUGGAUGCCUAAAAUGGAAUUUUCUCAGUUUGAUGGCACUGAGGAACGUGUCUGGGUUGAUCUGUGCAAUACUUACUUUGCAUUAUAUCAGAUUCCUGAAGGGUUUAAGGUGGCUGCAGCAAUGCUGGACAUGAUUGAGAACACUACACAUUGGUAUAAGGCUUACAAACUAACAGCAAGCUGGCAAGAUUGGCAGAAAUUCAGUACAGAUUUGUUGCAGGAAUUUGAAGUCAAUGUCCACAGGGACAAGUUAAGGGAAUUGCAUUUGCUCAAGCAAGUGGAUAGUGUUGAGGAAUACAAGAGGAAUUUUGAUCAGCUUGCGUAUCACAUUAAAAUAUAUCAUAUAUGAUCCAGCUGUUGGGGGGUUGAUGUUGGUAAAUCAAUUUAUUAUGGAGCUCAAACCGGAAUUAAUGGGUCAUGUGGAAACACAGUUGCCAGAUACAGUAGCUCAAGCAGCAGUGUUUGCAAUGAUUCAGGAAGUAGAUUCUGGUAGCUCUCAGUUUUCUGAACCAAUAAUUUGUGGAUAGGUUGCAUUUGCCAAGCAGGCCAGCAAGACCAAUGAGUCAAAGUGGUAAAUGGGGAUAUAUUACAUUGCAAUACAGAAGUGCCUGAGUUAGUGUGGAACAUACAACAAGGCUUUUUUACUCAUCCAAUGAAAGUACAUAAUCUGGAGGGUUAUGACGCUGUCCUUAGAAUGGACUGGUUAGCAAAGUUCAGUGUAAUUGGGAAGACAAACGGGUGGAGUUUCAAUAUCGGGGACAAACAGUGAAACUUCAGGGAGUGGUCUCGCCAUCUCUGCCCACUUCUCAGGAGGCUACUCUAGAGGAGAUUGACCAGUGGCACCAAGUUAAUGACAUAGGGGCUCUGGCUGUGGUUUUGCCCUCUGUCAGAUACUGUACAUGCCACUGUGCCCAUGGAGAUUCAGUUAGUGUUGGAAAAAAUCAGAGAAGUGUUCUAGGAAGCAAAAUCUCUCCCCGCUCACAGAAGUUUUGAUCAUGCUUAUUACACUGCUACCUGGGGCAGCCCCUGUAAAUUCUAGGCUCUAUAGAUAUGCUCCUCACCAGAAGGAUGAGAUAGAAAGGCAAGUGGCUGAGAUGAUCAAGGCAGGCAUUGCUACACCAAGUAUGAGCCCUUCUGCAUCUCCUAUUCAACUGGUUAAAAAGAAGGACAAUAUCUGGAGGUUUUGUGUGGAUUAUAGAAGGUUAAACAUGGCCACAGUUAAGAACAAAUUUCCACUAACCAUUGUUGAGGAGUUACUUGAUGAGUUAGCUGGUGCCUCUUGUUUUACCAAGUUGGGUCUUAGAAGUGGGUAUCAUCAUACCAGGAUGGUGCGAGAAGAUGAAGCUAAAACUGCAUUUAAAACUCACCAUGGUCAUUUCCAGUUCAGGGUAAUGCCACUUGGUCUAACAAAUGUACCUGCCACCUUUCAGUGCCUGAUGAAUUCCAUAUUCCAGCCUGUCAUGAGAAAAUUUGUCCUUCUAUUCAUGGAUGGCAUUUUGGUACACAUGUGAGACACUUAGAGCAAGUGUUUGAGAUCUUGCAACGAAACCAAUUGUUUGCAAAGCAAAGUAAAUGUGUUUCUGCUACCAGUCAGCUGGAAUAUUUGGGUCAUAUCAUUUCUGGACAGGGAGUAGUAAUGUCACUCAACUCAGAGGGUUUUGGGGCCUAACAGGUUAUUAUAGAGUGAAAGGCUACAGUUAAUUGGCAAAACCCCUCACUCAGCUACUUCAGAAGAAUAAGCAGUUCCUGUGGACACCUGAAGCACAACAUGCUUUCAAUCAACUCAAAGCUGCAAUGGCCUCCACCUGUUUUGGCACUACCAGACUUCCAAAAACAGUUUAUGAUAGAGGAUGUUGUUUUUGCCUCUGGAAUAACUGUUGUUCUAUCUCAAGAGGGGCAUCCCGUACCUUACUAUAGCAAGGCUUUGGGGGUUCAAAAUCAAAAGUUGUCUAUCCAUGAAAAAGAGUUUUGAGCGACUAAGUCUUACUAUUCCAAAUAAGACCACAGUGGCAUAUUAAAAUGGUAAAAUGAUCCCCUGCACAUCCUUUUCCAUUUAGGCGCAAAAUAUUCAGAUCCUGAUUUUUUGGGGGUCUAAAUUCAUAAAAUAGAGCGUAAACUCAUAUCAUUGGCAACUUAAUUAUCAAUGAACCAUCCAACUAAAAAUAGUAGCUAAUGUUUUAAAGGUGAAUCUAAUUACCCACAUGUUCCAUGGUGUCUCACUGAAGAAGAUUCUCUUUUACUUAUUGUAUACUAAUUCCGUUUAUUGUAUACUAAUUCUGUUUAGCAGAAAUAUCACGGUCAUCUGCAGUCUCAAUCAGUCACAAAUGUUUGGCAGCAGGGUAGGAGGAUAAGCAAACUGCAAGCAUUACAUAUGCCUGAAAACCUGAAUAAAUGAACAAACUAGAACAUCUAUGAAUUGUAACAACUCAGGCCUCCUAUGUCUUACCAUGAAGAGUGUUAGGUGGGUUGUUGAUGCCCAAACUAUAUUGCACGCCAUUUAAAGUAAACUUUCCAUCCUUGAUUCUAUUUGCAACUCGCCCAACAAUGCAGCCAAAGUAAGGCGAGGUGCCAUUCUAAAAAUUAAGAGAACACAAACCAUCAGCACCAAACAAAUGUAUCGAUAUAUAAGUAUAAGUAGAUCUAAUCAUAUAAGAUCAGCAGUAGAUAUAAUGCAUAUAAAUAACAGGCACAUAAGGGCAUCUCGAGCCGAUCCCUCAAAAUUUAGACCCUCAAAAUAAACAUAAAAUUAGAAGAAUAGUAUGCUAGAAUGAUAUCUAUCUUGUAUGGUUUUAUUCACAACACCAUUAUGAUCGACAAUGUACCCCUUAAAAAUACCCCAAUGAACCAAGAUUGAGACAUUAGACCUCUCGUAGUGGGUAGUAUCAUAGACUAGUUUAUGAUAUGACCUCCCCAAUGCAUACUAUCAUACUGUCACUUCAUUCAUUCAUUUGUAGAAUCUCAAUAAAAAGUUGUGGGUAGAAUUUAGUCCCUCCGUCCCAUAAUGUAAGACGCUUUUUAACACUACACUAGAGUCAAAAAACGUCUUACAUUAUGGGACGGAGGGAGUAUUUCUUAUUAACUUUUUUUAUUUGACGUGCUAUGAUACUGUAGCAUAAUACUAAAUUGCCACCUCAGCUAACUUGCAUAAUUGGCAUGCAUGAUACUUUCUAUGAUACCCCCACUACGGAAGGUCUAAUAGUAUGAUACUAGAACUCUAUCUGACAUCCUUAAUUGCACGGUCAGAUCAUCUUUCUUUUAUGUGGCAAUGCAUUCGUAUACCAGGAGAUCUCAGCACAAACAUUUACACUACGAAAUAUCAAUGUUCAGGAUAUCAGCAACUGGUGCCAUAUUGGUCAGGUCCUGAGUAGGGGUAAAUAGGUGAAAUUUUUCCAGUUAAUCGGCUAUCCGGUGACCCACCAAGUAGCAAUUAACUCACAAGAUGCCGAUUAACUGCCCCAUAUUUGGAACAAUGCAAACUAUGUGGCGCGUGAGGGUACAAUAGAAAAUAAGGCCACUAGGCUAGUUGACUUCCAAAAGUCCCAUAAAAAUAAAGAUUUCCAAAAGUCUGAAAUCAAGAAACAUCCCCUUUCCAGUCCUCCGACAGUAAUCCUAUCCGAGAAUGCACCGAAAUGAGCUAACCAAUCGCUGCAAAUCCAAAGGCACAAAUGAAUAACUAACCAGAUACGGAUCCAGGGAGUCGAAUCCAAGCACCACAUCAGCAAGAACCCCUGCAGAGGCACGCAGGACAGCAAUUACAACCACAACCGUAAAAGAAGCAACGAGCCAGUCCGCAGCGGCGCAAACAUACCGUUCUUGUCCGGGACAAGCAGCGAGGUGACGGCGGCGCCGACAUUGCUGAUCCUGGCCCGAAUCCUGCCGUUGUCGAGCUCGAGCAGCUCCGGGGAAGGCGGCCGCGAGGGGGGCACCGGCGCGGGCACUGGGACGACGAGCCUGUCGGGCUUCUUGGUGGAGGCGCGGAGCGAGGGCGCCGGCGCGGAGAGGAUGGUGGCGGAGGCGAGGAGGUAGACGGCGGCGAGGAGGAGGAGGAAGAAGGGCGGGGUGACGCGGAGGAUCUUGAGGCCGGCGUGGGGCUGCUGCGGGUGGUGGUGAUCCCGGAACCGGUUGGAGGCGGCGUGCUGGAGGUGCGGCCGGGUCGGGGUCCUCGGGGACAGGGAGGAAUGGUGCUGCUGAGCUCCCAGCAGCUGCUCCAUUUCCUUUCCUCCCCCCGGAGAUCUGCUUGCUCCGGUCUUCUCGGGUUAGGCCUGAUCCGGGUUAGGCCAGCGGCGCUUUCGUCGCCCCCUGGUCACUCGCAUCGCGCGCCUCGCCUGGAUCCCCUCGCGCGCGCCGGCUGGGUUCCCUCGCGGACCAUCGCCCGCGUCGCGCGCCUAGAUCGAUCCACUCCUCUCUGUCCACCGCCGAUCGACCCGUUCCUCCUUUGUCCAGACCCUUGCAAAGUCACUUCACACCCCCUGUUAUUUUUAACACGCUCAUACAUACAUACGCAUACGCAUACGCACUCACCAUGAAUGCACACACACGCGCGUUAUCCAUAUGAGCACUUCCGAGAAACCGAGCCGAUACAUCCUCUCACUAAACGAACGUCGUCGAAGGCUUAAAAUAAAUUUAAGAAAAUGCAAGCACCAGAAAUUUAGGAUUUAAAACCUAAUGGGCUAGGGAUACUCAUGUCCUCCUAAUCCUUCGACCACAUGUUGGCUCGCCUUCACACCUCAUGUUGUGGUGAUAAGUGACGCAUUAUUUGGUCGACAUUUGUUGUGAGUUGGGAGUUUUGUAUUUAUUUCAUAAACUCAUUGUUUUCAAAAUGUUUUAUCUUUUGAAUAGUGCAUCUAAAUCAUGAACCGCUUUCACAAUUGCUUUUCUUGCGUCAAAUCAUCAAAAGUAGGUCCAAUAUUAAAAGAUUUGGAUGAAUAAAAAAAGAAAAGUUAAAUAAAAAGGAUAAAAAAAUGAAAGCCAAAAAAAUAUAAAGGGAAAAAAACUAAAAACUAGAAGCAAGAAAGCGCAUUUCUUUAAAAGCACAAUUGUGAUUUUCUUUCACUUUUUGAGUUUCACGUGGAAGCACAACUAUGAUUUUUACUUUUCACAAAGCAUAGUUGUGGUUCAUGUGGAGCACACUUCUGGUCCACACGGAAGCACAAUUGAACUUUUCACUUUUUCGUGAAGCACAAUUGUACUUUGAUGACCCACAAGUAUAAGGGAUCAAUCGUAGUCAUUUGAAUGAGUAAGAACGUCGAACUCAACGAGGAGCAAAAGGAAUUGAUAGACAGUUUUCAACGAGGAUUUCACUGCAAGUGUUGAUAGAUAAUGUGAUGGCAAUAUAAUUUGUAGCAAGUAACAAGUAACAAAAGUAGUAAGGUGCGGUAAAAUGGCCAGAUCCGGGUUAGGCCAGCGGCUCCUUCGUCGUCCCCGAGUUUCAAAAUGUUUUCUGCUUUUUGGAGCAUAACUGUAUUUCGAGUUCCAAACUGUGCUUUUCACUUUUUUUGUGCAACACAAUUGUGCUUCACGCCAAAGCACAAUCGUGCUUUUCACUUUCUCCUGAAGCACGGUGCUUCACGGUUCACGCCGAAGCAAUGGGUUGCUUUUCAAUUUUUGUUUGGUUGUGCUUCAUGCUUUUCAUUUCUGAGGAGCAUGGAUGUGCUUCAUCAUGAAGCACAACUAUGAUGAAGCACAUCUAUGCUUCGCAAGGAAAAAGAAAAGAAAAAACCAAGAAAAAAAUUUGGAAACCUGAAAAACCCAAAAACAUGUGCAGAAAAAAAGUGUCCCCGAGGGUGCAACCAACACGCAACACAACACAUGGUGGCGGCUGGGUGCACCAUGCGGCAGUUGCUCGUGCGUGUGUGCCACCCAUAGGGAAUCCCCCUGAUGGGGUGCCCAUUGACUAGUUACUCCUUUUUUUCUGGAGACGGGAGCAUGGUGACAGAUCGCUCUGGGUCGUGGUGGGUUAGCUAAAUGGGUUGGAAGAAGCGACCCAUUUCACUAGAGGGCUCGAUUUUUUUCUCGUGGAGUAGCAACCCAUUAGAACAGUUAGACCAGAAAUUGAAAGGUGCGGGGGAGGUCGCUAGAUAGAGUACAUCUAAAGGCUACAAACACCCAAAUCAGUAAAAAGGACGGCCAGGAAUGUUGAGGAUGUGAGAGGGCAAAGACUAGGUGCAGUUUUACUGUCCUAAAUGAUCAAUUGUGUUGCGGCGCAAAAACCGUCAAAUUGGAAGCCAAACUAAAAACAAAGUUAAUUAGACAUAUAGUACAUAAAACUCAAAAAAUGAUACAAACAGGAUCACUAAAACUUGUGUUGCGGUUGUGGCUCGCAAGCUUCAGCGCAUUGAGGUGGAGGCUGUGCUGUGGAAGUUCUCUGGUGCGAAGGGGUUGGGCGAUACCUGGAGAUAGGUUCUACGAACUCAUAGGGUGUUGCUCUAUCGAUUGCGACAUUGUGGUAGCCAGCCCAUCAUCGUCGUGUUAUCCCUUAUAACCGCGACUUGCCGCUGGAUUCUUUGUACCCUCGCUUUCUUCUAAUAAAUCGACAAGCAAGUUUUUCGCGGGUUCGUAAAAAAAAUUCUGAGAUUUCUCAUUUGCUUCUAUGUUUAGAAAACAAAGAGCCAUGUUGCUCUUGGUCUUCAUCGAGGGGGUGCACCAUGCAAACACGAGUACUUGUUACACGAACCAUCCAAACAAGUCACAACAUCGGAACAAUCAUACGAUAUAAGCAACUAAGCGAAUAAGUAAAUUGAAGUUCAGAAAAGUCUGCCAUCGCCUAGUCGCUUGCAGGUGGGCCAACUAGUAGCAGAAAAUACCUCCAUGACCACGACCUUCCCCUGUUGACAUCACUUCUCUGAACUCAGCUCUUUGCAAUGGCGCCCACGAUCGUGGUAAGCCACCGCAUUUGAUCACCUGAUUUAGACGAUAGAGAACUUUCUUGUCAAAGUUAACAUCGUUCUGAUGGCCAUAUAAACCAAUAUAUAGCUAGAAUAGUGUUUGUGAAUAUAGCGCCUUCAAACCCUUGUUGCCAAUUUUCCAUCAUAUGAGAAUCCUAAAGGGCUAGAUGACAUAAUCACAUAAAGCGGGGAAUAUGACAGGCGUUGCACUACUGUCUGUCUUUCAUCACAAAAACAAGAUCUGAUCUUCCACACUUCCUUUUGACGGUUUUGCUAAUUCUCGGUUGACUCUGGUCGUUCAUAUCCAUCCAAGAUUUUAUAAAAACUGAAAGCUGAGGUCAAACGUUGCAAUUUUUUGCGCUAGUUGAACGAUCAUAUCAGAGGACUUAAUUUUCAAUCAGAUGAGAUAAUAUUACACUUUUUGCACCAGACAAACAAAUCGUUAUAACACAGUGAACACCAUUUCAGAACUGAUGUAUGAACAAAUUUAGAAAACUAACCAAGGGAUGGUUAACUAUCAGCUGACCGAGACAUAGGCGCUCCUUUCUUAUAAUUCUAGUUUCUCUAGUGAGAAUAAUCCCGCUCAGAAGACAGCACACAGAAGUUAUCCUUGAGGGUACUUUUAAUUUGAACUAAAACCACAACAUUUAUUUUGGAACGGAGGGAGAGAACCCGUAAGAGACAGAUGCAUGGACUCUACCGAGAAACAGAAGGGUUUCUAGUUGUGUUUGUGAUAACCUGAUCGUUUCCACCUGUUGGACCAGCUUGUUCCAAGUUAGGCCCAACCCAGAUGAUUGCUCGCUGGAAUGACAAUUUGCUAGUAAUGCUACAACUUGGUUUCAUUCUGGUAAUGGAGCCGGGGAGAGGCCUCCCUGUUCAUCUAUAAAAAAUGACAAUUUGCUACAGUACCUCGCAACAUUGCAUAGGAGGAUGGGGUAUUUGACAAAAUGGUUCAAUAUCAGCCCAAGUAUCCUCCCAAAAGUAGUGAACUUGCGUGACAUACUGGAGGUGGAACCAACCUAGCAGUAGCAGCAAAAGGAAAUGCUUUGCACGCAUAAACCCAGUCCAAAAACUGAGAAUACCCGCUACUAAAUUCCACUUGAGAAAUAAUCUUGUUUCAGUAAAACCCCUUCCUCAUAUAAAUGAGCCUAAAAGCAGUUUGCUGAGCAAAGAAAUGUUCUUCAUCUCUAUUUCUUGAUACUCAAACUCCCUUGAUCUUUCAGUCUACAUAAAAUAACCUAUUUGGCAAGCCUAUAAAUUUCUCUUGUGGCUGGAAAAAAAAUUCUCCGAGAUUUAUAAUAUCUAAAAUUUAUGACCUAUGGCAUUUGUGUCAUUUACGCUGGUUCCACUUCGACCAUCUUCUUUUCUUUCCAUGAACACCUCUUCUAGCUUCAUAGCAACCACAUAAAUUGCACUCCAUCGCUCCCCACACACACAAAAAAAAAAGAUUGCACUCAAUAAAGGAACAAGAUUUGGUGAAGUUUUUUGUCCGUUUGGCAUGACCAGUGCGCGCGUGUAAAUUCUGAUGGCAAGAGGACAAAGAGAACCAAAUUUUUACUAAGGCAGUAUGAUAAACCCAACCAUGGCACGGUCCUAAUCAUGUUUUCUCUUUCAUAAUUGCAAUCUUGUACAGAAAAAUAAUUCACAUGGAGCUAAAUCUUCCAACGAAGAUAUAGCACCAUACUUUUGUCAGUCUUCUUUCUGAACAUGAUGUUUGUAAAUCCAGAAACAGGAAACAAAAUAAAUAAUACUAUAUUUCUAGAGUACAAUGGCGAAAAAAAUCACAGCCAUAUUUAUCACUUGACCUUGAAAAUUUUCAUUACAGAGCUAACCGUGAAUUAUUUAUUAAG
RNAcentral lists this long non-coding RNA (96139 nucleotides) under Triticum aestivum (bread wheat). RNAcentral's name for it is "long non-coding RNA (TAES_LNC017650)". Lineage: Eukaryota; Viridiplantae; Streptophyta; Magnoliopsida; Poales; Poaceae. The record is from RNAcentral.